This 124146-nucleotide long non-coding RNA is filed under the name Malus domestica (apple). Lineage: Eukaryota; Viridiplantae; Streptophyta; Magnoliopsida; Rosales; Rosaceae. The record is from RNAcentral.
UGUUUUUGUUUUUUUUUUUGGGUGGAAAAUGAAGCUUCAUUAAGAUACAAUUUGUGUUAGAAGGUCUAAGCCUAAAUAGAGCACAAAGCCUUAUACAACAAAGCAAACAUAAGAUAGAGGACAAACUCAGACAAAGAGAGCUACAACUCCAGCUACAAAGAGAGGGCCACACUGAUUUAGGCCCGUAGGCUACAAAAGAAACAAUAAACAGUAAAACCCUCAAAUCCUGAAGCCAAAAAUUGGUCACCACCGCCACAUCCGCCGUUACCUCCACGAAGAAAGACAUCGCACCAAACAAAAAAAUGCACCCGAACCAAAACUGCAACGCCCCGCCCCUAAAAUACUUAUUUUCGGGAAAUAAUUUUGAUGAUAGACCCAAUUUAAACUCUUGUUUAAUUUACUACCAUUACAACUUCAAUCCCUUAAUUCCUCACAAAACUAUAUCCAUAUUUUAAUUAUCAAAACAUACGAUUAAAUUAUCAAUUUAAUCCCUAAAUUUCUUCUAUUUCUAAAACUUCUCAAAUUUUAUAGAAAUGUAGAGCAUGUCAAGAGGAACAACUUUUAUACCUAUGUCGAAGUCUAAUUCGGCCGGGAAAAGCCCCAAUUUUACUCAAACCCACCGGAACCCUAGAAUUUGGGUGUUCUUCAAUUCGACCAAUCCGCAAGACCACCGCCCUAAAAAUGGUUGGGCUUUGUUCCUGACCUCAGGAGAAGUCGUUUGAUGGUGAUGGUGGUUAACAUUACUCUCACGAUUGCUGGAUUUCGACUUGGCACCCUCGGAACCCACGGGUUUCGUUUUACUCGAAUUCAAGCUCAAACCCAAUAAAAUUUGGGUGAAAAUGGAAGAGGGAAGGUUGGGGAUUUGUUUCCAAGUGAUAAUUUGGUGCAAUUUGCACCCAUUUGGCUAGAAAUUGCAUCGGAACCCCUUCUUUCCGUCGGAUCGGGCACGAAAAGGGAACGGGUCGAAGGGAUCCAGUGUCCCACACCUCUCUCCCUUCUCUUGUUUUUUAUUAGGUCCCUUUCUUUUCUUUUCCCCCUGAUUGGGCAGUCCCCCCUUCUUCUCCCUUCUCUUUUCCCUUUUUUCUUUCUUUUUUUUUCUUUCUUCCCUCCUCUUGUUGGUUCCUCCUUUCUUCCUCCUCUAACCACAACCACCACGUGGCUUUUCUACACCCAAACAAAACUCCAGCAAAUCUGGAGCAUUCCAGAUUCAUGGCAAAAUGAUCAUUUUGCCCCUAUCUUCGUUUGUUUCUAUUUUAUUCGUUAUAACUUCGUUUGACAAAUGGUUUUCGCCUACACACUUGUAGGGUCGUUCUCUAUUCAAUUAUGUCAAGAAAUAUGAUAAAAUAUAUGAGGAUAAAGUACAUCCUCGUAUAAUUCAAUUUAGCCAACUAGAGGCAUGCAUUUUCAUCCUUUCACUUUUCGAUAAAUUUUACGACAUAAUUUAUAAUAAUUUCCAUAAACAAAACUUUAACAGUUCUCAAUUCAAUUUUUCUAAGUCAAUUUAUUUUCGAUUUUUCUCCACAUUUUCAUAUAUUUAAAAUUUCAGGGUAUUACAAAAACCCAAAUCUAAGAGUAUUGCACAUAAUCAAUCCACCGAAAGCCAAAGCCAUCAUAGGCACACCUGUAAGAAAAGUCACCAAACGUAAUAGGGGAAGGGGGGCGAAGGGGGUGUGUAAAACACCCUUGUUCUGACGUGAAUCAUUCCACACUUUACCCAAUUUUUCCGGUAAGCCGAAUCGACAGUGAGCUGUACGGGUUGGGUCUCGAUUUAAGAUAGAGCCCAAUACUAAUAAAUUUAAAUCAUGGUUCAUUGUUGGGAAAGAUGAAGGGCAUCAUGAGGGAUGUAGGAGAACAUGGUGUGAUAUGGAGAUAUUGGGGGGGGGGGAUGACAGUGAGCGACCGAUGAUUGAGGAGAGGGAACAAAAAUGAGACCAAAGCUCAGAUAUGUGACAAAGCUAAAAAAAAACAUAAAAAAGACAAGGAAUGGAAGAGAGGAAAGAAAAGUAGAAGGAAACGUGAGAGAUUUUCAGGGUUGCCACUGACCCUAAAGCCAAAGGCUAAGGCCGGUGGCUGAGUAAGGGUUUCUCUUGGGGCUUUUCACAGAGAGAGAGAAAGAGAGAGCAAGGGUUGGGGCAAAUUGAAGCAAAAUUGUUAAUUGGUCUUUUCUCUGGAGACUAAAUUCUUAAACUAAAUUUUGUAAACUAAUGCUAUGUUUGGAUAAGAGAAAUAAACUUGGAAUUUGGAUAAAAGUUAGAAUUUAUAAAUUCACUGCACCAAUUCUCUUAUUUGGAUUCAUAAACAUAGAAAUUUAAAAUUUCCGCGUGGAAUUUUAUUUUUUUAUUUUUUUUGAAUUUAGAGUGUCACAGCCCGUUCCGGAAUUUUAUAUUCAUGGGUGUGAAAUGACAGAAUUGCCCUUAGCAGUUGCAAAGGUAUGUGUGUCAUAUUAUUUGAAUAGUGCAUACUUUUCUAAGUUUUGGAAAUUUAAUGGGAUUAAAAUUGUAUGCAUUUUUUAUGUGGUUAGGGACUUAGGUGGACCACCUACCCUCACCAUCAAACUCCUCUCUCUCUCCUAUCCCGUGCCCUCUCUCUCUUCCCUCUCAGUUUCUCUCUCUCUCUCUCUCGAACCGAACGGACAAGAACCCAAAAUCCCUCAAAACAUCACGGAUCGACGUCAAUAAGGUGAGUUUCUUCAUCCUUGCAACCUCCUGAGUUGAAUGGUACUAUUUUUGGAACUUAGAACCUUUGAAAUCACGUGAAAUCCGAACCCCAGUUUGAUGUCACUGUUCAUGCACACGUGAAUUGUUGAUUUUCAGGGAAUUCUAAGCUUAUAGGGAGCUUAGUGAGGUCCCAAGGAAGCUCGGAGUACUUAGUUUGAAGGUUUUGGACGUCGGGAUCGUAGGGUUCGAAGUUGGCCGGUUUUCUUGGAUUUUCUCCGAUGAGAUUUCAUAAUUUUUAGAGCCUUAAACUAGUACAAUGUGAUUCUACAUGCUUAGGGCUUCAUUUUAAUAUAAAAUGCGUAGAAAAUGGUGGAGAAAUGACGGAGAACAAAAAGAUUGAAAAAUCUCCAGUUUUCCGGCGCCGGCGAAACUAGUCCGGCGACUGGAGGAAGAAGAUGUCGCGUGUGGGGGCGCGUGGGUCCGUGCCCUUCCCGAUGCGUGGGGGCGUGUGGCAAGUCCAAUUUUUUUUCUAAAAAUACCUCGACAUCCGUGACGUCGAGUAGAUCACCGUGGUAUAUUCGUAUACCCAAAUUGAGCAUCGUAUGAGAAGUUAUUAUGCAUUGUCGGUUAUGUGCUUUAAUUAACGUUUUUAUAGUUGUUUCGCAUAUAGGUGAUACCUAUCCCGAGGACGAGCGCAUUCAAGGACGUUACGGGUGUCACAUCUCGGCCUGGGGCGGACCACUUCCGGGGCCCAUUCCACCACCGUAGCACGAUAUUGUCUGUUUUGGGCCCCGACUACGCCCUCACGGUUUUGUUUCCGGGAACUCACACGAGAACUUCCUAGUGGGUCACCCAUCAUGGGAUUGCUCUCGCGUGCUACUCGCUUAACUUCGGAGUUCCGAUGGAACCCGAAGCCAGUGAACUCCCAAAGGCCUCGUGCUAGGUAGGGAUGAGAAUAUACAUUUAAGGAUCACUCUCCUGGGUGAUGUGGGAUGUCACAAUCCACCCUCCUUAGGGGCUCGACGUCCUCGUCGGCACACCACGGCCAGGGUUAGGCUCUGAUACCAAACUGACACACCCCGAUCCUAGAAUCAAGGCGUGAUGGCCAUCACGUGAGCGUGACGUAACCAAAAGUGCGAUGCGGAAGCAAAAGAUAAGAGAAAUACGAAGGAAUAAAACCCAACUACUAGCAAUAAUCCAACUAGCAUGCUACAAUAAGUUUAAGUGUGAAACACACAAAUUCAGAGCAUAAGUACUAGGUGCAGUCAAGUAGGACCAUAACUAAAUUACAACACCCGCAGGUGAGUCCUACAUUUAUGUAGUCUGUCAGUACGCCGUGGGAAUCCUCGUGGGCCACCAACGCUGCUAACUAUAACCUGGAGGGGUGCAAAACAAAAUUGAGUGGGUCAGUAAAACCAAAGUUUUUCAAAAACAGUUCAUUUAAAACAUUUCUAACCCCUCGCUGUAAAACCUGUAUACUUUCCCAGAAAAUAACAUAAUAUGCAUAUAAUCUUCGUAUAUCUCAAAUCACAAUUCUUUAUCAAAACCCAUAAAAUAUGCCAUGCCAUAAUGUCAAUAACAGAUUAAGAAUGCAUUAAUAUAACAGGUGACAUAAUGAAUUAACCGGAGACCCUGCAGUUGGUCCUGUAUGGUUAAUUCCACAGCUCAAUAUCCAAACCAACCGAAGUCACCACGGUGACCUGUACGGCACUACUCUGCACAUAAGUCGGAACUACUUGAAGUAGUCUGUACAACAAGGAUGGUGUAAUAAUACGCUCUAGUGUUUCUCUCAUCAAUCAUCUGUGCACAUAAUCUAAGGUCACCUACUAGUCGGAACCACCUCUAGUGAUCUGUACGACUAGCAUGUCGGAACCCUCUCAUGGUCUGUACGACAUGCACCUACUUGGAUCCAAGGUGAGCGUGCGGUGCGGGUGAAUAAUAUAAGCACUAACAUCAGGGGUACAGGUUAUGAGCUCUCAAAUCUGCAAGAAGAGGAACACGACAAGCAUACAAAGCAUUGAGUCGACCUUGAGGUUUCCUACUCAGUGCAUCAGCUACCACAUUUGCACGACCCGGAUGAUACUCAAUAGUGCAGUCAUAAUCACUUAGUAACUCCAUCCACCUUCAUUGACGAAGAUUAAGAUCAUGCUGAGUGAAAAAAUAUUGAAGACUCUUAUGAUCUGUGAAACAAUGGAGAUAAUGCCUCCAAAUUUUCAAAGCAAAAACAAUGGUUGCCAACUCAAGAUCGUGAGUAGGAUAAUUCCUUUCAUGAAUCUUCAACUGUCGAGAAGCAUAGGCAAUCACUCUAUUAUGCUGCAUCAAAACACAUCCCAAACCAUUUAAAUAAGCAUCACUGUAAAUCUUAAAGUUACCGUUAUCAUCAGGAAGUACCAAUAUCGGAGCAUGAGUGAGGCAAUAUUUCAACUGCUGAAACUUUGCUCACAAUUCUCGUCCCACUCAAACUUAACAUCCUUUCUGGUUAACUUCAUUAGUGGUAAGGCAAUCAUAGAAAAAUCUUGAACAAACCAUCGAUAAUAACCUGCUAGACCCAGAAAACUCUGUACCUCAGUGACGGUUCGUGGUUGUUCCCAAUUCUCCACUGCUGCUAUCUUUUGAGGAUCUACUUGAAUUCCUUGUGCCGAUACUACUUGCCCCAAAAAUGCCACUUCAUUCAACCAAAACUUACAUUUACUGAACUUGGCAUACAACUGAUGCUCCCUCAAUUUCUUUAAUAUUAAAUUAAGAUGUCGAAUAUGAUCUGCUUUUGACUUAGAGUAUACCAGAAUAUCAUCGAUAAAGACAAUGACAAACCUGUCAAGAUAUUGCUGGAAUACCUCAUUCAUUAGCCUCAUGAAAGCUACAGGUGCAUUAGUCAAUCCAAAUGGCAUCACCAAAAACUCAUAAUGCCCAUAACGGGUCCUGAAAGCCGUCUUAGGUACAUCAUCAUCUUUAAUCUUCAACUGAUAAGAGCCAGAUCUCAAAUCAAUCUUAGAGAACACACACGUACCUUUGAGUUGAUCAAACAAAUCAUCGAUACGAGACAAUGGAUAACGGUUUUUAAUCGUUACCUGAUUCAAUUGCCUGUAAUCGAUACAUAAUCUCAAAGUUCCAUCUCACCCUAUUUCUUUCACCCACGAAAGUAACCUCUGGUAAUCUAGGACGAUGAAAAGUAACUGACUUCCUGUAACAAUCUAUAUGGGCAUGAUUACAAUGCAACCAAUCUGCCCCUAAAAUCACAUCAAAAUCCACAAUAUCUAACGGGAUAAGAUUAGUUGGCAUAACCACACCAUCCACCAUCAAUGGACACCCAGGAUAAACACUAUCAACAUAACAUUUGUCACCUCUAGGCAUAGCAAAUUCUAAAUCAAAUCUUAGAGGUGUAGGGUGAGGUUGAGUCAUUUGAGCAAACGUAUGAUAAAUCACAGAAUGUGUAGCACUACAAUCAAUCAAGACUCUUGCAAAAUGACCAAGAAUAAUUAACGUACCCAUAAUUAAAUCUGGAUGGUUCUGAGCAUCUUGCAGUGAGAUGUGAUUAACACGUCCCUGAGCUUGCUGUCGUCCACCACGACCUCUGUUGCCUUGGUUACCUCGCCCCUGAGAAGUACGUCUAUGUCCUGGCUGAUUAGACUGCCUAGAUGGUCCUGCACCACUAGCAGUAACCUUUCCUUGUCGGGGCUGACCUCCCUGAUGCCACUGAGAUCCACUAGUUGGCAUGGAAGAAUAAGAAGUAUAACCUCCAAGGUCUUGGGAAUACCCAGUCUGAGAAUAUGGAUCCUGGGAAUACUGAUACUGUCCGGAAGCAUAUGGAGCAGCAUCACCCUGGUAAUGGUAAGCACCACCACGACCCGUCUGACCAUAAUUGCCUGAUCCAAAAUUUUGCUGAAUCGGCGCUGGAGGUGGCAUAACAGACUGCUGAGACCUCUACUGACUCUGGGAACACUGAGCAGCCCUAUGUCCCAUCUGUCCACAAGUGUAACAAGCACCAUCACUUCUCAUACACUCUCCAUGAUGUCUGAAAUUACAACGGCGGCACAACGGAGCACCAGAACCACCAGCACCACCAAAAUCUCUCUGUCUCUGAAACCUAGGUCCACCAGCAAAUCUUCCACCUCUCAUCGGGCCUGUGACACUAAAUCCUCCACUGGAAGAACUCGAGCGAGCUCCACUUUUCUUGAAAUUCUGCGUCUUACGGGUUCCCUGAGUGGAGAUACCUUUACCCCUAUCCUCUUUCUUCUGAUUAUCAUUCUUAUCUUCAUCAUCCUCACUGUUACUAGGAAGGUUGUCAGAAUCCUCCAUCCUAACCAAAAUCUCAGAAAACUCAUGAUAAUUGGUGCAAGGAAGCGCACUAGCAAAAGUCCACCAUUUCCUCUUAGUUCCCAGCUUAAAACGGCGAAGCAUCUCUGCCUGAUUACCAGCUGUAUCAGGGUCAUAACGAGACAAGUCUGUAAACUUCCUGUAAUACUCAUGUGCCGACAUAUUCUUUUGCUUCAAUUGAGUGAACUCCUGCUUCUUACGAUCAAUGUACUCCAGAGAAACAAAUCUUUUCAUAAAAUUCUCUUUGAAUACUUCCCAGUCAGCUGCCAUCUCAGGUGACAUAAACUUAGUCUGAUUUACCCACCAAGCUGCUGGCUCUCGCCCCAAAAACCAAGUAAUGGUCUCAACCCAUCUAUUAGCAAGAAGAUUCCCCUGACUCUGCAUCACCUGAAAAGUCUUCUCAAUAUGGUCUAACCAUUUUUCUGCUCCUUCAUGACCUUCAUUACCCAUGAAACGGUCCAAUUUCAGAUUAUACAUAGUCUUCAGGGGUGUUCUCUGAGGAGGAGGAGGAUGACGGAUUGCAUUUUGAAAGGCAUGGGCCAUCGCUUCCCCUAAUUGAGUUAUAUCAGGAAAAUUAGACUCAGUAGCACGGCGUGAUUCCCUACGAGGCGGCAUAGUUCUGACAGAAGACACCAAAAGAUCAUUAGAGCAUUAACAAUUUAUACAGGACUGCAACCUAGGCUCUGAUACCAAACUGACACAUCCCGGGCCCAUUCCACCACUGUAGCACAAUAUUGUUUGCUUUGGGCCCUGACUACGCCUUCACGGUUUUAUUUCUGGGAACUCACACGAGAACUUCCCAGUGGGUCACCCAUCAUGGGAUUGCUCUCGCGCGCUACUCGCUUAACUUCGGAGUUCCGAUGGAACCCGAAGCCAGUGAGCUCCCAAAAGGCCUCGUGCUAGGUAGGGAUGAGAAUAUACAUUUAAGGAUCACUCUCUUGGGUGAUGUGGGAUGUCACAACGGGGGCUACGACCCUUCGACUUACCAGUGAGUGGGCAAUAUUUUCUGUAUUUACCUAUAUACUAUUAAUUUUUCCCAGAAAUUGAAUUUAAAUGAAAGUGUGUUUUAAAAUGCCAUGCAUGCAUAUUAUGAAAUAUGUGAAUUAGUAUUUGAUGCAUAUAUAUAUGUGAAUUGUGUCGGGGCCGCACAUGUGAGUUUUAUGUUAAUCAUUGUGAUGUGAAUUGUAUUGAAAGCUCAAACAUGCACCCCUGGUGUUAGUGCUUAUAUUAUUCACCCCGCACCACACGCUCACCUUGGAUCCAAGAAGGUGCAUGUCGUACAGACCAUUAGAGGGUUCCGACAUGUCGUACAUACCAUGAGGUGGUUCCGACUUGUAGGUGAUUUUAGAUUAUUAUACAACUGUUGAUGAGAGAAGCACUAAAGCGUAUUCUUAUACCUUUCUUAUCGUACAGACUACUUCAAGUAGUUUCGAUUUAUGUGCAGAGUAGCGCCGUACAGGACCAAUUGCAGAGUCUCCGGUUAAUUCCUUAUUUCACCUGUUAUAAUGUUGCAUUCUUAUUCUGUUGUUGACGUUAUGGCAUGGCAUACUUUCUGGUUUUUGAUAAAGAUUUGUGAAUUGAAAUAUUUGAAGAAUUAUAUGCAUAUUAUGUCAUUUUCUGGGAAUGUAUACAGGUUUUACAGCGAGGGGUUAGAAAUGUUAUUAAAUGAAAUGUUUUCAAAAAACUUUGUUUUACUGACCCACUCAAUCUUAUUUUGCGCCCCUCCAGUUUCUAGUUAGCGGUGUGGUGGCUCACGAGGAUUUCCACGGAGUUCUGACAGACUACAUAAAUGUAGGACUCACCUUCAGGUGUUGUAAUUUAGUUAUUCCUACUUGACUGCACCUAAUAUUUAUGCUCUGAAUAUGUGUGUUUCACACUUAAACUCACUCUAGCAUGUUAGUUGGAUAUUAUUGUUAGUAUUAGGUUUUUAUUUCUUCAUAUUGCUCUUAUCUAUUGCUUCCGCGUCACACUUUUGGUUACGUCACGCCCACGUGACGGCCAGCACGCCUUGAUUUUAGGAUCGGGGUGUGUCAUGGAGCCUUCAACUCCCAAGUUUAAAUUCCAUGUAAAUAGAUGUCAUUUUCCAAUUUCUAUGAUUGAGAGUUUAAAAAUAAGAAAUUUCGUAUUCAAUUCCAUUGUUGUUUUAGGUUAACCAAACAAAAAAAUUCACAAUUUCUAGAAAAUAAAAUCCCGUCAUUUUAAAAUUUCUUAGUAAUCUUAAACUUCUUUAUCCAAACAUAGUGUAAAUGAUGUGGUUCUUGAUAAUUGAAUUAUAAUUUAAGUGUUGAUUAACGUGCUUAUUUUUUUUAUUAGUGAUACAUUAUUUGAUUUGCAAACAUGUUGUGCAAAAAUCAAAUCAACGUUAAAAGAAAUUUAGUAAAAGUGGCGCUUUCUCAAUGUUUCCUCUAUUCAAAAGACAAGACGUGUUGCACAUAAAAUUUCUCUCUAAUAAAUUGGCCAUAGAAUUUCUCAACGCUUUUCGGUUUGACUCCCCUUCUCCAAUGAAUAAAUCAUUUUUCCUUGGAAAGCAAUACUUGCAUUAAGAAUUUUACUUUAGAUAAUAUUUUAAAUCAAUCACGCAGUUCAUGUAUUUUAAUUUUCUCGCAAAACAUUACGUUAUUGCUAUGAAAUUACACCUCCUUCACAAUCAUAAUAUAAUUGUCAACCAUAACAUAUCAUUCAAAUCUCCUCCACAAUCAAAAGCUGUCCUCACUAGUAAGAUCUGCAGCACCUCCUCAUGCAUACAUAUAUAAUGGCACUUAACAAAACUACACCUCUUGCCAUCUACUCCUGGAGUCCUCCUUUUACAAAACCAGUUUGGAACUUCACAGAGACACUAACCCUAGCUUAAGAGAGUUGUUAACGCCACCCCUUCUUAACUUUCCACCAACAAUCCAGCUUCUUUUACAAUCUCUGCACAAACGUUUUUCUUUACGUAGAUUGGAAUAUUUGAACUGUUCAAAUCUUGUGUUCAAGCUUUCGCAGCGAGGGCAGGGAAGUAUCUUCUUGCGUGCCUCCGCUUUAGCUCGGGCUAAUUCAUCAGCACUAGGCUGCAAUGCUGCACGCAUUUACCAAACGUCAAAGCAAAUGUUCAUCCAGAAGAAGAUUCAAAUAUCUCAAACGCGUGAUGUGUCAAGUUAAUUACCUGGUUUAGAGAUGCAUGCUUCCACUCUCAUAUCCUUCUUCUGAAUUUCCGGCUUCUUCUCAGCAACCCUCCGCUGCAUGUCCUGUCAAUGAACAGAUGUACAAUUCUAAUCAUGCGUACAGAAUUGGUUAAUUCAUGCCAUUUAAACGUAGGAAUUACACAGCGAAGGACUUCAUCGGUUGAACUUACCCUGUCCCUAACAAGCACCUUGUUCCCCUCUUUGAUUCUUUCCAACUCUACAAGGUUUCCCACACAUUUACUUGCAAAGUGAAUUAAGAAAAACCCCGAAAAUGCCAAUGUGAUGGAUGAACAAAAACAUAAACGAUCAAAUAUAUCACAAAGGAUACGUCCCGUCUUCCAAAAGUUUGAGCAGGUUCUUAGUAUUCUGUGAACACAUUCAGAACAUAUCAAGGUAAAUUAGACGAAAUGAAUCAUCAAAAAUGAAUUAGAUUAGCCAAUUCAGAUCGAUAAAGUUACAACCUUUACAUCCUGACAACUUAUGUAUUCAGAUCAAUCAAGUCACACCAACUUGCUUAUAGCAAAUCAGAGAUUAAAUUACGAGGGCGGAGAAAAGAAGAAGUACCAUUUCGGCAAAGGAAUCAGUUUGGUCCCCAAUCUCAUGCCUCUUCUUGCCAUCUGCUAUCCACACCAAAAAUCUCAGUCACUUAUUGGCAAAGCAUUAUCUUGCAAAAAGCCCAAAAUUUCUUAGGGCCCAUUUGGGAUUUGCUUCUGUUUAGACAACCAAAAGUGCUUCUAAUUACCUUAAUGCGUUUGGAACAAAAACAUUAUAGUUCUUAUGGUUGUAGAGGUGCUUCCACUUGGAACUUUUUUUAUAAAAAUUUCUACUUGUUUAUAAUACUACAAGCGUUUCUAGCAUAAGUGCUUCCUACAGAAGCAGUCCCAAACAAACCCUACGUCACUUUACCUCAAAUUUCUACACAAAGAAAAAAAAGAAAAACGACAAAAGCAUUUUCCAGCAGAAAUUCGGAGAAAAAAUUGCAAAGAAACCAUGGUUGUAGCAAUGUAUGACUAACAUAUGUGAACCUUAAACACGCAACGAGAAAGAAAUGCAGGCGAAAGAAAGAAAUAUCAAGGAAAGCAGAAAUGGGAGAAACUGACCUCGAGCAUUGUCAUCUUCUACGUCCAUUGCUUUAAUUUCGUCGCCAAUUUCUCCCAGAGGGCUUGUUUGCUCUCUCUUUGCACCUCCCCGCAGACGAACCAUCUCUCUCUCUCUCUCUCUCUAGCUGGUUCUUACUUCUUACUGGUCUGAAUUCAGAAAUUACAAAACGACUGGAAAAGUUCUUGACUUGGAAGGAAAUGGUGAGCUGCAUAAAUUUUUAGUUGAGACGGAAACACGGAUGGUACAUCACGUGUUUUUAUGUAAAUGGUGAAAAAUUUUAAUUUUUAAAUUAUUAACCUUUUAACACAUAUAACCUACCAUUUAUAUAGGAACACGUAGUGUACCAUCUCGUGUGACGGUCACAUUGAAAAAUCUCUCGGUGAGCUGGUCGUUGAUUCUGAGAAAUUUUUAAUUGUGACGGGAACACAAGUGGUAGACCACGUGCUUUAAUUGAAGUGGUGAGAAAUUUUAUUUUUUAAGUCAUUAACAUUUUAGCACACAUUUCCAAUCAUUUGUAUAAUAACACGUGAUAUACUAUCUCAUGUAUCAGUCAUACUGAAAAAUCACUCUCGUGGAUUCUUUCGUGGAAGUGUUCCCUAUUUGGGCCUUUUUGUUGUUUUUGUUUUUUUCCCAAACUUUGGGCUCUCUUUUGGUUCAAUUCGGCUUCUUGCCGUGGGACUGUCGUGUUUAUAAAUGGAAUUUAAAAGAAAUAACAAACGGUGGAACCAUCUGAUAGAUGGUGAACAAUAUCGAAAGUAUUUUGUUAAAAAAAAUUUUUUUUCUAAUUCACUACGUCGAGUUUAAACUCUUCCCUUCAUUUUAGUUAGUUUACAAUAAUAAUGUCGCUUGCAGUUAAAACAAAUUGAUGAUAAUUGUGUAUAAGUGAAGUUUUUUUAUCAGAGCGAAAAAAGUGAAGCUUUUUCAACGCAUUUGUUUCUCAAAUAUAAUAUUUCAUCUUUUAUUUCAUGAUGUUCCUUUAUUUUCUUCUUUUGACGAGCUUAAGAAUUAUACUUUCAUCUUCGUAUCAAAAUUGAAAGAAAUUGAGUAACGCAAGAUAUCUUAUGAAAUGUCAUCCACAAUUGAUUUGGCUUUUAGAUGUGUAUUUUGUUCUUAAAGUCUCUGACUCCGUCUCUACAAAUGAAGCCUUUUUCCUUAGGAACUAAUGAUUUCCUUAAGAAUUUUACUUUGAUGUUAGGUUAUGGAUACCACUUUAGCAAGCCAAAUUAACAUACCCCGUAUGCGUUUUAGUUUUUUCACGUAGCAAUGCAUGAUUGCUCCAAACGUCGGAGGAAUAAAGAAUGUAUUCUCUAAAACCAGGAGACUGCUGGUUACAAUUGCUCCUAAUGGUUCAAGUAGUUUUUCCUAUACAACUAUCAUUGUAGUUUGUCUGCAACAUAGCCUCUACAUAUUGUGCAUCAAAUGACCAUGAAAUUCUCAAAUUACAAAUCUUAUACCUUGCCGCUCGACUCUUAUUUUCGGCCACAAACUCGAUCGCGGCAAAUUGCCAAGAUAGAACAUACAAACUAGCUCCGAGCUUCAGCAAAGCUGGAGGCAAGCUAAUUAAGACUUGCCCAGCAAGCUUCCUAACUAAAGCUAUCGAUUUGGUGACACUUAUGAUGUCGUCAACAAUGUGAUCAGCAAUCCAGACAAAUAAGGUAUGUUAAUGUGGGCUUCAUCAAUAUGUAAACCUUUCAAAAUUUUGAUAACAAAAAUGGAAAGUUUUACACUUACAAUUCACGGUUUUCAGUCGGUUAUGCAAAUUCGUAUAUAAAUCACCAUUCAAUUUUUUUUAUUUUCACCAUCGCCUCAUUGUGAAGUUUUGAAAAUUAAGAUGAGACUUUCCGUUGAGAUUCUUGAGUGUAGAACUCUAUUUGACAAUGAGAUUAUCAACAUGCAGAAUGAGGCGAACUUCCGGGGUGCUCAGAUAGCAUAGUUAAUGAGAUUAUCAACAGCAUCAAAAGCUCAUACAUUCAUUCUGCUUGAUCAAGUUAAUACUCUUCAUAAUCAUUGUACAUAUAUAUUUGCAUUAAUCCAUGAUUUCAUUUCACCUAAUGCAUCUAGUUCCUACAUUCCUACUCCGUCUAAACCCUAAUAUUAAUAAACUUAAAUGACUGAUAUAGAAACAAAAAUCUCUUUUCCAAUAGUUCGAUACAGUACAUUGUAAGCCUUAAAACCAAUAGUUCCAACAGAAUCCUAGCAACCAGUGCAUCUUCCAAACUACGGUUUCGGGGUGUGGCGGUUGUUGGCGCCUGAUCCCGGGUAGUCAUUUAGCUCCACACCCAUCCUUUCACUGAUAGCUCUCUCAUUAUAGAUCUUCUCUGUGGUUACCUGUUUUGAAAAAUGAAAAUUAAGUGAUGGAAGGCUAGUAACUCAACACAUCUUUUCCCGGAGCGCUUCUCGUGAUACUUGUACUAUGAAUACAUGUCUAUUAAGAUCCCUAGAGGAUCCUCGCGAGUCGCGAAGAACUAUAAUAUCGAAAAUAUGGAGUAAUACCAGUUUGUUACUUCCUGCAAUUUGAUGAAGUUGAGGUCCAAGCUUUAGACUUCCAAUUCCUGCAUGUUGUAAAAAGCAAAUGAGAACUAGAUGGAGAAGAAUAAGAGAAGCAGAAAGCUGUUACAGGUUUUACUUGUAGCUGGGAUGGCAUUCAAGAAGAUAAGUUGAGAAAACCCUAGCAAGAUCACAAGCACAUGAAGGAGACUGCUUGCCAUUUUCUCUAUGAAGUUGGAUGUUAAUUGUCUUAAAGCUAUCACUACUCAAUUUAUACAACUCAAAAAAGCUGCCUUUCUAGACCUUUGUUUGAGUUGUUGGGAUUUGGAAAAAAUCAAAAGGGUGAAAGAGAAGAGGAGUGUAAAACUGGUGGAAAUUUACCCCAAAAUGCAGUGAGGUGGUUUGGAAAUUGUUAAGUGGGGCAGUUGAUUUUUAAGUGAAUGUGGUAGUGGAGGUGUCACAAAGGAUGAUGUCGUGGCAAAAUUUGAGCUCAAGGGUCUCAUGCACUAAAUUGUAGGUUAAGGUUUAGUGGGAGUCAUCAUCAUUGGACACAGCUGCACAAGGAUAUUCAAUGAAAUGGAAGAAGAAAUCACUAAAAAAGCAAAGCAAUAUGGACUUAGAUCUUUUGGGAUUCAUUUUAGUGGCAUGUCAACUAAGGGGUAGGGAAAACAAACAAGAACCACCAAAUGCGAUAGCAUGUAGUAUUGCAGUACAAGUACGACUUGUUUGAAAAAGAAAAAAAAAGUUGAAGAUGAUGACAUGUUUACUUGGAACAUACUUGUAUUCAAAUUUUCGAUUUUUGAUUUUCUCUAUGUUUGCUAACGCAUGGAUAUUAAAGUUAGUAUGAUUCAUGAUUUCACAUGGGUUUGCUCUUGAUUGAUGCUUUCACAUGCAUUUGCUAAUACUGUGACACUAACGGACUAAAAAAUUAUGUGACUCAUACAUUACAAUUUGUAACUCAAAAUCUGAAAAACAAAAAUUAAAUUAAUUAAGGAGUAGUUAAUCUCAUUUACAUUUCUUAUCUUCUUUAUUUAUGACUUUUUCAGUUCAUGACCUCUUUGUUGAGAGUGAAUUCCACAUAAAGGAGAGAGACAUUACAUAUGCUUAUAAUAGUUGGGUUACUUCGUAUAUUGUCAAAUGAUUUUAUGGUGAAGGCUCAACCUUCUCUAUGGUAUCAGAGAGCAGGUUGUUUUGUGUGUCAAGCCUAACUGCCACCGUGCUCCACGCCACCCGAUUUGUGUUAUUCACGUGUUAGACUUUAAAAUUCAUCACACAUGAGGGAGCACGUUGAGAGUGAAUCCCACAUCAGAAAUAAGAGGGAUGUUUUGUGUACUUAUAAUUAUGUAGUUGGAUUCAUGUUAUCAAUUGGUUAUACGGUGAAAGCUCAAAACUUUCUUUGCUCUUCUUAUUAUGAUUUAUUCUUCUUUCCAAGAAUAAGACACACAAUGAUCUGGUUGGAUGGUAAGUGCAGAACACAAUUAGAGUUGGCAACACAAUCAGUUUAACCAUUCAACUUCGUUCCGACUUCAGUGGACAUAUUGGGAUCAAGUUAUCAUGCUUUUAGUUUAAAUUGUUUGACUUUAUGAAUCACCAAUCAAACUUUACAAUGUGUUUGGUGGUGGGUCACUGCCCUUACAUGGUGGCAUGGUUACAGAUUUAUUAGGUUGUAAUUAAAGUAGUUAUUGACAAUGAAACAAACAUGGCUCAUGUAUUAGCCAAUUCCAAAAGGCAAUUAACAAAAUUAAUUAACUAAUUACAAUGUAAAGCUAAAAGCCUAAAGAUCCGAAAUGGGGCUGAGAAAGUAGAAAAGAUAUAUAAAGCAAGAAAGGCCUAAGGAUCCAUCCAGAAUAAUCACACCAUGCUUUCUGCUGCUUUUGCAUGCUUCAAAAUUUAUCAUGCUACAUUUUACUCAAACUUAGUCAAUCCUUUCAGAUGGGAUGCUGUCCGUUGAUGAUGUUUGUUUGAUCUCACCCAAUUCAGUCAGUCCUUUCAUGCCCAUGGGAGCAAUAUGUCACACACUUCACAUUGAGUUUAUGUGCUUAACAACUUACAUGGAGAGUUCACAUAAUCUUCUAUUUUUAUCAUUAGGGUGGAUCUUUCUUCUGGUUUAGUGUGUUACAUGAUGAAAGGGUUAAUCUGAUUUAAUCAUUGAGGUACAGGUUACACAAACUCAUGAUAUCUAAGAUUUCCUAUAGAUGAUGAUUGAUGUCUAGCAAAUAAUCAUUUUACAUCGAGAGAUCAAAUGGGGUCGUGUUAUACACGUCUUUUAAAUGAAAAGUCAUUUGUUAAAUUGAUAAGAAUUUUCACAUUUAGUUGUUAAAUACCUCAAUGACCUACUUUAAGAUUUUUCAGGAUCAUAUAAACUCAUGAUAGGUAAGUUUUUCUUCAGAAGAUGAGCAAUGAUUGGCGAGAUUUUUUCAUUUUAAUUUCGCGCCUUAAGUCAAUAUUUUUGCAAUUGUAUAAUGAUAAUGAUGUUUCGUUCCGUGUUUCAAGUACACUGAAAAAUCUCUUCAAAUAAAAUAACAAUCAACAAGCAAAAAGCUACAUGUAUCUGAAACAUAAAAAAAAAUUGAAAAGAAAGAAGGGGACUAAGAGAUUGGAGAAAUUUCUUCAAACCUUCCAUCCUAAUUUCAUCUUAAUCCUGUCCAAAUCAAAUGUGUGGUAUGUGCCUCCUAAUUGAAAAACAUGUUAGCGGAAAUCCAAACCGCCCACUGGGUAAUCCGACAUUAAACAAAUCAACUUUAACUACCUAAUUACACUUGUUUAAUUCUGAUUAAAAGAAAAAGUUGACUUGUUUAAUCAAUAGAUGAAGCAUGUGAUUAAAGUAAUCAAAACCAUUUGACCUUUAACACCGAAAGACCAAACCUUAGAGCAUUUUAAAGGAUUUAACAAAAAAUAUUUCUUUGAAGGUGUCUUUGUUAACCCAUUUGAAUUGUGACUUGGCACAUGUCCUCUUAACAAGAUAAAACGUAAACAAAAUGAUAAAAUAAAAAAAAAAAAACUAAUGAAAAUGGUUUGAAAACUUUGAGUUUUAAUGAUAAUGACAAAAUAAAAGGGAAAUGAAUAAUACAAAGAUUGAUUUUUAGUGUAAAAAUGUAAAUUUUUAUUAAAGUACCGAGAACUUUUCUUUAAAAUUUUUAAUAAAAAAAUGGGCAGCCUUCGCAUUCCUGGUCUGGUUGGGGGCCAGAUGGCUAUGUUUGGCCCCAGCUUGGUGAAUCGUAUCCAUGCGCAAACCCAUUGUGCGCCCUUUAUCGUUCUCCCACUCUUUCAACCAACUUUUUAGAUUUUAUUUUAAAAUAUUAAUAUCUUAACUUUAUUUAUUUUAUGAGAUCCAAUUUGUAUUAUCAAACACUUUAUUAAUAAUAUUUUAAAUAAAAUAGGUUGCGAGAUCUAAUUUGCUAACUUAAACAAAGUAACAACUGACCUUAUAAGCAUGUAAGAUCAAUUAUUAAUUCUUUAAUUUGCUAACUAAGUUGUUAUCUCCAUUAAAAAUUUAUUUUUACUACACAACAUAACAAAACUAACGUCGUCAAAUGCUGCUUUAUUUGGAGAUACUCUUAUCUUUUAACUUUUUAUACCUAGGAGGAUCAUCGCCAAAUCCUAUUUAUGAGGAUCCUAGAGAUCCUCCAAUCACAUAUGUUCAUCUUUCAUCGUACGGUUAGAAAUCAUUGUAAUUUUUUUAACUUAAAAUUGAAUAUAAACAGUAAUUGACAAAAACUGACCGCACGAUGUAUGAUGAACGUAUAUAAUUAGAGGAUUCGGCAAGGAUCAUCUCUCCUUUAUCCCGGAAAGAACUUUUCUCCAUAUCUCUUCCACCAGGUCACCAAAUCAAAUGAUCCGGGCUUUGAAUUUUCAUCCAACGGCCCAUAUGUUUUGAUCCCUUAAAAGCUAUAAUAAUUUUUUACCGUUGAAUGAAAUUUCAAAAGCCCGAAUCAUUUGAUCUAAUGAUCUUGGUAGGAGAGAUCUGAAGAUGAUAUCUUUCCCUUUAUCCCUACAUUAAGAUUGUACUAAAUCAUAUUUUUUUUUACUUUUAUAUUGCUUAAUUUUUUGGAAUAUUAAAAAAAUUAAAAUGUCCACUAAUUGGAUUUGGUGUCAUCCUUUGAGAGCUCUGCUUAGGUAAAUUUUUAGUUGUGACGGAAAUACGAAUGGUACACGAUGCGUUUUUAUGUUAGUGGUGAAAAUUUUUAAUCUUUAAGUUAUUAAUCUUUUAAUACACGUAACCACUCAUUUAUAUAGGAACACGUGGAGUACCAUAUUAUGUGAUGAUCAUACUAAAAAAAAUUUCCUCUGCUUACGUACAAGUUGGUCAAUGGUAUACGCGUGUCAUGAGCUAGGAUACGUGUUGGUCAUCUACGGGAGAUUGUGGAGAAAUUCUGCAGGCUUUCAACUUUGAGCUUUUUGGGGUGGGACCCAUUGAAAAGUUUCUGCAGCUGGUGUGGCGACAAACCUGGUUCUAAUCUGAGAUUAAAUAUUUAGUCAGCAAGAUAAAUGAAAUAGAAAAUAUAUUGAGUUGCCUUAGAGUCUUCAUACACAAGUAAUUAAAGAGAUUAAAUUACAUUAUCGCUUAGAGUAUUCAUAUAUUUAGUUUACUUUUCACACGUUUCUUAUAAUUUAGGUUAUUUGAUCUUCUUCAACUCGUUCAAUCCGACGGUCAAAAUUUAAGAAGGGAGGGUGGGAUGUGUUAUUCAUACACCCCAAAAAAUAAUUGUACUAAGUAUGUUUGCAAUCCUGUGUUUUUUUUAUGGAAAGGUACAAUUUAUUAAGAUGCCAAUAAAAUACGUAUAAGAGGAUAAGACAUAAAAAGUAAGCGAAUCUCUGAAGAAUAAAAAACUUUGUCGGGAUUUUCAAACCGGAAACAUAAAAAAAAGGCCAUCAUUAUAGAAUAAAAGAGAACAUUGUAAUCACUGAGUAAAACUAUUUUGAAUCAAGAUGUUUGCUACAUGUCCGGUGGUCCUUCAAAUUAAGCCACCUCAUGUUGCUCUCCAGUUCCUGCUCUUUCAAGCCUAUGUGAUGCCUGAUUUGCUUCUCGUCUAACAUGACUUAAGCUUGAAUCGAGAGAAAGCUUGAAGAAAUAAGCGACUGUCAUUAAAUAUUAGGAAAACUAAUGAAAAUAGUUUGAAAACUUUGAGUUUUAACAAUAAGGACAAAAUAAAGAGUAAAAUGAAUAGUACUAGGAUUGAUUUUUUAGUGUAAAAAUGUGGUUUUUCGUUAAAGUGAACAGUAUCAGGAGCUUUUCGUUAAAGUUCUCUUAAUUAUUAAUCCCAUCCCAAAUAGAGGUGUCAUCACCUUGUUGGAUAGCAGCUAUUGCAAGGAUAUAAUCUCCUUCAAAUUCUACUUUAGUAACUCGCAACUCCUUUACAAAUAUGACAACCCUUCUAACAGCACUCAACUCUGCUUGCAAUGGCGAACCCCCAAACUUUAAUUUGAACUCAAUUUGCAGCCAUAAUUUCUUCCUUCGUCAACAUUGUCGCCUACAAGACACAUAAGAGGGUACUUUAAACAAUUUCCUUGCAAGAAAAUAAGAAAAGUUGACCCAACCACUAUGAAUGAUACCUCGAAGAGUUAAGGAUUAGUAAUCAUUUUCAGAAAUCGAAUGGAUUCGGUCCUAUACAUACGCGAGGAAUGUAAUAAAAAAAUUUAUUUUCAUUCCACUUAGCCCUAUCCCUCUCUAGGGGUAUUUUAGGUAUCGUUUGGUACGUGUGACGGGAUGGAACGGAGUGAGAUGAUGUGUUUCAUCUCGUGUUUAGUGUGCCUAAAACGGGUGGAACGUGUUGUUCUACGGGACGAGUUUUGAGUGAAUUUUCGUUCCGUCUCACCCCUGAAACGACUUGUUCCACAUCCGUGGAACACAAAAUUAUAACAUCUUCAUCUCCUUCUUCCUUCUUGUUCCCAUUCGAGGGCAUCUUUGCUCCCUUUCCGUUCUGUCCCGUCCCGUCCCAUUCCGUUCCGUCUCAUCCCAUCUGCAUACCAAACGAUACCUUAGUGAUGGAUGUUAUAGGAACUAGACAAUCUUAUUUGGUCAAGUUGUAAAAACUUGUGAACAAUAAAAAAUUAUGAAAUUAUAUUAUCCUUCGACAAACUGCAUGUACUAGAUAAAUGAAUUGUUAAUUACGCGACUAAAGAUCUGAAAAUAAAUUCAACGACUAAAGAUAUGAAUGUUAGCAUAUAUCGGUGCAUACUAAAAAAUUCGUAACAAUACGAGGAAGAAAAAAUAUAGAAAAUGUUAUUGACACUUCAAAAAUCUCAUUUUACACUCAUCAUAAGUGUAUUUUUCUUUCCUAAUAUAGAAAAUUUGAAGUGUAGAAUAAGAUUUUUGAAAUGCUUCCCAGAAAGAUACAUAUCUCUAAUGGUAGCACCGAAUUUUCCAUGCACCCAAAGGAAAGUUGACAAGGGAAAUCUGGAGGCCACGAGAACUUGUGGCUGAGAAUCAAACGCCACGUUGUGACGUGGCACCCACUUCCAGCUAAGUUUAAACAGAUCAAAAUCGUAGACGACGUUUUACUACGGCCAAUGCCACCACGACUCUCACCCAAAAGAAACGAAAAGGAAAACACUUCCAACGCUCGCGCCUCUUUUUCCACUGUUUGGCUGCCGAGAAAAUGCUGGAAACUAAGGACCCCGCGAUCAAGCUCUUCGGGAAGAAGAUUGCCCUCCCCGCCGACAUCGAAGACUUGGGUUUUGCUCGGCCUGUAGAGAAAGAAGUGGAGGUAGAGUCAGAGGAGGAGGACGAAGAAGAAGAGGAUGAAGAGACAGAGCAGGUAACAGUUUGUAACUCAGAGAGAAAGUUCUUGUCUAAAUUUUUGUUUGGAUUCGACCCUUUUGUUAAAAUGCUGAGAGCUUUGAAGGGUCGAGCUUGUUUUCUUGAUUCGUUUUCAUUUUUUCUAUUUUUGUUUGAUUUUUUGAUCCUGUUUAAUUAACUUCAUAAAUUUUAGCAGAUGAAAGAAUCAGGGAAAGAAAGUGGAAAUUCUGAGCCUUUUUUUUCCAGUUGAAAGUUGAAAUCGAAAAUUUGUUGCCUUUUGAUUGUUUGAUUCAAUUUUGUUUAUCAAUGAAACGAUUUUCAAUCAAUGGAUUUCACUCCAGCUUUUGGAAAAGUAUUAAAUUUGAUAAGUUUUAUUACUUCUUUGUUUAAUAAUUUUGGUUAAUUAAGUCCAAUUUGCAUGUAGCUAAUUAGAUUGUUUUUAAGUGUGACUGCAGAUAAAAAACUGUGAAACUGUUUAUGCUUCUUGAUUUUCUCCUAAUUAAGCAGCCAGAUUUUCAGCUGUGAGAUUUAUUUAUUCUUCAAAUGAAAGAAAUCUGGAAGGUUUUCUGUUGAUUUUCUAAGCUGUUGUUUUCAUUAAUCUGGAAAUAUUACCCGAUUCUAAAUCGUACUUGUAAAAUUUUCAGGAUUCGCCAUCACGAAAAUCGACUGAGAGCAUAGAACAAGAUGAUGGUUCUCCUCCUAAAACUGAAGACCCUGCAAAUCUGGAAAUAUUACCAGAUUCUAAUGUGAACCCGAAGACACCAUCAACAGAUGAAGCAAGUGCGCUAUCGAAAACUGCUCAGACAGAGAAAGAACCGAGUACCGAAAACUCGGAAGAGAAAGCCCUGAAGAAGCCUGACAAGAUACUUCCAUGCCCCCGCUGCAAUAGCAUGGACACUAAAUUUUGUUACUACAACAAUUACAAUGUCAAUCAACCGCGGCAUUUCUGCAAAGCCUGUCAAAGAUACUGGACUGCAGGCGGUACCAUGAGGAAUGUGCCUGUGGGAGCUGGACGUCGCAAAAACAAGAACUCUGCCUCACAUUAUCGCCACUUCACCAUUACCGAGGCUCUUCAAGCAGCUCGGAUUGAUGCUCCAAAUGGAGCUCACCACCCUGCAUUAAAAAGCAAUGGUAGAGUCCUGAGCUUCGGAGUGGAUGUACCUAUUUGUGAUCCUAUGGCUUCUGUUCUAAAUCUUGCAGAUAAAAAUGUUUCAAGUAGUACUCGAAAUGGUUUACAUAAAGGUGAAGAACAGGUAUUUCGAGCUCCUUGCAAAUCUAGGGAAAAUGGUGAUGAUAGCUCCAGUGCAUCUUCUGUAAAUGUUUCAAAACCACACUUGGUGAAUGUCAAUGGGUUCUCUUCGCAAAUUCCUUGUCUUCCUGGUGUUCCCUGGCCUUAUCCAUGGAAUGCAGCAGUUCCCCCACCGGCUUUUUGUCCUCCAGGAUUUCCUCUAUCAUUUUGUGCUGCACCUUAUUGGAACUGUGGCGUGCCUGGCACCUGGAACGUUCCUUGGUUUGGUCCACAACCCGCUACUCCAAACCAAAAGUCUCCCCACUCUAGUUCAAAUUCUCCAACAUUGGGGAAGCAUUCGAGGGAUGAGGACGUUGUAAGACCAGAGAAUCUGGAGAAGGAAGAGCCAUCAAGACAGAAAAAUGGAUGCGUUUUGGUUCCGAAAACAUUACGGAUUGAUGAUCCAAGUGAAGCUGCAAAGAGUUCAAUAUGGGCAACGCUCGGGAUCAAGAACGAUUCCAUCAGUGGCAAAGGACUGUUCAAGGCCUUCCAACCAAAGAGUGAUCAAAAGAAAACUGUCCCUGAAACCUCCCCCGCAAUGCGAGCAAAUCCAGCUGCAUUGUCUAGAUCCCUCAACUUUCACGAGAGCUCAUGAAGUAGCUAGCUAGCCAAGUAGCCAUGAGUUUUGACAGGUACCCCAUCCAGCUGAGGCCAUUUUAGUUGAGCUGGUCGAAUCGGGGAUGCAGAAUUGGAGGGGCAGUCUCUACUCUCUAGGGUUCCUCAGUAUGAUAGGGGAACUAAUGUAGGAUAAAGCGCUUGUGGGAGAUUGGUUCCCACUAGGAUAAAUCUCUAGUGGCAACUAUUUUUGCCUUCUUGCGCUAUGCACAGGUCCCUUCUGAUGUACUUAGUUUUUCUGAGAUUAUGUCCAUGUACGUAUCUAUGUCUCUAUAUAUGUGAAAUACUAUGAUAGAAUUGGUUGGAGAUCCAAAGAUCUUUCUAUUCUCUCUUUUCUAUUUUCUUGGGGGCCAAGGAAAAGAGCGUUCUACAACAGAGAUGCUACUAUGGCAGUAUUUUAAACUAAUCAAGAAGUGUUGUGUUUGACUCUUGUAAGUAAUACUAGUUUAUUAGUUUGAGAUACCGUCACAGUGACAUUUCCAUUGUAGUUAAUCUGUUGAUCCAUCCAUGCCUUGGUGGCUACUCUUGUGGGGCAAAAAUGGAGAUGGCGACAAACCAACAAAAUUGUUCUUUUUAGUCCCUUUCCCUUUGUAAGAUAAGCUUGAAUUAAAUUCCUAGCAAGGGCCAAAUUGCUUUCCUUUUCACCACCAAAGGAUCUGAACAACUUGCACAAAAGUUCGGUUGCAGACUGUCCGAUAUUAUCUUGAUCUCCUUUUUCUCCCUGUUCUCUUUUGAGAGAUUUUUCAGUGUGUGUUUGGAAUACAGGAUGAUACAAUACAUGUUAUUAUACAAUUGAAGGAACAUUUGGAGGAACAUGCGGUGUACUGUCCUAUAUUCCGGAUACACUAAAAAAUUUCUCGUACUCUUCUCGUUUAGAAAACAAUUAUGUUCAACCACUAAGAAAUAAUAAAUCAACACAAUUAUAGAAGCCAAAAAUUGCCAACCUACAUAAGAAGGAAAUUUUGAAACAAUGCCAUGGUAUGGUAUUCUACCAAAGAGUCUUGUAUCGUAGCUUCAAUUCUCAAUUAUGCGUUCGUGGUCUUUUUAGCAAAAAUUGUCUCGUAUAAAUUGAUGCUAAAAAAAUCAUAUUUUUUUAACACAUAACGGGAUAAUUUGAAGCUAUGAUCAAAGAUUCUGGUAACCUUAAUACAUGUGUUCAACCCUCGAUUUGAUUUUAUAAAUAUAUAUGUUUGAUUCUUUUUUCAUUGAUUUCUAUAAAUAUAUAUAUGUUCGACCCUUUAUUCAAGUCUAAACGACUACUCGUUAAAACAAGUCAUCUCAGACAUAUGCCUCUCACUAGCCAGUGACAGAAACUGGGGAUGUUUCUCCUUUGAUAAGAAACUACGGAUGAUAGGAUUACUUGGUGAAAUACAUCUUUACCUAAUUUCUUUGCAAAGCAAAUCGUUAGAUGCAUCAACAUCACAGAUAGAUGUGUCUCUCAAAACAAUCACCAAUUAAAAAACACACAGAUAUUUGGGUGCAACAAGCAAAUGCAGGCCGCAUUUUUUGGUAAAGAUGAGUUGUUAUAUGGGACCCCAAUUCCACACAUAAUGCCAUGUAUAUUUUGGCGUUCUCUAUCUCUUGAUCUGAAGAGCAAUUUAUACAGUACGAGUUCGAUGUUAUAUGGCGUUUUGAUCUGAUGAUGCAAUGCUAUGUGGAGAGGAAUUUAUGCAUAAUAUUGUGUUAUUGAAUCAAACGCAAUAAUAACGAUAAAUCUGUUCUAUAUAAGUCAUUAUCCUGUCUCGCUUUCGCUUUUCUAUUUUUUUCUUCCUUUUUUGCUCUUUUCCUUCAUCAUAUACGAAAGCAAUUGUCCCUCUAUUUUCAUCCAUAUGCCUAAUUUUAAUGCUUGUCUGGGAGACAAAAGAAGAUACAAUGACAGAAGGUUUUUGAAUAUUUUCUGGAUCACAACUCUCUAGCCAUAUGGUUUUUGAUUUUUAAUGUCGACUAGAUAUUGAACACAACCUUAUAUCUACAGUGCAUGGAUAUGAACAGGGAGAUACAACACGACACGACACAGGGAUACGUCAAAUUAACAAGAAAAAUUAAUUUAUGAUCACAAGAGAUUACAACAUGACACAAAGAUAUGACACAACACGAUAAGGCACUGGGAUACGAGAGGAUACCACCAUGAUCUUGCAUUGCACUCUUACAUGUUCAACUUUAUUGAGGAUACAAAAUUAUAGUGGCAAACUUGGUAAUGUUGCUAAAUAAUGGUGUUUCCAAAUAUGAGAAAUUGAGCCUUCCUUCUAACUAAAAACCCAAAAAGGUCUCUUUGUAGAGAACUGAAAAAGGAAGAGAAAAGGUUUGGUUAAGUCAUGUCAUUUAAGCUCCAACAGACUAACAUGGAGCUCUUCCAUUUUUCUUAAAAACCUCCCUCUCAAGGCUUGACAAUAUGACUACAUUUUACAAGGGAAAGAGCAAAAAGAAAGAAAAACUCUUAUAAAAAUCUUAAUCCCUAGUCUAAUCCCAUCACUAAUCCUCUCACCUCGAAUGCUCAUGCCACUCGUCCGUGCGUGCACGAAGUGACUCAUUUAAGUAUUCAAUCAAAUUCUUUUUUUAAUGAAACGAUAAUAAAGAAUUAGGCAAGUCGAACUACACAAAACACUUGAUUGCCGGAUUAUAAUAAUAGCCUUACUAUCUAAACCUGCACAAGAUGAUUAAUAGGCUAGAUUAAGCAACAACGUAUCAUUUAGUAAUUGAUUAAUGCUGAUAUUUGAGUAACAGAAUGUCAGGUUAGGUAGAGAGCCACUUGUAAUUGUUUUGCUCAUUUUUUUUAAUCAUGGUGGAUUCUUAACAAACCAACCAAGUCUUCUUGCAUGUUAAUUAUUACAGCACCAAGUUACAAGUUACAUGUAGUUUUACCAUCUCCCAUUUGGCUCAAUUCAUAAAUUCAUGUCCUCUUCCUUGGAAGGAAAAAAAGUGGAUUAAAAUUGUAGGUUUACACCUCCAUGUUUAGGUGAUUUUUAAAAUGAAUCGUGACGGUUCAAUUUUCUCAUAUUAUUCAUUUUCUAAGAUUUUGAAAUUGUAUCAAUUAACAUUUUUUGGAUAUUAGAUAUUUGAACGUUUAAAUAUCCGUUAAGUUGAUGAGUUUUUUAGUUAAUAUGAUGCAAAUGAGUUUACAUGUAAUCGUAAUUAUGGAUUUCAUCCUCAUUAUGUUAUUAAUUUACUGAAGAUUCAAAUAAUUCGUUAUAAAAAAUGAAUAAAUUAAUACAAUUUUAAAAUAAAAAGUGUGAAAUUUUGUUUAAAAAAACAUGUGUGAACUGUAUUUAGCCCAAAAGGUCAAGCUCAUUGAAUUUUAAAAGUGGCUUUUGGUAUGAUGGGAGUCAUUGUCAAUCUCCCACUAUUCUAGUGCUCUUUUUAUUAUCAUUCAAAGUCAUCCAAGUUGCAUAGAAUGAGGGGAAAUUUGGCUUUACACGCAUAGUGAUUUAUCAAAAGCAGUACAUUAAGUAUAAUAAUAAAAAUUUGAAAACUUAAUAAAAAAAAAAAAAUUCCAACUAAUUUGGUAUACAGGCCUGAUUUGGUACUGAGGUGAUUCUGAAAAAAACUGGUAUAAAAAAAAGCUGAGAGCUGUUUUUUGUGUUUGGUAAACAUUUAGCUUCAGCUUUUUUUCAUAGUUUUGUGUGAAAAAAAAACCAAAAACAAGAAACUGUUGUAAAAUCGACGGUGGGUGCAGUGGAAUAAAUGAAACAAGACACAAAAUUUACGAGGUUCCUCUACAGUCAGUGUGACUGGAGUACGUCCUCGGGGCAGCUGUGAUGCUUUCAUUAUAAUCUGAAAUAAUAGGAGUACAAAGAUAACUCUCUCUAUUAUCUCCUCUCAUCUUCCUCUAUUCUCUCUCUUCCUCUUCCUUUCUUCCUUUUCCUUCUUCUCUCCCGUGAACCUCACUCACUUCAUUCAUCUUCUUCCUUUAUAUAAACAAAAGAAAGCACUAUUCACUUUACAAAUUUUCCACAAAUGAAUAGUGAAAAUACUGUGCAUAAAUAGUAACAAACUAUUCAUGUGGACCAUCCACAUAAUAUUUACAACACUCCCCCUUGGAUGGCCACAAGUCUUCGAUUGACUCGUUAAAAUCUUGAUCUGUCUUGGAUGCUCCCCCUGAUGAGUAUCUCCCCCUGAUCUCAAAUCAUUUAGGUUGAUCGUUGAUUGUUCUGCUUUAGUCCCUUAGUAAGAAGAAUUGCUAAAAGAGUUGCUUUACUUAUUGUUAACUUUCCACAGCCUUUUUCUUGAACUGGGUUGUAGGACUUUCUGCUAGACUAGCAUUGAAGAUCGGAAUUUACUCCUUUUAUCUGGAGCGGAAUUUGAUUCAAGAGUAAUGAACACUUGAUCUUGAAUCGGACUUGUAAUUUCUUUAAGGACCUUCGAAGCUGGAUCUUGAAUGAAAUUGGACCAUGAGGAGCUUCAUGUGGCAAGUGAUCUUCAGUUUUGUCAGGGAUGAAUCAGCACGCGUUUGUUGCGCUUGUCUCCACAUGCUUCAAUGUAUCAUUUUUACUUUCCUUACUUGCUCCCCUUGCUUAAGUAGUAUUUUCCCUGCUUUUCCCCCAUGCAUGUGUGGCAUCUUCUCCGGCAGUAUUUGCCCUCUAAUGCCGGAGUGGAGUGCAACCCUUGCAUUUGGAUGGUUCAUCACUUCUUGGUGACUGGAGACCCAGCUCCAACCGUUGAAGAUGACUACUCGAGAGCAACAUUAGGUAAGCAAUCAGGAAAGGUUCCAGGCAGUCGGUUCCUUACCGGGAGUUUGAGUGGAGGUUUCGACAUAUUGCUUUCUUUAUCCUUGUCUUCGCAGGCAAGAACAUGGACAAAGGAAAGGACAGGGAGAUUGCAUGAUAUGAGAUAAUCUUGCUCUGGUCCCUGAAGAUAUGUGAUAAUCUUGCUCUGGUGUGACAUGUUUGAAGAGGUAUUCUCGGAGAGGAAGAAAACUGAGUAUUUCGAGAUGCUAUGUUGAAGAUGCAUUCUCGGAGAUGAGGAAGAGUUAGGUAUUCUUGCAGAGUUGCAGGUCUGCCUUGUUAUGAAGAACAGAGGUCGACAUAUAUAGAGAUUUCCCAAUAGCAAGUGGUGGUGCUGUGCUUUUACUCUUGUCAGCAACUGUGGUGUAAAUAGAACAGUAAGAUUUAUUUACGCGGUUUCAAACUUUGUCAGAGAUCUUUGACAAAAUUGCACGCGACAUCUGAAAAAGUUGGGAUUACGUCUGAAAAAUGCCAACGAACUUUAUUCAGGAAAAUCUGGCUUUUGAAAUUCGGAGAGCGGUGCCUCUUCGAUCUUUGAACAAGUGGCUCUGCUGCCUCUUCUUUUAUAGAGACAUCAAUUGUGUUCAAGGGUAUGCUCAGAAAGUUGCUGCCUGAGAAAUUUCCCCCUUCUUGCAUUUCUGAAAUUUUAUUUGACCUCUGUUUUUCCUUCAUCAUUUCUGAAAAUGACUUGCCCAUCUAACAUUUGCUUAGAUUUGAGUCUUAGGAGUGAUACAGACGAGCAGCGUCAUGAUAAUAUAUGGCGCCCGUCCUUCUUAUCUUCUAAUGGUCCUCUUACGGUUGGGGACUCUGUGAUGAAGAAUAACAUAACUGCUACUGUGGUAGCUAGGAAUCUUCUCACUCCAAGGGAUAACAAGAUCCUUUCAGAACGGUCUGAAGAGUCGGCCGUUCAAGACUCAUUGGCUCUCAGUGUUCAGUGUGCUGGCUCUGUUUCCAAUAUGGGUCAACGCCUACUUGCUCAAACUCGCCAAGUUGAAUUAUUGAUGGCGGAGGUGGCAAGUCUUAAACAAGAGAUCAGAGGGCUCAAACACGAGAAUAGGGUGUUACACGUGCUUGCAAAUAGUUACUCUACGAGCAUGAAAAGAAAGCUCGACCAACUGCAGGAAUCUGAAAGUCGAAUUCAAAGUGAUCACCAGAGGUUUGUUGCUAGAUUCCGAAAGCAACUGAUGCCUUCCCCUUCUGGUGUUUUGCUAAGUAUUGGGGUGUCACAUGAUCAAUCUCCAGUGCCUCCUCCUUCUGGGGUACUUCCGAGUACUGAGGCUGCACAUGAGUAACCUUUGUGAAGGCUCCAUCCUGUUUGUUUAUUUUAACUCAUGUGUAUGUAUAUAUCUGUAAUUUCUUGGAGAUAUUAAUAAAUAAGUUUUAUUUCAUUCAAUGUAUUGUGCCAAAUACAAUAAAGCAUAUACUUCACUAAGAUGUGGUACUUCUGGACCAAGUAUUAAUUUAUCUUUACCCUCACGAAGAUAAAUGAUUAUUCUUAGUGUCUUCAUCAUAUGAGUAUUCAACUCAUAAUCUUCAAUCCAUAUGGUUCUUUUAAUAUCAUAAAUAUCAUGGAUAAGAUUCGUGUUGGUAGAUUGUUCGAUCUGCAGCUCGAAACAAUAAUUCCUUCAACACUUUAUAAUUUUUCUAGACUCUUCAGGAGUCCCAAUUUAAUAUCAUCAACUCUUCAAGAGUUAUAAUGUAUUGUCAUUGACUCUUGCAAGAGAUUUUAGUAUGUUGCAACAAUAUCAUAAUGAUAGUACUCACUAAGGCAAUUUAUAUCAUCCAUUGAUAUUGAGUAUAUAAUUUAUGCUUUACCCUUCGGGGGCUUACUUCAAGCAAUUUGAAUCCUUCAGGGAUUUUCUACACUUCAUGACACAUUUUCCUUUGGAAUUUAUACAGAGCAAUUUGCUCCCAUGUAUAUUUGAGGGAUUUACUUAUGGAGAUAUGAUGUGGGUGACUCACAACCCUUCAUAUAUAAUUCUCCAUUUAUAUGAACUCGUUUACAACCUUGUGUCAUAUCAUGUAAGUGUAUUACACUGUAUUACAAAUGCUCAUAUAUAACCUCAUUGGUUCAACAUCUUUUGGCUAUUUGUAUUACAUUCAAAUAUAUAGGUCCAUUUUUCCACGUUCUUACAAAAUUGUAAUGGAAUUGCCUUUCUCCAUUUUGGCCAAUAAUUUUUCUUUUGUCGACGAACAAAAGAACGUGACUCAAUAUUAACACAUCUCAUUGAUGAAUUUAGUAGCUACUUGUAAAAACCAAAAUUACCAUUGGUUAUCAUCAAUCCGUGAUCCCAUAUUCUCAUGUGCAUGCGCAUGCAUAAAAGCUUUUCAUUUCUUUGGAUAUCCAUUACCUCUUCAAGGGCAUGACGCUAUCUCUUCCAGGAUAGUCAUAAUUGAGAGAAUGUGGAUCAUAACCUCCUCUUGAGCGUUAUAGAGCUUGGAUUUUAAUCUCCACUUCCGGGAGUUGAGUCAUUGGAACCUAUAUGUCUAUUAUGCUUCAUGUAUGAGACAUCAACAUUCUCAUGUCUGUGGAUUGUCCUAUCUGGGACGUGUAUCCAUGCGGCGACUGUCAUGCUUCUGGCAUGCAACAGUUAUGCUUCGGGAAUGCAAUAGUUCAGUAGUGCCAUAUUAUUCUUCUUUCGAAUAACUGAACCUUUUGAGUUUAAAAAUCUGCCACGCUUCAGGCGUGCAACAGAUAAAUCAUUUAUUGUCUCAUUAUUUUAUCCAACAGAGACAUCAAUUCUUGUAGGCACAUUUGCAGUAAGUAUAUAUGAUUUCAUCACUUUCGUUGCAUCAUUCAAUUAUUCAUAUUUCAUUUUCUUAUUGAUUGCUUCGUGAAUCAAAAUAAGACAAAUUCUCUUCGUUCUUCUGAAACGGUCUUUUCUCAUCAUUCUUUUGGAAUGAUAUUUUCUCAUCGUUCUUCUGGAACGAUAUUAUUUUCUCCCCCUAAUGGCAGGAAAAUUGUCUUAUCAAAAUGACAGUCCGCAAACCAUGCGGUAAACAUAUCCCCAAUCAAGAAUUCCAAAUAUUGAAUGAUAGAUGGUGUUCAACAUCAAUGCCUAAUCUGCAAUGAUGCCCCAUUUCAGUACGUUGUGGCAGUCUUACAGGCACAUAGACAACACAACCAAAAACUCGUAAAUGUAUAAUGUUUGACUAGUUCCCAAACACGAGUUGUACUGAGCAAUAUUGAUGGUUGGAAAUUGGUCUCAUCCGAACUUAAUAAUGCGUCAUGUAAAAUGACAUGUCCCCAUGUAGAAAACUGGUAAUUUCGUUUUCAUGAGCAGAGCGCGGGUAAUCAAUUUCAUCCGCUUAAUAAAUGCUUCUGCUAAACCAUUUUAAGUAUGGACAUAAGGAACUUCUGGUCCUUAUUAAAUAGUUUAUGAACUGAAACUUUUAUGACAUUUAUUAUAAUUAAGUUGAGGCACUGUGGCACUUCAAACUUAAGGCACUCAUCAAGGAAUUUCAUGUCCUGAUCGUCAGGAUCAAAGGACUUCAUGCCUGAUCUUUUUGUAUGAUGGAACUUCGGGUCCAAUCAUUUUAUAUGAUGAUGAUCAAGAAACUGCAGGUUCUGAUCUAAUCAAGGAACUCUGGGUCCUUGUUAUACUCAUUGUAAUAAAAGAUAAGUACAAUAAAUAAAUUAAAGCAAUAGACGGUAAUUCCAACCAUAAUGAAUAAACAGCAUUUAAGUAAAUAAAGCUUAUGACAAGGGCUUUAAUUCAGCACCAUCAAAACUUAAAGCAAUAGGCGGUAAAACCGUCCAUGGUAAAUAAAUUGCUUUAAAGUAAAUAAAGCUUGUGACAAGGGCUUUGAUUCAGCACCAUUCAUAUAAAUAUCAAAGCUUUAAAGCAAAGGGUAAUAAUUCUACCCACUAUAAAUAAAUUGCUUUAAAUAAAUAGAACUUGUGACAUGGGCUUUAAACCAACACCAUGCACAUAAAUAUGCCAAAACAGAAAAUGCAAUGAUUAAGUCCUCAUGUUUUGCUUUUCAUUUUCUUGGUCUGCCACUUCUUUUGUUUCAUCCCUUUUAUUUUUAUUAUUAUUUCACAGUUCGAAGUCAUUUUUGGUUACUCAGUAAAUAAUAGUAACAAUAAGUUCCAAUUGGGGUUCCUCCUCCGGUGAGUUUCGAAAAAGUCGAAACGGUUCCCAUAAGUUUUGGAGUCAAGAGUGUCUGCAACUUAUGAGAAGAUCAAACCGUUAGAUUUAGUUCAAAAUUUAGUAUGAUAUGGAUAAGAGGAUACCAAACAACUUUCGUGAAGAAACAAUUUCGAUUUGAGCUACCGAAAUGGAGUUUUGGUACUCAUAAGGUGGCUGCCCAGUUUUCUGCGGAAAUUGGAAACUGGUUUGGUAUUUCAGACAUCUGCCACGAUCGCACCGUUAACAUUUUCUGAAAUUUUGAUAUGUUGUAGAUACUGAGCAGACGAACAACUUUCAAGAAGAAAGUAUUUCAAUCCGAGGUCCGCAAGUUGGAGUUCCGAGGCUAUUUACAUGGCUGUCAAAUUCUCUUACAAAUUUUUAGUCUUUUACUCUUUUGCUUCUGCAAAGGAUGAUAUACAGUCAUAUAACAAUAUAUAUAGUUGCUUCAAGAAAAUCAAUUGUACUGAGAUUUGAAGAUGAAAUGAAAAUUGUUUCUUAUCUGUGAGAUUCCAGCUGAAGGAGGUGAACAGGAUUUGUGGCGUUGUGCUUUCCACUGACAUGAGAGCUUCUCGUGCUGAUAACGUGUUGUAAAAUCGACGGUGGGUGCAGUGGAAUAAAUGAAACAAGACACAAAAUUUACGAGGUUCCUCUACAGUCAGUGUGACUGGAGUACGUCCUCGGGACAGCUGUGAUGCUUUCAUUAUAAUCUGAAAUAAUAGGAGUACAAAGAUAACUCUCUCUAUUAUCUCCUCUCAUCUUCCUCUAUUCUCUCUUCCUCUUCCUUUCUUCCUUUUCCUUCUUCUCUCCCGUGAACCUCACUCACUUCAUUCAUCUUCUUCCUUUAUAUAAACAAAAGAAAGCACUAUUCACUUUACAAAUUUUCCACAAAUGAAUAGUGAAAAUACUGUGCAUAAAUAGUAACAAACUAUUCAUGUGGACCAUCCACAUAAUAUUUACAACAGAAACUGCAAAACCCAGCUUUGAAAAACUGACUUUUUUCAUAUCUAUUUUACAUAAAAGUUUACCAAUCACUAUAAUACUGUUUUUUUUUUUCAAAAGCACUUUUACAAAAAAAUUUAUCAAACACUCUGCUGUUUUAUUUCACAGCCUAGCAGAAUCAAUUUUUUUUUUCAAAUAACAGCUUUACCAAACCAGAAUCGUGUUUUUAAUACACUAAAAAAUUUCUCCUACACGCAUGUAAGCGAUGGAUAACUGUUAUUACUGUUAAACAAGUACCUACCAAAAAUACGGGCCGUCUAUUUGUCUAGUGCGUCAAUGGGAAGAAGGAAGAAAAUGCUGAGACAAAAUUCUCAUAUAUUAAAAGGUAAGGGAUGACAUUCUGUGCAACUUGAUACAAAUAUUUCCCAUCCAAUUGGGAGACACAUAUAGCAAUGCUAGUCUCCAGUUUCCCCUUCUAUCUUAGGAUAAAUUCUACGACAAGUUACACAACAUCUUAAAUUGUCAUUGGAUUCUACAUCCCCCUGAAUCUUGUCCACGACGGACAUUGCCAUAGGCUGACAGUUCGAGAAGAUCCAUGUCACGACCUGCAUUUCAAAGCAAUACACUGUCACUUGCUACUAAAUUAGUUUGAAUUCAUCGCUGGAAGAACUUCCACAAGAUUUUGGGGUUUCUUGGGCUUACCUGAAACCCGACAAUAAGAACUCUUCUGGAUGAGCUCGGCUCUAGAAAACUCAGUCCGAUUUCCUUUUGAUCGAUUGACUGUUGCCUACAGUAUGCAAGAGAAGAUGAUUUUAUUAAGAGUAAGAUGUAACAUAUAAAAUUCAUGGCAAACGUCGGUUUCAAUCAUGAUCUGAAAUUUGAAUGCGACUGUAGAGUGCCAGACUUCAUAUGAAAGGAAAAUGAGACUUUGUGGAGAUCGGUCUAAGUUGUUAAGAAUCCUAAGAUAACUCUAGUAGUGUAGGUAUUUUGGCAGCCUUUUGAAGGUCAGCAAUAUAGAGUAGGAAUCUACUGUGUGCUAACAUCUACUGGUGAAGGGUUUCUAUGGAAUGGAGAUACCACCCAAAACCAAGAUACAAAAAUCGUGUAAUAGUCCAAGGUUCCAAAGAGGAAGGAAGUCCAUACCUGUAAGACCUGGCAAUUUUCGAGCGUACUUUGUCCUCCCUGAAAUGUGAAAAUAAAAAAGAUUAAUCCUCUCUCCGAAAGUAAUUUCAGGGAUCAGGAGCCUGGGGAAAACAAAAUAAAGAAUUACAUGUUCAGCUAUCAAGAUUAUCAUAUUAAAUUGGGAUGACACAGCAGCCCAUUUCUGAGCUCCUUGUUUCCUCUAACCAAGAGCAGCACAAAAGUCCACAGAACGAAACAUCUUUGGUGUUGGUUUCCAGACUUUGUCACAAAUUUGCGGCACCAAAACCAGUACAUUUAUGAGUUCACCAUAACUUUUCAAUCUGCACGAAACAGAUUGCAGAACAACCUUCUUCUUGAAAUGUGCUAAGUCGCUCCUUUUUCAAAACUAAUGUCUCAGCCAAUGCAUAUUCAUCACUGGAUUAUCUUCUAGUGCACUGUCAAUCGACUCAAUCCUAAUCAUUUGGAGCCAAGUUGGUAAAAAAUGCACCAGUGAAUCAAGCCUGCAUUACAGUCAGGUGAAAUGAUCUAGAAAAUGGGAUUGAAUCUCAAUAUUCCUCAAAGGCCUAAACAAAUCCUUCACCUAUAUUUGUAUCACCAUGAUUAACCAUAUUCUAUCACAGGCUAGUUUGAAUUCACAUAAUUCCACAACACUGGUCAUGCCACCCUGCCGCUCUCCACAUCUAUGGUCGCCAUCUAAAAUGAAAUUUGGGACCUCGUAGUCAUUCUGCUCAAUCAACUGCCAUAACAACUAACAAGACUCCAAUUUACCUUACAUGCAUUUUCCAUCAAAGGUGAGAAAAGCUUUCUACCUAAGCUUGUACUAGUACCUAUCACCUCCAGUAUCGUGCGUGCGUAUAUUCAAGUAGCAGUUUCAUAUAACCAUGUUCGCUUAUAUAAUAAGCAACGGCUGACUACAUAGCUACAAAAUAGCUCAACUUUGACAGCAGCAUUACUAAAUGUAUGAAAUUCAAUAGCACAAGCAUUUCCAAAUUGCAUCUUCUUUCCAUACAGAAUGCUAAAAAUUCCACCCACAGAAAUUAUAAGAUUCUAUGGGAAAAGCCACCAAACAAAAAGCAAAGAAAUUUGAAUUUGUAAAUAUCAAAUGCACCCCAAAAACAGAAACUCAAUUUCCAAAUCCAAAAGGAACCCACCUCACAAAACUCCAAUCACAAACCAAACCACUCAAAAAUCCAUAAAAAUGUGAAAUUUAGAGAGAAAGAGAGGAAUUUCACCUUGGAGUAAGGCACAAUGUGAUCAUAAUCAUGACAUAAGCAACCGGGGCAACCCACGAGCUUCCGAAAAAUGGUGUUUCCGAGAGGGUCACGGCGCCACCGGUCCGGGUCUCGACCUUUGAUCUUCUCCGCCUUGUCCCAGCACUGCUGCUUCACGCUGUACGGAAAGCUUCGUGGGUUGUUAUUAAAAGAAGAAGAAGUCGCGAGCUCUUCUUCGAAGCGAGUAGUGGCAGUGACGUCGGUGACGACGAGGUCCCGAUUGAGAAGAGCGGAGGCGCGAGGCUUCGGUGGGGAGCUGCUACGUCGUUCGAAACGGGCGGAGGGCGCGGCGGUUCGGUCCCUGAGUGGAGACGAAGGGCGGCUCCGCCUCUUUGACUCUUUGCUCGGCCUCAUCUUUUCUCAGAUCUUUUCUCAGAUUAUCACAAAACUGGAAAAUUUGGAAAAUUAAGCCAUCCGUAAAUGUAAAAGACGAUAAUACCCCUUAAUGUAUUUGUGAAUUGGUAGGAUAGAAACGACGCUAUCUAUUAGAGGAUUAAUUACAGCUGCAUUCCUUAAAACUCGAUUUCUUCUUACUUUAUUCUAUGAAACUCAAAAUGUCUUUCAUUUUGUCAUGAUAUGUGAAGAAGUUGAGAACGUUAUUAUCAUGGAAAAUGUGAGUGAAGAUGAUGAGGAUUUGUUCAUUUUUAUUUGUAUUGUGUGUUUGUUUGCCACCCGCUCACAAUGGGUGAGGCGCCCUACUAACCCUAGUAUGAUAGGACAUGUUUAACGUGACUUCACAAAAGCAGUGAAUAAAUUUCAAAUAUUAUGCCUCACUUGAUCAUAGCUCAAUCACUCAUCAAUCGUUUUAAUGUCCUGCUUAGUUACUGUGAACACGGAAAAUUCCUGAAACGAAAGAGACAAGAACAACGUGCACAAACAAAAUAUUAGUAUUUGAUGAUUUUGGGUUACAAUCUCUCUCUAAUUUGAUCCUCUGAUUCGAUCUCCGUAAGGUGUUGAUUUGUGGAUGUUUCGUUGAUCCAAGGGCCGUCGGGGCUUGAUCUUGGAUGAACUGUUGGAAGUUUCUUCAAAGGGCCGUGGGCUUGAUCUUUGAAGGUGGAUUUGAGCGGAUCUUCAAGGGCUUUUGGGCUUGAUCUUGAAGAAACAGUGAUGAACAGAUCUUCAAGGGCUUUUGGGCUUAAUCUUGGAUGAACUGUUGGAAGUUUCUUCAAAGGGCCGUGGGCUUGAUCUUUGAAGGUGGAUUUGAGCGGAUCUUCAAGGGCUUUUGGGCUUGAUCUUGAAGAAACAGUGAUGAACAGAUCUUCAAGGGCUUUUGGGCUUAAUCUUGGAUGAACUGUUGGAAGUUUCUUCAAAGGGCCGUGGGCUUGAUCUUUGAAGGUGGAUUUGAGCGGAUCUUCAAGGGCUUUUGGGCUUGAUCUUGAAGAAACAGUGAUGAACAGAUCUUCAAGGGCUUUUGGGCUUAAUCUUGAAGAACGGUUGGAUGUGUGGAUUUGUCGACGUUUGUUGAUCCAAAGGGCCGUUGGGGCUUGAUCUUGAAGGUGGAUGAUUGUUGAUCCAAGGGCCGUCGAGGCUUGAUCUUGGAAGAACGAUGAACGAAGAACGAAGAACACUUUCUUGAUUCUUCGGGAACCUGGAUGCUUGAGAGCUUCGGAGUUUCAGAGCUUCAGAGCUUCAAGGUGUAAUAUGAAUUGGUUCCUCAAAUGAAUGAAAUGGGCUUGUAUUUAUAGAAUUUUCCAAGGCCUAAUUUUGAAUAUAAUAUCCCAGAUGAAAUAAGUCGUUUCUGCCAGGUGUUGACACGUGUCCUAUUUGAUGACUUUUCCAACUCAUUUCAAUUUUCGUUGAGUUACACGCUACGUGUAAAAUUUAUGUAAUACAUGAGCGUUGACACUUUGAUUUAUCGGUCAAUACCGAAAUUUCGAUGUCUACAGUUACAAGUCUACGCUACCAGACUCAAUAGAAUUUGGUCAUUUUUACUUGGGAAGGAAGUUAGUGAUGAACAGAUUCAACGUCCAUUGUUUUUUUAGUUUUGUCCUACAAAAUCCCUUUACUAAUAUGGGUAAUGAGUUCGAUGACAUUGUAAAGGGCUCUUGCCCCAUUUUUUACCAUCGAAUUCUAAGAAGGUCUGACGAUUUUUCGUCGGCGAAGAUGGCGGGUCAUAUAAAAUUCAAGACUGAAAUUUCGACCUUGGAUAUAUUUUGGCUUCUUAACAUUGUGCUCACAAGUCUUCUCUCGGCAAAAGAAGACUUGAGAGAUUAAUUUAACUUCUUUUUCACACUUGAAAUUUCUCUGCAAUUUGGCCUUUCCUGCAUGGGAAUAUGAUGCAUGCAAAGACCUGGAAAUUUCCAUGACGUAACGACUGAUGCCUAAUAAAUUAACAAAGAAGAGACAACUAGUAGCAACUCAACAAACUUUCUCUGCAAUUUUGUAUGAAAUUUCCUUCACUUUCUCAAAAUUCCUUGGAAACUUAUAAGCAACUCUUUAGGUCUGUACAAACCUACCUCCGUUCUGCUUCCCACACUCAACCCUCAAGUCUCUCAACACUCCCAAGUCGUAAUUAAUUAAUUUACGAGCGGUUUAAUUAAGCAAUCUCUCUACUCUUUUAUUUCGACUCGCUAGUUUUCUUCCCACCCACGACAUGGAGAAGGCGAUGAACGAAGGCAUCGGAUGCAGCCCCGUUUCACUUGUUGCACUUCUCUCAGUCCUAAUCAUUCUUAACUGGCUCAUUGUACUGCACUUCCAAUCGAAUUUACGCUACUUGUUUUUAUGUUUCCUUUGCGAAGUUAUGCAGGUUAAGACCAUUUUCCAAAGAAGUUGCACUGAUGAGAAAGUAUGUGAGCACAAACCAUCCAAAGGAGUUGAAACCAACUCUACAACAAGUUCUGAUCAAGUCCCCUCGAUUCAUGCCGCAGAGAUUAGUUACACUCGCGAAAAUGUUGUAGAUGGAAAAAAGAAUCUGUGUUUAGGAGAACUAGGACUAGUGAUGGAGAAACUAGAAACAUUAAGUGAGGGGGAGGGAGGCUCGAAGGAGAUUGCUAACUUGUUUGAGGAGGUCCCAAGCUUGGAGGAAGUAAAAGAAGCUUUUCAUGUGUUUGAUGAGAAUGAGGAUGGAUUCAUUGAUGCCGGGGAGGUAAAGAAGGUUCUCUCUGUAUUGGGUUUCGUUGAAGCUUCGGAAGUGGAAUGCGAAAGGAUGAUCAAGUCGUUUGAUGAUAACGGAGAUGGACGCAUAGAUUUCAAUGAGUUUGUUAAGCUCAUGGAGAACAGCUUCCGCUGAGUUACCAACAUAAAAUGUUCACAGAUUUUGGUUAAAUGAGUUGCUAAAGCCGCUCGCAUCCUUCUCUUUCUUUCUUUCUUUCUUUCUUUCUUUCUUUCUUUCUUUCUUUCUUUCUUUGUGUUAGUUUUAGGUGCCUUGUCAAAGCUUUGAGUAUGCCUUUAGGCUCUUAUAAACGAUUUAAUUGCUUUCAUGCGUGUCAUUGUUGGCCUAGUUUUAGGUGCCUUGUCAAAGUUUCGAGUAUGCCUUUAGGCUCUUAUAAACAAUUUAAUUGCUUUCAUGCGUGUCAUUGUUGGCCAAGAUCAACAUAUUGAUUGUUUCGUAAGUAUUCGUCGAGCUUGUUUGCUUGCACGGCAACAAGUAAACUGGACUUCCUAUCAAGGAUUGUUUCAUGGAGGGGUUAAAUCCAUGUCAAGUUCUUUUUCAUGCCUUGGUGAUAAGGAAUUUUAUAACUCCGCCGUGUAAGUUUAUCUUACAUUGCCGGUCCCAAGCCCGGAUAAAGGAGGAGGGGGAGGGCGUCAGGUAGUCGACAGCCGGCACUCCAUGAUCACGUCGAAUCCUUAUGAAAAUGAAUCCAGAACGAAAUCGCGCUAAAGCUAGGGCGUCACCCGUAAGUGGCGCGCUGUGUGGCCCGAGCACAGUGAUAAGUGAGCAAGGGUCGCUGUAUCUCCAUCGGCACCCGGAUGCAGUGUUAAAUGAGCAAGGGGGCUAUAGAAACUUCUUUUCGAACGACUCCACUCAAAGUUGUUUGGGAGCAUAUGCUCCUAUCAACUUUACACGGGACACACAAAAGAAGUACUUUGAUCCUAUUAGACGGGGAAGGGUGAAGAAGCUAGGACAGAAGGGUAGAGUUCAAGAGAGCAAAAUGCGUUUAGGAACGUGGAAUAUAGGAACCUUGACGGGAAAAUCUAUGGAAGUAGUAGAAGUUAUGGUGAGGAGAAGGAUAAAUAUUAUGUGCCUACAAGAAACUAAGUGGGUUGGUUGUAAGGCAAAGGAUCUAGAAAACUCAGGGUUUAAACUAUGGUAUUCGGGCACAAAUAGAACGAGAAACGGUGUUGGCAUCAUCGUGGACAAGACCUUGACACAAGAUGUUGUAGAUGUCAAGAGGGUAGGAGAUAGAAUCAUGGCAAUCAAGAUUGUAAUAGGACAAGAACUUAUCAAUGUGAUUAGUGCGUACGCACCUCAAGUAGGGUUGGAUACGAGUUCGAAGGAGAAAUUUUGGGAAGACCUUGGAGACUUGGUGCAAGGAAUUGCUCAGACGGAGAAGUUAUUUAUUGGAGGAGAUUUAAAUGGACACGUGGGCAGGGAGACAGGCAACUAUGGAGGUUUUCAUGGUGGCCAUGGUUUUGGGGAGAGAAACGAGGAUGGGGAAGCUAUCUUGGAUUUUGCAAUGGCAUAUGAUCUCUUCUUAGCCAACACCUUCUUUAAGAAGAGAGAGAAGAACAUGUGAUCACCUACAAGAGUGGGUCGUCAAAAAACACAAAAUAGAUUUUCUUCUAAUGAGGAAAAGGGAUCGUAUAACUUGUAAGGAUUGCAAAGUUAUACCAGGAGAGAGAGCGUGGCUAAUCAACAUCGCUUGUUGGUGAUGGAUGUACAUAUCAAAAGAGUGAGAAAAAAGAACAAGACUUAGAAGUGUCCAAGGACUAGAUGGUGGAAUCUAAAAGAAGAAAAACAAGUCAUUUUCAAAGAGAAAGUAAUCACCCAGUGUGUGUGGGAUAGAGAGAGAGAAGCUAACCAAAUGUGGGAUUCCAUGGCUAGUUGUAUCCGAAAAGUAGCAAAAGAGGUAUUAGGAGAGUCCAAGGGCUUUGCCCCACACCAAAAGGAAUCUUGGUGGUGGAAUGAGGAGGUACAAGCAAAGGUGAAGGCUAAGAAGGAAUGUUGUAAAGCCUUAUACAAGGAUAAGACCGAUGAAAAUGGUGAAAGGUAUAGAAAAGUGAAGCAAGAGGCGAAGAAAGCUGUGAGAGAAGCUAAGUUAGCGGCUUAUGACGAUAUGUAUAAGCGACUAGAUACCAAAGAAGGAAAGUUGUAUAUCUAUAAACUAGCUAGAGCAAGGGAAAAGAAGACAAGGGACCUAAACCAAGUGAGGUGCAUCAAGGAUGAGGAUGGAAAGGUUCUUGCUACAGAGAAUGCGGUUAAAGACAGAUGGAAAGGUUAUUUUCAUAAUCUUUUCAAUGAAGGACAAGAAAUGAGUGCUUCUUUAGGGGAGUUGAGUAACUCAGAAGAGUGUAGAAAUUACUCUUUUUAUCGUAGAAUCCGGAAGGAAGAAGUGGUUGUAACUUUGAAGAAGAUGAAGCAUAGAAAAGCAGUAGGCCCAGACGAUAUACCAAUCGAAGUGUGGAAAGUUUUGGGAGAGACAGGUAUAACAUGGCUCACUGACCUUUUCAAUAGGAUUUUGAAAACGAAGAAGAUGCCGAAUGAGUGGCGAAUGAGCACUUUGGUGCCUAUCUACAAGAAUAAGGGCGAUGUACAAAAUUGCAUGAACUAUAGGGGUAUUAAGCUAAUGAGUCAUACAAUGAAGCUCUGGGAGAAAGUCAUUGAGCAUAGAUUGAGGCAAGAGACACGGGUUUCGGACAACCAAUUCGGGUUCAUGCCAGGGCGCUCAACCAUGGAGGCAAUCUAUCUCUUACGAAGAUUGAUGGAAAGAUAUAGAGAUGGGAAAAAGGAUUUACACAUGGUCUUUAUAGAUUUGGAAAAAGCGUAUGAUAGGGUCCCAAGAGACAUUCUUUGGAGGAUUUUAGAGAAGAAUGGAGUACGAGUAGCAUAUAUCCAAGCUAUACAGGAUAUGUAUGAAGGAGCAAAGACUGCCGUAAGAACUCAUGAAGGACAAACCGAAAGCUUUCCCAUAACUGUAGGAUUACAUCAAGGCUCAUCCUUAAGUCCUUACCUUUUUGCGUUGGUAAUGGAUGAGUUAACAGGACAUAUUCAAGGUGAUAUUCCUUGGUGUAUGCUUUUCGCAGACGAUAUAGUGUUGAUAGAUGAAACUCAGGAAGGGGUAAAUGCAAAGCUUAACCUUUGGAGAGAAGUGUUGGAAUCUAAAGGUCUUCGCCUAAGCCGAUCAAAGACAGAAUAUAUGGAGUGCAAGUUCAAUGCAAAUGGAGGCCAAAACGAGUUAGGGGUAAGGAUUGGAGAUCAAGAAAUACCAAAGAGCGACCGUUUUCGUUACCUAGGAUCUAUCUUGCAAAAGAACGGAGAAUUAGAUGGAGAUCUCAACCAUAGAAUACAAGCUGGAUGGAUGAAGUGGAAGAGUGUAUCCGGCGUGUUGUGUGACCGCCGUAUGCCACUGAAGCUCAAGGGAAAAUUUUAUAGGACGGCAAUAAGGCCGGCGAUGCUGUAUGGCACAGAAUGUUGGGCGGUGAAGCAUCAACACGUACACAAAAUGGGUGUAGCGGAGAUGAGGAUGCUUCGCUGGAUGUGUGGGCACACGAGAAAAGAUAAGAUUAGGAAUGAGGAUAUCCGGGGUAAAGUAGGAGUAGCCGAAAUUGAAGGAAAGAUGAGAGAAAAUCGGUUACGGUGGUUUGGACAUGUGCAAAGAAGGCCUACUGACGCUCCGAUUAGAAGAUGCGACUAUAGGACAGAGGUUCAGGGCCGAAGGGGUAGAGGAAGACCUAGGAAAACUUUGGAAGAGACCCUAAGAAAAGACUUAGAGUACUUGGAUCUAACGGAUGACAUGACACAGGACAGAACACAAUGGCGUUCUAAGAUUCAUAUAGCCGAUCCCACUCAGUGACUUGGAUUUUCCAAGUCUCCAACCGAGAAGUUUUCCUCACUCGGGAAAUUAAGGGAACACUACCUCAACCUAUAUGCUCCACUCACAAAGCUUCAACAUACAAGCUUCAACAAAAGAAAAUUAAAAAAACUUAGCGAAGAAGGCUUUGGUGUAUUUAACACAAUACGUUGAAAUGAAGAAAAGCUUAUUUAUUGAUAUCCUCGAUAAGUUACAAAUAUGUACAUAUACUUGAGUCAAAAUAAACAAACAAGAGGGAGCCUUCACAAAGGUUGCUUAGGAGAAGUCUCAGCAGUCGAUAGAGCCCCAGAAAGAGAAGGCACCGGAGGGGGAUCAUUCGGAGCCUCAGUACUGGACAAAACCCUAGAAGGAGGAGGCAUCAGAGGUUGAUCAUUUGGAGCUUCAUUACGCGGUACAGCCCCAGAAGACGAAGGCAAUAAAUGCCUUUGGAACAAACCCACAAAUCUCUGAUGAUCAAGUAAAACCUGACCAUCAGAUUCCUUCAUCUGGUCAAGCUUCCUCUUCAUGUUUGUAGCAUAGUCAUGUGCGAGCCGGUGCAACUGUUUAUUCUCAUGCUUGAGCCCUCUAAUCUCCUGUUUGAGACUCAUCACUUCAGCCGCCAAUGAUUCAACUUGGCGGGUUCGAGCAAAAUAGGCGUUGGGCCAUAUUAGACACAGAACAUGCACACUGAACACUGAGAGCCAGAGAAUCCUUAACAGCCAACUCAUCAGACCGUUUGGAAAGUAGUCUGUUAUCUUUGGGAGUGAGAAGGUUCCUGGCCACUACCGCAGCGGUCAUAUCAUUCUUCAUCAUGGAAUCCCCAACGGUAAGAGGACCAGUAGGGGAGACGAAGGAUGGGCGCCAUAUGUUGUCUGGAGAAGGCGGGGCUGCCUCUUCAACAAGGUUCAAGUCAAAACAACGGUCGGAGGGGCCAGACAUUUUCAAAUGUGUUGAAGAGAGAAGAGGUCGGACAAAUCAAGAUCUUAGAAGUGCAAGAAUUUAGCUUCUACUAGUGGAUCUUCAAGUGUGCUUUGGAACUUAAUGUCAGCCCCUAUAAAAAUCUGCACUCGACGAAGCUUCAAAAAUCGAAGAGGCGCCUGCUCAGAAAUCGAAGAUGCGUUUGCUUUCUCAAAAGCUGGGCUGCUCAGAGACCACGAGGGUCGAUCUCAGAAAUCGAAGAGGCGUUUGCUUUCUCAAAAGCUGGGCUGCUCAAAGACCACGAAUGCCGAUCUCAGAAAUCGAAGAGGCUUGCUUUCUCAAAAGAUGGGCUGCUCAGAGACCACGAGGGCCGAUCUCAGAAAUCGAAGAGGCACCUACUUUUCCAGCCUUGUCAGCACCUGUCACACGCACACUCAACUUUGUGGAAAUUAUGGGCAUUCUGUCGAAGAUUUCUGGCGAAGUAGAAAGCACAUGAAUCGUACUGUUCAAUCACCCACUUCCCACACGCAACAGUAGCUCAUGGGUACCACAGAUAACUUUGCCAAAGUUCUCUGACAAAGUUGAGACACGUGAAGUUUGCAGCUCCCACUACAUCGCUCUGACCAAGAAGGGUAAAAGAAUUGCAAAGAAACAACACUAACAAAGUUUAGACACAUAAAUUUUGAAGGUCUAGCUUCCAUAUUAUUACCCACAAGGGUAAAGGAAUAGUACCACUGCUGGAUAAUUGGAAUGUCCCGGUGUGUCAACCUCUGUGCUUCGUGGCAAGGUAGACUAGCAAACAUGCCCAACCUUUACUCACAUUCGAGAAAAACACUCCCAACAAGAUUGCUUGCUCCAAAAUCGAAGAGGCACCGCCCUCCGAAUCUCGAGAGCCAGACUCCUAACAUGAUUACUUUCUCAAAAAUCGAAGAGAGGGUAAAGGAACAGUACCACUGCUGGAUAAUUGGAAAGUCCCUGUGAGUCAACCUUUGUGCUUCGUGGCAAGGUAGACUAGCAAACAUGCCCAACCUUUACUCACAUUCGAGAAAACACUCCCAACAAGAUUGCUUGCUCCAAAAUCGAAGAGGCACCGCCCUUCGAAUCUCGAGAGCCAGACUCCCAACAUGAUUACUUUCUCAAAAAUCGAAGAGAUGGUAAAGGAACAGUACCACUGCUGGAUAAUUGGAAAGUCCCUGUGUGUCAACCUCUAUGCUUCGUGGCAAGGUAGACUAGCAAACAUGUCCAACCUUUACUCACAUUCGAGAGACACUCCCAACAAGAUUGCUUGCUCCAAAAUCGAAGAGGCACCGCCCUCCGAAUCUCGAGAGCCAGACUCCCAACAUGAUUACUUUCUCAAAAAUUGAAGAGACACCGCUCUCCGAAUCUCGAGAGCCAGACCCCCAGCAGGAUUGCUUUCUCAAAAAUCGAAGAGGCAUCGUUCUCCGAAUCUCGAGAGCCAGAUCCCCGACAGGAUAGCUUGUUCGAAAACCGAAGAGACACCAAUUUCCCAACUUCAAGAGCUGGAUCUCCUUGGAUAAAGCUUGUCUGUAAUCUUCACACGCAACAUCAGCUUUCCAGAUACCACGCACAGACCACUUUUUCAAAGUGCUCUGACAGAGUUAAAACAUGUGAAGCUGGCAGCUCCCACUACCGUGCUAUGACCAAGCAGGGUAAAGGAAUAACAUUAUUACUUGAUGUUAGGGAGACUCCUAUAUAUGUCGACCUCCAUCCCUAAUGGACAGGCAGACCAACAAAAAUGCUCAACCCUUUCUCUUAUCUGAGAGGGCACUCCCAACGAAGCCUUUCGAAAUAUUCAGCUUUCUUUCCCCCCGAUAAUACCUCUGUAAACAAGCUAUACUAGAGCAAGAAUAUCUCAUAUCAUCAGGGUUAAAAGCAAGAGUAUCCCAUAUCAUGCUUUUUCCCUGUCUUUUCCUUUGGCCUUGUUCUUACCUGCAAGACAAGGAGAAAGAGAGCAAUCAGUCAGCACUUGGAAUCAAGCUUCCAGCCAGGAACUGACUGCCUGGAACCCCUUACCUGAUUACUUACCUGGCAUUGCUCUCGAGUACUCAUCUUCAACAUCUUAUGCUUCCAGGGAAGAUACCGCAUCUGCCUGAGGAACAGAUAGGGCAAGUGAGAAUGAUACAAUGAAGCAUGUGGAGACAAGCGUAACAGCACACGUGCCGAUACAUCCACUACUUUGUCAAAAGCAAAAGUAUCCCAUAUCAGCAGGGUCGAACGUACUCUAGAUUUGAUGGACUUGUUUUGACCCUCAAAUUCUUCAGUCGACCUUAUACUCUGGAGGAAACCAGAAAACCCUCCAGCCCAGUUCAAGAAUAAGCCUGUGGAAAGUUACUUCUUCAAAAGCAAAAGUAUCCCAUAUCAUCUCUUCUCAUUUUUCUUCUCUUUAUCCUUCAUGCUGCCUGCAAGAUAGGGAGAAUGUGAACAAUCAGCCGGAGCUCUGAUUGCUUACCUUGUCUGUCACCUCUUUCAGCAGAUCCCCUAGCUCGGCGACUUGGGGGACUCCUACUACAUGGUUUGUAUCGCGCUUGACCAAGCAUGAAACUACAAGUAAGCUUCAAGUGAAAUUGAUACAUUACCUUGUGCAUCUCCACCAGUUACAGAUACCACCCCUGGAUGGAGGAAGAGUACUUCCAGAGAAGAUGCCACAUCUACCUAUGAGACAGAUAAGGCAAGUCAAGACGAUACCACAUUCCGGUACUUAGAAGUUUCGUGGCUACGAGAUCAUUCUCCCACAAUAUUUUCUAAUGUCAUUUGUACUAAAUCAUUCACUUGUACUCACUAAAGGAGAGCUUGAACCUAUGUACUUGUGUAAACCCUUCACAAUUAAUGAGAACUCCUCUAUUCCGUGGACGUAGUCAAUCUGGGUGAACCACGUACAUCUUGUGUUUGCUUUCCUAUCUCUAUCCAUUUAUAUACUUAUCCAACUAAUGACCGGAGCAAUCUAGCGAAGAUCACAAAAAGUGACCAUUUUCGCUACCUAGGAUCUAUCUUGCAAGAGAACGGAGAAUUAGAUGGAGAUCUCAACCAUAGAAUACAAGCUGGAUGGAUGAAGUGUAAGAGUGCAUCCGGCGUGUUGUGUGACCGUCGUAAGCCACUGAAGCUCAAGGGAAAAUUUUAUAGGACGGCAAUAAGGCCAGCGAUGCUGUAUGGCACAGAAUGUUAGGCGGUGAAGCAUCAACACGUACACAAAAUGGGUGUAGAGGAGAUGAGGAUACUUCGUGGGAUGUAUGGGCACACGAGAAAGGAUAAGAUUGGGAAUGAGGAUAUCCGAGGUAAAGUAGGAGUGGCCAAAAUUGAAGGAAAUAUGAGAGAAAAUCGGUUUCGGUGGUUUGGACAUGUGCAAAGAAGGCCUACUGACGCUCCGGUUCUAAAAUAUGACUACGGGACAGAGGUUCAGGGCUGAAGGGGUAGAGGAAGACCUAGGAAAACUUUGGAAGAGACCCUAAGAAAAGACUUGAGUACUUGGAUCUAACGGAGGACAUGACACAAAACCGAGCGCAAUGGCGUUCUAGGAUUCAUAUAGCCGACCCCACUUAGUGGGAAAAGGCUUUGUUGUUGUUGUUGUUGUUGUUGUUGGUGAUAAGGAAUUUUAUAUUGAUGCCAAGAGAAGACCACAAACUGAUUAGAAGUGAUCUAAGUCAGUUUGCAAUCUUCGUUAUGAAUGUAAAAGCAGUAAGUGGAACAAAACAGAAUAUAAGUCAAUGGAUGAAUGUAAAGAGCUGUAAAGACUUGCUGAACAUUAAUCAAAAGCAUAGUAAAUUGCAUAGAAAUAUAACAACUUGAAAAUAAACAAUUAAUAAAGUAAUCAGACAAAAUUAAACCUAUUCGGGCAAGUUUUACCUAGAGUCGGGCAAACUUGUCCACCGAUAGGGGAAGUGCUAGUAAAGAUAGAAAGCGUUUGUGGAAGAGAUUUUAAUACAAGAGAUUGAUAAUACAAAUAAUGAGAGCUAUAAAGGUAAAAGAGUGUCUGAAGUACAAAAGGAAUUUGUAAAAGUAGGCUUGCAGAACUUUGAGUAUGUUGAGUUAAGUGUCCCUUUCUUCUUCCUUUAUGCUCCCAUUUAUAGAACCGACUCUUCGUUCUAGAGUAAGCUUUUCUCUCUAAGUUCAUUCCCUCUAAUUUAAGUUACUGAUGUGAUUGUUGUUAGAUGAUGAGUUUUCCCUUGGUAAUUCGAGCUUUUAUCCUCUCAAAACUACGAGUUUGCAACUUUUUUCAAAAACUGGGCUGGGCACUAUUCAUUUUGCUGAGAACCCAUUAAACUUUUACACUUAAAUCCAGUGUUUCCGGAUCAACUAGAAUGUUGUUUUCAUGUCCUAGUAAAUAUAUGAAAUCUGAUCAAAUUGGAGAGGUAGAUAAGAUUGAGCAGCAAACCAAUUGCACUAGCACAAAAUUUUUAUCUCCAAAAGUAAUUAAAGUCUCAAAACAUAAAACUUCCAAUAGCUACUAUAGUUAACAAAACCGACCUAACUAAGACAACCAAAGCUCAAUAACCUGUAAUGAAAAUUAAUGGUCAAUAAUUUUUCUUAACUUUCCGACGUGGGACAACACUCCAUAUCCUCGUACUGUUGCACUGACUCUGCAAAAAGUGAUAAUCUUUGUGCUUAAAUUGGUAGUGAGAGUAGAGUUGCUAGUGAGAGUAGUUAUCGUAUAAAAGCGUAAUGUACAACUUCGACGAUGUAAAAAGGCUUUGUUGGUAAGAGUAGGUAUUGUGUUGGAGCGUAAUGUACAACAACUCCUAUGAAGUGAAAAAGUUUCCAACAAACGAAUGGGCCACCAUCCGUUUUGUUGUCGAGGGUUGACAAUUGGGUCGACAGUCUUUGGCCCAAAUUUUCUUCAUUCCCGCAAUGAACCUCUGUCGACUUUCAGCACCAUUACUGUACCUGUCACUCUCUCUCUCUCUCCCCGCCGCAGGGGGCAGCUCGCCGGUGUCGUCGCCCCUGUUUUCGACCCGAUAAAGGUAAGAGCUUUGGCCUUUGAUUUCCAUAUUGUUAAUUGUAUGUUAUUUUUUCCUUCCCAAUUGACAUAGUCCGAUUGUGUGGCUAAGAAGAAACACAGAUUCAUCUUUUUGUUAUCGUUUUUUAUAUAAAGAUUUCGGAAUUUAUACUGUGAAUGUGUGUGUGUGUGCGCGCGCGUGUAUGUGUGUGUGUGUGUGUAUAUAUAUAUAUAUAUAACUUGGUCAGAGGAGAAAUAAGCAAAACCCAGUUGCAUGCUGUUACCCAAUUUGUAUUUGCAAUCAAAGAUGGAAGCUUUUCUGAUGAAUUUUUACAGUUUAAUUAGCUAAAAAAGUGUUUAGUUUCAUUUUCUGUGUGGUGAUUUUUGUUUCUGUGGAUGUGUUUUGAUGGAUAGGAUGGUUUCAAUGACUAUUCCUCAAGGAAGAAACUUUGGGCUUCCAUUCAUGAACCUUGUCAGAUUAAAGGGAAUUCCCAUUCUCCAACAGCUUCAUUUAGAGGAGCAACUGCUUCGGACCUCGUCCGAUAAUUGGUGCAUUAUAAAUGAUGGAACUAAUGAUCCCGCUAUAGUCAUGGGUGUUUCGGGGUAAGAUGAGCUUCAACACUCCUUGUGACCUUGUUUAAGUUUGUUGGUUCUUUCCUUGACUACCAUUACCGAGCUAGUAGCAAACACGUAGAUGAUGUUGUCGUGAUCUGUCCAAGAUACGAGUGUCAUGCUUGGUCAAUCGUAGACAUAUUUUCCAAAUUACAUGAUUCUGGCUGUGCUCAUUCUCUUAGGUUUGUGAUUUUGUUAUUUAUUUAACUCCUUUUUUGUAUUGGAGAUUGUAAAGGAUCCGUGUGUGUUCUGCAUAGAAAACCUGCAGAGCUUCUUGAAAUUGAUUUGGUGUUACGAGACCAGAUUCCCGUCAUUAGAAGGUUUACUGGAGGUGGUACUGUUACUGUUGAUCAGAAUACCCUAUUUGUCACUUUCAUAUGCAACAAGGAUGCGGUUCCUGGCUUGCAACCAUAUCCUCGACCUAUAAUGUCGUGGAGUAGCCUAGUAUACAGCAAAGUGUUUGAAGGACUUGCUGAUUUUCAGCUUCGUGAAAACGGUACCUUAACUAACCUUUUCUAACAUUAUUGGUGCUUUAGGCUUAUAAGAUUAUGUGUUUGUUGUGUUUAUUACCCUGAUUUGUUUUCUUUUUCUUACCUCUUUUGUUUCUUGCUAUUUGGAUUCGAAUUUCUCGAUGCAAUUUGAGGUUCUUUAUUUGAUGUUUUCUGUGUGGUAUCAAAUGUUAGUUUUAUGUUUGGACUGUGCCCUAAUAACAUAAUUGGUCCUAUCGGAAUGUAGAUUAUGUAUUUGGUAACCGCAAGUUUGGUGGGAAUGCUCAAUCUAUUAGUAAAAACCGGUGGAUCCACCACACUUCCUUUCUAUGGGACUAUGAGGUUAGGAACAUGGCAUACCUGAAGCAUCCAAAACGGGUUCCUGAAUAUCGAUUGGUAUGUUAUGUGUAUCAAUGUGUGUUUCAAAUGUGCCUCAAAGAAAAUCUCUGAAUUUCACAGCUUAAAUAGCCUAUUAGUUUAUUGCUUGUCAUUGAGGCCUAUAUUUUGAUGCUAAUAUGCUAUCUAUUUCCUUUGCAGGCAAGAGACCAUUUAGAAUUCAUAUGCCACAUGAAAGACUACAUCCCAAGAUCAGUUUUUCUUGAGAAAACUGUUGAGGCAAUCGGAACCCAUUUCUCCGUGAGACCCGAACAGUCGGACACCAUUGAAGCUACCUCGAAUACGAAGUUUGUACCCUCAACUAGACUUUUGACAAGGCAGGAAUUAGAGGAAGCAGCAGCUUUUGAAUCUCAAGCUGAGAGAAAUCUCACUCAAUCAUUGUCAUUGUAAUGAAAGUGUGAAUGCUAAGAAAGACUCUUAAAAGUAGGACUCUCUGCCACCUUAUGUUUUUGACGCAAUGUUUUAUAAUGUUGGCACAAGAAUUGACGUUAAACUGUGAGGUAACACAAAGUCCAUGGAGCUUCACACUGUUGAGAGAGUCUAGUUAGCAUUUCUUUUUAUUAUUCAUUAACAAUUUUUCAAUAAAUGUAACCUUUUUUUUCAAUCAAAACAAAUGUUAUAUACCUUUUUGGACAAUGAAUUAUAUGUCAGUCCAUUUUUUUCUUGGGAAUUUGCAAUGCAAGUAAGUUUUUAAAUACAUGACCAUCGGAGAACUUCAGUACACUUGGGAUGCUAUUUUCGUUAUUACAAACUAAUCACGUAUUGCCACGUAGUAUCUCAACAUAAUCACAUAUUUCAUUAUGAAAUGCUAGUAAUGCGUGAUUGGCUUGGAAUAACGCGGUAUAUGCAAGUUUCUCAACUCGACCAGCCUACCAUGUUAACCGCAAAGAGAGCCAUGUAGGCUUUCUUGGUGGAGAAGCUUUUCGCAUUCCCAACCCAAGAUUUUUGUUGUUUUUUCCUCUUUUCAUUCUCGGUGCCACUGCAAACUCACAAAGCGCACCGUUCAUUACACCUCUCUCUCUCUCUCUUUCUCUCUCUCUCUCAACACACUCUGUCUCUCUCUGCCGCAGUAAAUUUCUGGUGGUGGUUCUGCAUAUUUUAACGACCGAAAUCACAGCUUGACCCGUCGUCUGCAAAUUCGUAAGCUUUCAAUCUUAACACCCCAUUUCCUUCCUUCCCUCCAUGUUACUCUGCUAUUACUUUUUCUGGCUUCCCCUGUAUUCGUUUUGAAUUUCCCUUUUACCAUAUUCAUAAAAAUGUCACCUUUUCACAUUGAUUUUUAAUAUUUCUCAUUUGGGUCCACGCUUUUGUGGAUUUUUAUUAAAUUUUUUGUUGUUGAUUUCGUGGAUUAUCAUCUUUUGGGAUUGCAGACAUUUGCUUGUAUUUGUCAUUAGGUGGUCGUUUUCUUUCUGGGAUUUUAAGGUUUCACGAGAUUGUCUGUUUCACGAGAUUGUCUGCUUUUGUGAUAAGUAGCCUCUGUUUUUCUGCACAAAACAAUUAAUUGUUCAGAAUUGGGGUGGAGUUUGUUUUUUUUGAAUAAAUGGUUAUCAAGUUCUGGUUCCUGGGAUGAAAGCUGCAUUUGGAGAAGUGCUUUUUGUUGUGUAAUUGAAGUGAGUCAAUGUGCAUUUCAACAAGAAACAAGAGUAUUGAGAAAUUUUCGCAGUUGCGCUUCGUAAGAUUUUCGAGGGGUUUGCUUGUUGGAUUGCAGGAUGGGAAGGGUUAAGUUAAAGAUAAAGAAACUAGAGAGCAGUGGGAACCGGCAGGUUACGUUUUCAAAACGGAGAAAUGGGAUCUUGAAGAAAGCUAAGGAGUUAUCAAUCUUAUGUGAUGUAGAUAUUGUCCUUCUCAUGUUUUCCCCCACUGGAAGGCCUACAUUAUUCCAAGGGGAGCGCAGGUAUUGUAAGCGGAAAGUUUACAUUCGUUCUUUGAUCACGAUUUUGCAGACAACCUAGCAGUAAACUUUCUAUAUCAUAUGCUAAUAUAGCUCCUUUGCUUUCAUGAUAAUUUUUCAGUAAUAUUGAAGAGAUUAUUUCAAAGUUUGCGCAAUUAACUCCGCAGGAGAGGGCAAAGAGGUACUACAGUACUUGCAACGAGAUUCUGACUUUCUCAUUUUCUAGCUGAUUUAGUUUGGAUGGCAUUACAGCUAACUAUUUGUCCAUUUGUCUUAACAGGAAAUUGGAGAGCCUUGAAGUAAGACUUUCACAAAUAGCAUUUCAAACGGGAACAUUUGUUUCUCUUGCUUUUGUUGUAUCAAACGAAAACUAACUUAUGUCACUUCAUCCAUUCUAUACUUGUAUUUUGGUGGUCUUUUUGUGGAUAUAGGUACUGAAGAAAACUUUUAAGAAGUUGGAUCAUGACGUUAACGUACAAGAUUUCAUGAGUUCAAGGUAUGUGAUUGUUUUUAUAUAAUUUGUCAUUUCCUUUGAGUGAAACCUACGGGGAUAUCUGAUGUGGCCCUUUUCUUAAUGUUCUUUUUCCCUUCUGUUUCUUGCAGCUCUCAGACGGUUCAGGUAUAUAUUCUUUACCACCAAUACCAAUACCAAUUAUAAAUGCUUUUCGAUUUCUUAGUUUAAUUACGACGACUAAUGUUUUGUGAUAAUUUGCUAUUGGCAGGAUCUGACUCAUCAAGUAAUGGUAUUGCAAGCCCAACUUACAGAACUCCAUAGGAGACUGAGGUGCACCUUUGGAGCUUUUGGUUGUUAAAGUAUUGCCUUGUCUUUUUGGUCUUGAUGGUCAAAUUACUAGCAUAUUACAUUGUGUAUUUUAGACAAUGUAAAUUUGAUAUUAGGGCAUUUCAAAGUAUGAACUUGAUAUGAUAAAGGAAACAAAUAAGCAAAAGUGGUUUAAGUUGCUUACGAGUGUAGUUUAGGGAUUCACUGCCCAAUUUGGGGGUCAAUUUGAGUCUUAUUUGUGAUUUUCAUGUCAUGGGUUGAGUUGCACAUGCUGUAUCCUAAUAGCAACCAAUAUGUAGUAUUCAACGGGUUGGCUAGUACGCAGAUAACUUGAUGUGUUGGACCUUAGCCACCCUAAGAAAAUUGUAUAAAAACUCUUUUUUCUUUAAUUUUCUUGUGUGUUCUUGGUUAUAUUAUUUUUCUCUUGACCUGUUUUCCUAUUAAAAUUUUCAUUGAAUUUACAAAUGAAUAUCGGAUUCCAAUAUGUAUUGAUCAGUAAGAUAAAUGCAUAUAAAGAAUCCAUGUGAUAAUCAAGCUGUUGCCACUUUUUCAGCUUAUGGAGUGACCCAGAUAAGGUUGACAAUCUUGAACAGCUUCGGCAGAUGGAAGACAUGCUUAAGGAAUCAAUCAACCGAACACGUCUGCAUAAGGUAUCAUUUUGUUUUUCAAGUUACAGUAGUUGCACAAUAAAUUCUAAGGCUUAUGCUGUGAAAGAAGAAACAACGAGGGCUUUACAGUUUUGUAUACCAAACAGCUGAAAAGUAAUGAUGAAGUAUGAACAGUGAUAUAUGGCUUUGGUUGAUUUUGGUGUCAUGGUGAGUUUAAGAAGCCAUGACUUACCUGAUCCGCCUACGCUGCUACUUUGUCUACCUGCUUUGAUAGCAACUUAUGAGGGGGUGGCUACUGAAUCGAUGCUAAUAUUUGAUAACUAAACUUGUUAGGAAAAUUUGGGAAAACACCAACUAACAUCACUAGAUUGCACAAAUCAGGUAAUAUAUACUUUAGCUGAUGAAGAAUUAAUUCUCUCUCUCUCUCUCUCUCUCUCUCUCUCUCUCUCUCACAUCUAAUCUGAAGCUUUAUUUUUGUGUAUCAAAGUUUCAAAAUGGAAUGCCUUCGUCUUUCUUAGUUGGUGGUUCGCAAGAAGCUCAACCUAUAACUUGGCUUUUCAAUAGCGACAAUCAGCACAUGAUAUUACCGAAUGAGCAGAACUAUCUGCCACAUAGGUUAGUUUACUGCUGUUAUGCAUCUACCAUUGGAUAUGCCAAAGAGCCUAAUGCCUGAGAACUUUCUUUCUGAUAAAUUACUGAUGCUAUGAUUCUCUCUCUCUCUCUCUCUAGAGGUGUGGAGUGCUCAACAAAUACCACAGUUCCACAUUAUAUUCGUUACUUUGGCACUGGGACUAGCACUAGCUCUAGCACCGGAAAACAAUCUGAGGCUGGUGAUCCAUUACAGCUAGAUACUAUGGGACAAAUUUCUAAUAUGGAAGGAGGCGGUGGCUUCAAUGAGUUUGACAUUAAUGCUUGUUUAAGUACGGAAUCUGGUGAGCAUUAUGCGUAUCCAACAUAUUGUAGUUCUAAUGUGCCAGACGAUAAGAAAGUGAAGCCGGAGAAUGAAAUGAACGUACCAGCAAAUCCAGUGGAUUAUCAACUAAGUAGCAACUUUGAACUGCCAAGAUCCUUGUAUGAAAAUGAUCAUCAUGCUUGGCUUUCUUCGCCUGGCCCUAGCGGCAUUGCUGUGUACAAGGAGAAUACCUACCAGCCGGUGAGCAUUCCUUCCAUCGAUGUUUUUCAUUCUGUUUUGGCAAGCUAUGAAAUAACGGAUAAAUUAUUGGUCUUUGUAUAUUAUCAUUCCAUUGAUGCCUUGCGGCUCUUUGUUUUCGUAUCUUGUAGCAACCAAACGUGAGAUUGUAGCUGACAAAAUCAGGGAAGGAUUUACAGGCGCCACGCACCGUGCAAAUGAUGUGAGUUGUGAAAUGUUAACAGUUAUCUAAGAUAUGUAUUGAUGCUAAUAGGCUACUUGGGGCAUAGAUUAAAUCUGUAUAUAUACUGUACAAGACAUAUAGGAUCAGAGUUCAUCUGUAUACUAACAUGGUUGGGUUCCUUAGAGCAACCACCACUUUUGUAAAUUAUUACUCAUAGAAAAUGAAAGCAAACAUGAUGGAUUUCUUGAGCUAUUUUUGUGAUUUAUAUUAUGUUAGCACACAAACGAGCAAUUUCUAAUCCAGCGAGUCUUGGCAACGGAAAGGUGGUUCCUUUGUGAUCAAAAGGUUACGGGUUCAAGUCGUGGAAACAACCUCUUUGCAAAGCAAGGUUAAGGCUGCGUAGGAUAGAUGUUCCUCCCCCGACCUUCGCAAAGUGGGGAGCCUUGUUGGCUUAGGGUCGCUCUCUUAAACACAAUUAAGCAAUUUCUAAUCCAGUCUAAAUUACGAGGAAGGAGAUUUGAACUUGGGUGUAGAUGGAGCACACGUUUAACGAUAAUGAUAAUAUUCACCGCCACCAUGGUUCCUGUACACUGGUAAAACCUUUGUCUACAUUGAUGCUCACCUUCCCAAUCACUCAAAGACCAUUAAUUCAUUGUUACAAACUAAAUAAAAACAGAUCUUCCAUCUUUUCUGCUUUUGCAAUCGAUCUAGGAGCCGCUUAGGGUUUGGACAAUGGUGUUGUGCCAUGGAUCUGAGAGGUGCUGCAACAGGUUGUCGAACGGCCCCUUUCCGGUCACAUUGUGUUGAACCACAAACCCGAGGAAGGCCAACAUUGCCAGUCUCCCUGCAUAACACAUUUCAAACAACAUAUUAGACCUUGUUUCAAACAUAAAAGCAAACGUGGGUUAGGCUAGUUGGUCAGGGCAGUGUGCGCCCCUUGGUAGUGACAUCAAAUGCUUACCAUUGGCAAGUUCCUUCUCCUUGGCCUCGAGAGUGGGUUCGAAGUUGAGGGGGUUGAAGAUGCCACCUGGGUAGCCCACCUCACCUGGGGGCAAGCUGUAUUGCUUGAAGAUGGGGUCUUGGUUCACACUUCCCGGGUUCUUGAUGUCUUGCCACCGUCUGAUCUCGACGUAGUGGAACAAGAUGAACUCGAUCACGAAGAGGGUGGACGAAGAAGCGAAGUACUCGGCCUUUCCGGCAUCAUACCAUUUGGGAACGUUAAGGAUCCCAAUGCUGGUGAACACUUCAGGCAAUAGCAUCCCAACAACGCCCAACAUUGCCCAUCUGCCAUUGACAAGCUCAGCUUGGAUAUACCACCUUAAGUUCUCUGGGUCCUCAGCAAGUGCCAGAGGAUCAAAUCCAUUGUCACCAGGAAGGCUGCCCACAAAAACAUAUCUUAGUCAAUCAAUGUUUUUUCCCCAGUCGAAACAUUUGUAGGACUUUUUUGUCGGUCAUCUAAAAAGGUCGUCGUGCACUCUUUUAAAAAAAUUAAGUUGUAAUUGGAGAUGUGUAUUAUGGUUAUUUUAGAGUGUGAAUAAUAAUAUUGUUAGUGUAAACGUGAAAUUUUUAACAUACCUGCCGGUGAGGUAGUCUGGUGAAGGCAAGCCAGGUAACCACUCACCCUUCUUAGCCUCAACUUUAAAAGAAGAAGCAGGAGGAGAAGCCAUAGGCCUAAAAGCCACUUCCCUAUUUAACUUACUAGAAGAACCCGAAAGGAACCUCGAUUUCGAGUUGACGCAUGGCCGGAAAAUGGCGGCCGAGGCCUGAGUUGUGACUGUUGCCAUUGUUUUCCCCACCUGAAUUAUGGUCAAGAAAAUGGAUUUUCAGGCAGGGAUGGGGAGUUGGUGGUGUAGAGGAAUAGAAGGGUAUGGUUGUAAAGGAACAUGUAAUGGUGUGAUGUGAGUCCAUGGCUUUGUAUAUUUGAUGCCAAAUUGUCAAUGAGGGUCUUGUGGAGGUUGUUCUUUGAUGGAAUUUGACCGUUGGUUUGCAAGAUUUUUAUGAUCCAACGGUGUAGAUGUGCUUGUGGUUUGAGAUUGGCCAAUGGGAAGUCCUUGGACCUUAUCUUUUUAUCUUUAGGGUUGUAUCCAUGCAGAGAGAGGAUCCUCGCCGGAUUCUCUUUGUGAGAAUUUUGGGAUCCUCCAAUCACAUUCCUUGAUCAUACAUCGUACGAUCAAUUUUCGUCAGAUAUUGUUUAUAUUUAAUUUUAAAUAAAAAAAAUUACAAUAAUUUUUGAACGUACAAUGUACGAUAAACGAAUGUGAUUUGAGAAUUUUCAAAAUCCUAAAAAAAAAAUCUGACAAAGAUCCUCACUCGUAUCCACAAAUCUAUAUUUUUGUUGCUGUUGGCUGAAAUGAGCUGUGGGUUCCACUUUUGGGCCACGUAUGAAGAUUUUUUUUUUAACGGGGAUAUCGAUGUGGGAUUCUGAAUCCUUGGAUAUGAUGAUUGGAUCUCCUUCCACGUGGAAUCUGAGGGAGCCUAUAGUUGCAUGACAAGUGGCUGACUCAAACUACAUCUUAGCUAGUGACUUGGUGCAGCUUCACCUCAAUUGCGUUGCAUUGUCGACAAUUUAAAACAUGUGUUAUGUGUUAUUGAUUCGGGAUAUAUGAUGAUGCCCUAAACAUGUAGGAUAAGUUUUUUUUUCAUGUAAAGUGUGAUUCAUUUAGUUACAAAUGCACAUUUAAUUAGAUCGGUGUGGUAUUACUUAAUUACUCUUAAUUUACGUACACAAUUAAAACAAGUAAAAAUUUUAAUCAAAAAUGAAAUUUAGACGACAUUAACAAACAAUGUCUUGUAUGAAAACACGAAUUUAUGUUUGUGCGUAUUCUCUUUUUAAUUUGGAUAUGAAAUUAUUAGUGAAGCUCAAAAGCCGUACACAGUUUGAUUUUAACUCAACGUGACAUUGAGUCGGAAUUUGAUAAUCGAUAUAACGGUGAAAUUUUAGGAAACUAUGUCAUCAUAUAGCUCUUGGAGAGGAGAACUUAUUCAUUAGUUUUCCACUUAAACCAUGAGACAGACAUAUGCAGCCAAGGAUGAUUACAAUGGCUUAUGGGGUAGUAAAGAAGCCUUGACAUUUACAUAUACGUCUUCACAUCAAUAAAACAUUUCCAAUUGAAAUUUCAGGUACAUUUUGAGAAGUUAACAAACAAUAAAAAGGUGAAAACUAGACAAGACGACCUAUCUCAUUCAAGAUUUGACUAUAAAAAAAAACCUUAUGAUUAGCUCAAGUGGUGUGAGGGAGGGAGUUUGGACUCUUGCAAUAGCAGCUCCCUACCUCAAGAGUCACAAUUGCUAUCAAAAUUAACUGUUAUCGAUAAUUUAGAUAGACCAAGACUUUGCUCGCCCUAUCUAUGCUCGUGCUCACAGGUAGGGACAUAUCUAUGUGACUUGCUAGACUUGCUUGCCCAUUUCUUGCUGUAAAAGCAAACCCACCGUUGUAGUUAACUAGCUUUUAGCAAUGAGAACAUACAAACAUCUAAUCUAGUACUGAUCAAGUCACAUAAAAGCAUUUAGUACUCAUUAACAGAAAUAUAAAAACGCAAUAUGUGAAGACGGUGGAGAAAGAGAAAAGAGUUACUGAAACUAGUAUUUGGAGUGUCUAAGGCACAUGCCUCUGUUAGAGUGAAGUGAAGUCGCAUGCGUUGUUCGCCUUAUCUCUAGCAGGCUCUGAGCACAUACCUAGUAAUAGUAUAUGUGAUCAGUUUCGAAAACACACUGUGCUAGCCGUCAAAAGAGCAAAAAGGUUGUCUAAAAUCAAAAGAGAUAGUAGCCCACUUCAAAGUCCACGUUUAGGCUUGGGCUGUAGCCGAAGUCUGAUGGUUAACAAAGAGAGGGGUUAUAGAUUUUUAGCCCAAGAUGUGUAAUCGACAAGUUUUAUGAACAAAACCAUUGCUCUGAUUAAACUUAUUUAAUCACGACGAGUUUUAAUUGCACGUAUUAUCGUAACUUCGAAUCACCUUGUUAAAACACGCAGAAAUUGUUAUGAAGCGGAAAUAGAUAGAAUGGAUGCAAAAUUCAAGCAACUACUUUCAUCCUCUUGAAGAGAGGACAACUUUAUUUUACUAAAAUCUUACAAGAUAAAACGCAUUACAAUAUAAUUGAACCAAACCAAACCAAACCACACGGACAUCUAAGUAACCUAAAAAAACCUGGCGGGUGGUUUUCUGCCCACCGCUGCCGAAAUCUCUGCCUUCCCUUUCCAAAAGAGAGGAGAGCAAAGAAGCACAAUAACCCUCAUAACUUAAUUUGAAAUGAUAAAAGAGCCCUCUUAAUAUAAGCCCUUCUCAGGUUUGACUCUAAACACUAAGUUUCAAUAACUGUGGCUACACCCAAACAAAUGUAAUUAUAAUUUGUUUAAAGUUUAUGGUGUUGUUCAGAACUGUAGGCCGCUGAAUGUUUGGCCAAAGGUCCAGCCGGCAGGAACAACGUUGUUGGAGACGAUCGUGCGGCCGUCGCUGGUUGUGACCUUGAAUGAGAGGCUCUGGCCGUUGAGGAAAGAGUUACUCUGCCAGUUUUGGCCCCAGUUCCUUGACAUGGGUUGCCAGCCAGUUCUUGACCCUUUGAUGGAAACUGCAUGAACAUCACCAGCACCUCCAACGUUUGUGAUCAGCACUAAAUUAAAGUAUGAGUGACCGUUGAUUGUGAAUCUGAUACCUCCUUUCUUUAAGCAAGGCACCCUGCAAAUUUAGAACAAGAAGUAAUCAGUCAAAGCAGGAGAUAAAGUUUUUGGGUGUGACGGUUAGACUGUCAAAUACUUUUAAGUAAUUUACGUACUAUACUAUAAACGGACAACAUAAUUAAUAUAUUAUGGUAUAAUACUAGCUACUAGUAAAUUGUUAUAAUCAUGUGACGAUACUACAGUCGCAUAAUGUUGAGAGGGAUAGUUUAAAAUUUAAGAAAUUGGAAAAGCUGACCUUUGGUAAAUUGGUUGGAUGGUAAAUUGUCAAAAAAAAAAAAAAAACAUUUGUGUUAUCUGUGAACACCCCUAAGAAUUUAAAGGAUGUAUGUGCAAUUUUCCCUUCGAAAUUUUUUAUUAAAUUUCCAAACAGUCCCUACAAAAGUUGAGUCUCGAAACAUAAAACAAGCCCAGCCUGAAUUGCAUACCUUCUGUAAGACACAGGCACAAUUCCAGCUCGGUAUUGAGCAAUCCGCUGGAAGAUGGGCUGGGCGAGAUCGAAGUGGUGCUGCGGCGGGUUGCACCAACCGCCGGCAUUGUUCGGAAGGGCAUUGUUUGGCGGGCAGAAAUUGGUCGCUGUGACCAUAAUAGAGCCCGGAAGACACCAUUUGGGGUCACUCACACACCUUAUCUCAAAACAAGCCCCGCAGCUCAGCCCAUUGUUGAACAGUGCUGUGCUCAGAGCUGCCGUGUUAGUUCCAUACCCUUGGCUAUACAGAUUUCCAUAGCCACAAGCCCCACCUGCAAUUUAGAUACAUUGAAAGAAAGUUACGAGGGUAUUAAAGAAUAGACUGUCGAUAUGGUCUAACAAAAUGUACCAACAUGUUGUUGACGUAAUUAUUGAUGCAUGUAUGUUAUUUUUAACGUCCUGCAAUGUUUACACACCCAUUGUUCCGGACGCAUCACCUCCACCAUAGAAAGUGGCAUGUGCAUCAACCCAACCACCGUCACCUCCUCCAUAUCCACAAGCAAAAGAGCUCAAAGAAAGAAGACCCACCAAGAGAAAACCAAGAAUUGCCAUGUUUUUUCCUGCACAGCAACCUUGUACUUGUUUUUGAAGCAGAAACACCACUUUGGGUAGUGUCAGAAAAGAGAAAGAAGCAAAAGAGGCUUUGUGUUUGUGAGUUGUGAGGAGAAGUGGAGGGGGUGAGGUGGGGGAUAAAUAGAUGCUUGGAGUUGGAUGGAAAGGGCAACGUCACACGAACUAAAGUUUUCAGGUGUGGGGACCUUGAACCGCCAAGUGCAAGCGGUUUUAUGUAUGUGUCUGAAACCAAAGCAAACUUUUUCUUCAAACCACGUGGUUUUGGAGCCAUUCACAUUUCUGUGUGUGUUGGUGUUGGUGAGUUAAAAUUCAUAUAGAUUAUUCAAAGACUGAACUAGGGUUCACGACCCCAAAGUGGUUUUUGCAAUUUGUACUGAUGGCGCGUUACAGAACUGUCAUGCCCACUACACUUCAUCAAUCACUUUUACUAAUUUACGUGUUAUGACAUGUGUGAACAAAAAAAAAAUUACCUUAAACGUGAUUGCUUAAAUGACGAUAUUCCGAACUAGUACUAUACUCUAAGUCUGAGAUGACACAAUGACAUCCUAAAGGGUGUAGUACGCAAGUGUGUCUAACUAGACGUGUAAACAACAUGGGCGAUAUAUAUGUUAUGAACCUCGGAUAUAUUACGCAUGUCACAACUUAAGUGACUAGGUGAACACCAUGCAAAUGAGUUAGUGUCACACUGAAAAAUUACUCCAAUUGGAAUAGUGCAUGUGUAAGUCGUAAUAACGACCAUUAAUUGUAGCUAUCAUUUACUACACCGUUGCACUGAGUCUUUUCGUUGCAGUUUGCCUUUUCCUCUGUUUUCUUUUAGCAGCAGCUUCAGCCUCUUUAGCCAAGAGGAAAACGCAUGCAGAUGCAUCAAAUGGUCCCGUGCCGUUAAUGUCCAGUCCAAAAAGGUAAAGAAGAAGGACUAAUGCGGCUAAAGUGGUUAUCAUAAAUAGUUUACUUUGAAUAAUCUACAAAUACAAAGUUAAGAUAAGUAACUAGUUGGUCGAUAUCCGAAAUUUCCAACCCUCUUUCAGUCCAUGUCCAAUUAAAAGCAUGUUGAAAUUAACUACCAAUAAAGUAUAUAUCUUUUACUUAUUCCGUAUGCAUGGUUGUUGAAUGUCGAUGAAUUCACACAUACAUAUCAUUUAUUUGAGAACAUUGCUUUGCUUUUUACGGUUAAUGAAUUAUUUUUUAUUACCUAUAAAUUUGAGGUAUACACUUAUAUUGAAAUGGCUAAUUAAAGAUAUAAAAUAAAAAAAAUGUACAUGUCAAAUUGUGCAAGAAGAAAAAAAAUUGAAGCAAGUCUCUGAAUUUUUGUCUAUUUGAAGGUUUGGUAAUUGAGUAUAAAAUAUUAAAAUGUGUGAGUAUUAGUCCUUAAGUGUAUAGACAACAUCUCUAAUUAUGCGAAAGUUCAUAGACUAGUUUUUUAAUUUUCUCUAAACAGAAAGAUAAUUUUUUUUUUCAUAUUUAAUUAUUUUUUUCUUUCACAGUUCAUUUUUAUUUUUUAAUUCUUCUUUAAUUAAUACUAAAAAAUAAAUGAUACUAAAGGAGUCAAAUAUUUCAUUCAAUCCCAUGAACAUGAGUAGCUAGGACUGCCUAUAGGCUUUAGGUAAAGAACUGAACUUUUGGUAACAUGCAUGGAAAUAUUUGUUAUGGCUGUCGAGUGUUGGACUCUAUGACCAAUAUAUAUUUUCAAACCUAAUCAAUCAAAUGAGAAAGUUUGACCUAGUUAUUGUGCUUGGGGUAUCUCAAAUGCAGAAACCUCAUUCAAUGUUAUCGGUUUGACACUUUGGUUAUAUAGAGACACUUGGACUUGGAGUGCACAUGGAUGAUGAGAAAAAAUGAUUCUUUAUCUUUUUAUUUUUCUUAUAACGUGGAUGAUGAAAUGUUUGUAAUGUUGAUAAGCAGGGCUCAUCAGUCUGUUACAUAUCACGAUCGAUCGUAGAACAAAGCGAGUUGAUGAGGGAUAGGGAGAGAGAGAGAGAGGGAGGGAGUACUAGGACCAUCUGAUGAGAAAGCACACCAACACCUGAAUCCCAUUUAUUAUAUUUCAUUAAUUUUGUUGCAACUGGUUCUGCAAAAGCUGCAAACACACCCGUCUCUCAAAGUUGCAUGCAUGUGCAAUUUCGUUAUCAACACGCAUAUCCGGCUAUAUAUGUUGUUCAAACUUCUCAAAUGAAAUAUAAAUUUUAACAUACAAGUAACUCAUAGAGUAUACAUAUGUAGAAACCAUACGCGACAUAUAUAUAUAUAUAUAUAUAUAUAUAUAUGCAUAUUCUAGCUAAUUUAAGCUACAUUAAUAAAACGGAAGAGAGUUUAAACUUAGGUACAAAAAAUAUGAAGAUAAGCAAUUAAUCAAACAACAUAAAAUUGUACAAAUAAUUAAACAUAUUGCUUAAAAACUUGCUAGCAUCAAUCCGCGAGAAAGUUUGUGUGACGGGGAUGCUUUGAGGGACUCACAUGCUGCAAUCUUGUUUUUAGGUCUCCUUUUUUAAUUUCCAGUCAACGUAUUAAUAUACUUAGUAUACUGGAUCGUGUUUUUAGUAUAUUAAAAAAAAAUUCCAUGGAGGGAGUCAUAAACGAACUCCGAGAACGUGCAUGAUUUAGUUGGUGUGGUUAUAUGUAUGGUAUAUGUGUAUAUCCUCUCUUAUCUUCUGAUUCAUUACAAUGAACAUCAGUUGUAUUUUACCGUAAAAAUAGACCUGAAGCAUAGUCAAUACUACGUACUCGGUAUUAUCAAUCAACUAUAGUUCCUAUUUCCAUUCAACAUGUAUGAACUCUUUAAAUUUCCAAUCCACGGUGGCACAGUCACAUAAGUUAUAUGGCACAAAAAAGUUGGACAAUUAAAAAAAAGAAAAGCUUAAAAAAAAAAAAAAAAAGGGACACAUGUUUACAUUUCACAGUCGAGUCAAUGGUCCAUUACUAAUGACACAAAUAUUAGCGUAGCUUAACCACAUACACAAUUUGAUAUAUAGGUGUUGGAUUUUAUCAUAAAAACUUCGGUAGCAGUAGAACUAUUCAUUUUUACAAGUAGUAAUAUAGUAUGUCAACUUUUCAACGUGGAAUUACUUUCUUCGACAAAACAAGAGUUGUGGUGGAAUUGUUCCACAUAUUAGAUAAGCAAGCUGGCUUAGCUCUCAUGGAAAGCAACGUGAACGGUUUAAAUAUGGGAUCGAACACGUACGUGCUGCACUAGUUUGUCUCCAUUUUAAGACCAUGCAGUCGUCAUUUUUAGCUGUACACGUAGCUUUAUUAUGAAUUAGGGUUUUGUUUUUUUUCUCCUGUUAUUUCCUUAUCUUUCACGGAUUUUUUCUUCAGAGAUGAAAUCUACUGACCGUCGAGACCUAAAACCUGGAAAACAACCAGGAAGCCACCAACACUAGUUUACAAAUAUAUCAUGCAAAUUGACCCAUGCAUACGUAUGUGAAUGAAUCAUGAAAAGCCACUUUUCAAGCCUCUCUUUCAAAGCUUUGAUAUUUUUGGGUAAACUACAACUUCACCGUUUGAUUUUCUUUUGAAUUCGUGAUCAAAUAUAUAGAUGAUUAUAUAUGAUCAACAUAAGAUUAUUUAACUACAGUUCGCUGGAUAUUUGUUUCUUAUCAAAAUGUGUAGUUUAAAUUUACAAUCUCACGAGAAUCGUUGGGCAUAAAACAAUAACAUUGCUAUUUUUUCAGGGGUGCACCGAGGUGUAGUCGCUGCAUAAGUUAGAAUUAAUGAAGAAAAUGUGAAUCCUGCCGUUCAUUGCAGAGGAGGAAAAACUGAGUAUGUGAACAAGCCGGCAAAUUCAACCAUUUCCCCCGCUUGAAUCUGGUUCAAUCCAUAAACACGCGCAAUCCCAUCUCCAAUGGAGACAAGUCAAUAUAAACGGCACACGGUGGGAGAGGAUAAUAUAUAACAAAAUAUUAUAAGCCCAGAAAUGUCAGAGAAAAUCGUAAAUUAGUAACUGAAUUUAUAUGUGGCGAAACGGAUUAACAAGACAACAAAAUUGUUUGCAAUAGUUGCAAGAUAUUUUAUAGCUUGUCAAAUUUUCUAAUAAAUUAUAGUCCUCUAGAAGAUAAAUCCUACUUCCCUCGAUAUGAUAUGAAUAACGUGGUGCUAUUCACAUAUCUUUCUUUACUUUUUACAGAUAUUUUUAAUUUUUGAUCCUUAAAUCGAAUAAACUGAAGAAAAUUGAAUGAUAUAAAUUAAUAAAUGAUGUGAGGAUAGCACCACCCAAUAAAUAUCGAUUCAUUGGACCUAUCUAACAAAUGGAAUUAUUCAGUAACCAGUAAUAAGAAGGUUAUUAAUCUCCAUAUAUAAAAGCAGUUCCAACAAACUAGGGCGUUAUUAACUUUGCUAGAGCAAUAUGCUCUCCUCUCUGCACUCAGGUUAAAAUCACUACUCCCAUAGUUUAGAGUAGACAAUUCCAAAAUAAAAAGAGACAAAGAAUGAAGAUUCAAAGCCAAUGUAUUUGGUGCAAAGAAAUAAAUCAUAAGACUCUAAUUGUAUUCUAUAAUAUAUGAGAAUUAACUUUUGGGUUAAAAAAAAAGGAAGGGAAAAGACGCUAACUAUCCAAAUCCAGUGCAUUUGAUUAUAUAAUAUUUGCUCUUUUUAAUAAAGAAUACAAGAAACAAAAAUGGCGACGGUUCUCUAACACAGACAAGAUGCAAGAUUACAUUAAGAUUAUAUGACAAUAAGUUGUCGAUGUUGAUCUAGGUUGAUGGUAACCUAACUAAAUAGCUAAGAUACUAUAUAUAACCGAUGUAGACAUUACUCUCUCUAAGUACUUGGCUACUUUACUUUAGGGGAUUUUUUUUUUUUUUUUUUUUGAGGCAUAUGCAUGAUUAUUGUUUUGUUAUAUAUCAUAAUUCGUUGUAUUAUAAUUUUUUUUUUCUUCAAAUUAAUUGAUUUGAAGUUUGAAGCACGAUGCUUAUUUCACAACUACAAUUAGGGCCGGUUUCGGGGUUAAAUGAAGCGAAUAAGUUUUGGGAAUUGAAAAUCUAUACUGAAACCACAACAAUUGAGAUUAUAGAUUGCUAUGGUGUAGAUCGAUGGCUCUAGAUCGACAACGAUGGCUCCGAUGGCAAUGGACGUUGACUCCACGACGUAGUCGAUGGCUAUGCUAGACCGAAGGCAAUCUCAACCAAUCCAACAUCUACAAUAAUUUGCAAUUUAUCAAUUAUAUAUUUAAAAUUAAAAUUAUACAUAUAUGUUACUUCGGUUUUACAACUCUGUGAUCCUGAUCGCCCUACAUAAGUUUCGGAAAUGUUUUAAUUUCAGUUACCUAAUGACUCGAUAUUUUCAGUUUUUUAUUUUUUUUAUUUUCUGGUCGAGUGUAAUAUGGUUUGGUUCGGUUCGGGUCAAGCUCGGUUAUUUCGAUUUUUUUAGGCCUUUACAAUGGGACAGAGCAAUGAUCCACAUGGUGAUUAAAUCACCCAGAAACUUAAAAGUGUUUAUCUCCUUUGCUUUUAUUGACCAUAACUAUAUGAAAAAAAGUUUGUCCGAAAAAUAACUUGAAAACCUUGUUGGUUAAGGCAGUUUGAAAAGCCUACGUUGUAAGCUGGGAAUUGAGUAACAAUACAAUGUUUUUAAAGUUAAUACGUAUUAAUUUCGGGUAAUUUAGUAAUGAGAAUGUGAUAUCCAUACAUUUAUUUUUACUUUUCACACAUUUUUUUAAUUUUCAGUCAUCGAAUCAGAUGAAUUGAAAAGAUCAAAUAAUAGAAAUUAAUAAAGAGUAUGUGAAAAGUAAAAAUUGAUGUGUGGCACACCCCUAGUAAUAUUCUUGCAAGGGUGGACACAUUAGUGACAAAGGGGUCAGCUUCUGUGAAUCUUUAUGAACAACUUGAGUGUUGCCCUUUAGAAGGUUAGAGAUGUCCCUCAUGCAUGCCUUCAAAGCGCUUGAUAAAAUACCUCAAAGAAAGUUGCGCUUCUUAUUAUGAAUGAUGGAACAUUGGUUUAAUUUUUAGCUAUUAUAUUUGUAAGAAAUGUUUGUGAACUUUUACAUGUGACUCUAAAGAAUUUUUCCUAGACCCGCCGCUAUAUUCUUGUCGCUUGUAAGUUGAAUGUUUCAUAUUCCACCUACUUAGAUAACGAGUUUAUAUUUUAUACCUCGACUAGUAACUAUUUGUGAUUUUUGUUUUUUGGUCCAAGUAACUAUUUGUGAUGAACACCGAAAGUUUACACAAAAGGCCAGAAUUCCUGGAGAAAACGUGCAAGAGGAGGCGUGAAAGAAUUAUCUUCCUUGACAACAUACAUAUGGAAAAGUAGUUUGACUUGGAGACAACUCUUUAAUCUUUUCGGCUCCUUUUUUAUCCUGCCAAUAGUAAAGCAGCUUUAGGGGAAGAGAUACCAAUUAGCCAGAUAGGUAAGCAUCCCAAUGCAUAUUUUGUGACAUGCAUGCAUGGAAGGAAUAUAUUCUUAAAUUUAGGAGUAAAUUGUAGUAAUGGUCCAUUAACUUUAAUCAAAUUGGAGCAAUGAUCUUUCAACUAAAAAUCCAUUACCAUUGGUCCCUCAACUUAUCAAAAUGUGUAGCUAUAGUCAUUUUCAUCAAUUUCAUCAAAAUUUUGUCAAAAUAAGUUAUGUUGGAAUAACCAUUUAUGUAAUUAGGGUCCCUCAACUCAUCAAAGUGUGUAAUUAUGGUCAUUUUCGUCGACUACGUCAAUUUUUUUGUCAAGACGAGUUAUGUUGGAAGAACCAUUGCUACAAUUGAAUUAAAGUUAAGUGACAAUUUCUCUAGUUGAAUUAAAGUUGAGGGACCAAUGGUAAUGAAUUUUUAGUUGAGGGACCAUAGCUGCACGUUUUGAUGAGUUGAGAGACCAAUGGUAAUGAAGUUUUAGUUGAGGGACCAUUGCUCCAAUUGAGUUAAAGUUAAGGGACCAUAGCAACAAUUUACUCUAAAUUUAGAUAAGUACAACUCAUUUCUUUCUUCCUUAACAAUACUUAUCAACUCAUCAAAAAGUUACAAAACAAAACUACAAAGAAAAAUAUAUGCUUAUCGAAGAUGUCAUAUCUCUAAGCUCGGUAGGGAAUCAAGGAAAAAUUUCUUAUAAAUAUCAAGAUGAAGCUCGCACACUACUUUGGUUUAUAUACUAUUUCGUUGGUCAAAGAUUUUGCACCCGUUAUAGACUUAUAGUCAUACUCGAGGGGAAAAUGAAAUUAACUUCAAAUUCCACGUGUAGUAAUAGUAGUGACUCAAUUGAAAACAUUAGUUGUUGUGUGGAUUCGUCAAUGCCUACACAUAUAGAAGAGAAAUGUUAAGAGGACUCUAAAAAAUGGGAAUCUUUAUAACUCUCUGUCACUUCAUAGUUUAACAUCAGUUCUUAUGUCAACAUUAUAAAAUAUUGUGCCAAGAACAUAAGAUGACUGAAAGUUAAAAAAAAUCAGAUGACUAAAAGUUAUAAAAAGUCUCAUUUUUUUAGAGAAUCCUCUUAGCAUUUAGCCUGCAUGGAAGAUUGCAACAUUUCAAGUACCAUAUAGGUCAUUCAUGUACUAUUUAUGAGAACCAGACUAAAUCUUUAUCUCACUUUUGCAUAUUUUCCGUUCACAAUUUUGAUGAUGUUAAUUAAGUUCUUUGAACUCCAAAACCCUAAACCCUAAAAAAAAUCCAUCUACCACCCAACCCAACUAUGGGCCAAAACCCUAAGCCCUAAGCCCUAAAAAAGUCUCAUCCUACCCAACACAACAAUGGGCCGACUCUGGACAUUGGAUAAUAACCUUGGAAGCCCCAGUGGAUGAUUGGGUCCAUUAGUAGCAGGCUGUUUUAUCAUGUUUGGGCUUUUUAGCCCACUUAUAUGUUGACCCACCACAGUGUCACAAAUGAACGGUCCUGAUCAAACUGUCCGUCUUGCUGUGCCCUAAGUCCUCCCCCCCCUCACUAUAUAUAAUCACACUCUCAGUCAAAACCCUAGCUCAGUACCUUCUCUUCUCACAUCUUCCACAGCCUCCAUCUCUGCCCCUCCCCACCUGCCCUUUUAAAUUUGAGAUUCACACUACAAUCCCAGGUUUAAUUUGGUCUUGAAUUUCUGUGUGUUCAUAAGAUUUCUGAUAUUCUUUUGUUCUGUCUUUUCAUCCGUUUUUUUUUUUUUAUGCUAGUAGUAUUCAGAAGGUAUGCCCAUGCCUAUGAUGGCGUUAAAUAUACUUUGAGAGUAAAUUCUAUGAAACAAAUUUACAUCUGAGGCAUGAGGAUUUGCACUUCUUUACCAAUUUUACUUGAUUUUUUACUGAAAUUACUAAUCUUUAUUUGUUUGUGGUUGAAAUCUUUGAUCUUUAUGCUUAAUUCUCAGCUUAUGUUUCAUGGGUGACAAGAAAGUUUGGUUUUUUAGGUAAUUAGAGUAAAAAUUGUGGGUGUUUGGAGUUGCAAAUGAUGAUAAAACAGACAGGGACAUCUGCACUCCAUUGGAGAUUGAUGACUAGUCUAAAUGGGAAUCUCUCUGAUGCAUUUGACAUUUUAUUUACUGCCAUUGAUUUGUGUUCUUGCAUGAUUCAUGAUUGUUUACUUCUGAUCCGCUGGAGAAAUUUUUAUGGGUACCGAGAACACGAGUCACGUGGUGUCUAUAUCUUUAUGUGAUUGCAUUUGAGGUUUUGUAUGAUUGAAUGUAGGGAGGUUUAACGAAACAACGAAACACUCGAUACUUUUCAUUUUUAACGAAAAAAAUCACAUUUAUACCUUUUCUCACUAUUCAUUUACAUCUUUAUUUGUUAUUUUUCAUUAAAACUAAAGUUUUUGAGGAUUUUUUCUUUGAGUGUAUUGCACGUGACGAUAAAACAGACAGGGACAUCAGAACUCCUUUCGGAGGAUGGUGAAUUGUCGAUGGGAAUCUCUCUGAUGCACUUAAUUAGUAUUGUUGUUAGAAUUUUAUGUUUUGCCAAUGAUGCAUUUCAAAUGCACGUAUUAUCAGAUAUAGAUAUGAUGAUAUAUGCUAAUAUUGUCACUACCUCUGAGGCAACAUCUGUUACUGCUUUCUUUGCUUGAAUUCUGUCGUUCGUAAGUGUUUCUUUGCAUAACGGUAUUCUGUUCUUCUCCCUUUUACGAGGAAGAUGAAUUGAACAUUGUGUUACAAAGUCUGAAUGGCAUUAUCUUUAGCGUAUGAAUUUGUUUUUGAAUGCCUGGUGAUUGAACAAAAGAACGGAGAUUUGAAGUAUUGCUUUUGUGGAAGCUCGACACUGUCGGGCUCCAAAAGCAACUUAUGAAAAAAUCGUUCACGCUGGAUAGUAUAUGAAGGCUUUCUCAUAAUUUUACAUCUUGUUUGCCAUUUGUCUGUCAAUUGUCUGUUUGCUGUUUGAGAACUUGUUUGAAUGUGCUUUUAAAAUGAUUGAAAGUGUUUUUGGUGAAAAUAUUUUUUGAACCAAUCUUUAGUAAAGAUGCAAGUAAAUCCUAGAAAAGUGCUUCUUGGAAGUGCUUUUGGAACCUAAAAACAUUUUCUUUAAAAACACUUUUAGUUAUUUUAAAAGCACGUUCAAACGAACUCUAAUUUUUUGUGAUUUCGUAGGGGUUUAUAGGCAUAUAACUUUUAGUUAAGCUUAAUUAAUCACAAGCUUUUGUCGUUCCUCUUCCCAAAUUAGUCUUAAUUCGAUCUUCCAUUGGGAAGUAAGGUGAUAAAAGUUUUCAAUUAGUUGAACUUAAUUAAAAGUUGGGAUUAGGUGAUGGUUGUUACAAUUAAAAAGGGUGAAUAUUCAAGAAUGAUUCAGAGUGCUGUUAUGUCUGUCUACUUAAUUCUGUUUUCUCGUGGCGGGGAAAAUAGGACAAGUGGGUGGGUAUAGCAGCAUUCUUGUUUUAUGAUUUAAGUUGAUUUAAGUUUUAGUUAUAAGGUUGGAGCGGAAAUAAGAGAGGUCGGGUGGACGUAACAGCAUUUAAUUAAACAAAUUUUCAUUUCAUCAUGAACAUUGGUAAGUUUAUGAGCUACUUUGACAGGAGGAGAAUGUUCCAGGGAAAAUUCAUUCUUAAUUUUUUUAGGGCAUCUUCUACCAUAGGCAUAAUUCAAGCUCUUUAAAUGAAGUCAUGAAAUAAGGUAAUUUUAGAAAAGUGAUUUUCGCACAUUUUUUUUAGUUUCAUUCAAACGUUUAUUUAUUUAUUGUCUUUUUUGUUUGUUUUGUUCAAUCAGAUGUUCAAAAAUAAAAAUGGUGUUUGAGAAGCUAAAAAGAGUGUGUGAAUAUCAUUUUUUUAAUUUUAUAGUAUUCCAAUUAUAUCUUAAAUAUUUACCCUUUUGUAAUAUAUUUAUGUAUAUUUUUGUUAAAAUGGUAUACUUUUGUUAUAGAGCUCCUAACGUGGAAAUAUUGAACCACUAGUAGAAUAUGGGGGUAAGCAAAAACGCUCUCUGUAUUACGUGAGAAAUUUUUAGAAUUAGAAUGUUGUGAUUUAUCUUGAUUUAAUAUCAUUUAGAAUUUGAAAUUGACAACUCGAGCAACUAACUGAACAAAACCGUAUGCGUUGGUUUUGUGAAGUACUUUUGAAUUUUGGGGACCAGUUUGCGGUUUUGAUUGUAAAUUUAAGUUGUGAAGUAGAUGUUUAUUAUUUAGUAUCACGGUUUAGUAGUAUUCAUCUUCAUUUGUAAAAGUGAAUUUUAACCACAUUAUUAUUAUUCUGUUGUGAUGUUUUUCAUUCGGGAAUAGAUGCUUGUUAGCCGCAAACCAUACCAAACCAAAUCAAACCGCGACAUUGCUUAACCGGUUACAUCGGUUUUAAGCCAUUGUGGUUUGGAAGUUAAGCAAGAUUGAAGCAAGCUGCUUGGUUUUUGUUUUGACCCAAAACUUAACAACCGAAUCGCGUCGUGCCCACCUUUAAACUGUCUAACGGUUACUCCAGGAUUUGACGGUUUAAAGGUGGGCACGGCGCCGUGCCCACCUUUAAGGAUUUAAGGGUUUAAAGGUGGGUUCGGUUGGUAAAUUUGACGGUUUAGAUGCCCUUUUCCAAUUAAAGGGUAAGAAGUUAAAAACUGAUGAUGAUUGGAUGUUGAUGGUAGUUAUUAGAGUGUAUAAUUACACAACAACAAAACAUUUGGAGGGUCAUUCAUUUGCUGGUAAAUUAUUGUGGGGGGAGAUUUUGUUGUUGGGGAAUAUUUCAAUUUUUAUGUAUAAUAAUGUGUGGGGAAAUAGUAUAUUAGAGGUUAUUUUAGGAAUAACUCGGUUUGGCUCGAAUCUGACGAAUCCCCUCUAACAUCGUUCGUCGGAGGUUAGGUUGUUGGUUUCGCAGAGUCGCCUGAAAUUGGGCUUGCUGAUUUGUCAACAUCCUCACUCGAUUUCUGAACUUCUUCUUCUCUGGUUUUUAGGGUUCCUUCGACUUGGCGUAUCAGACUUUUGAGCUUCUUCUUCUAUCAUCGUAAUUCUACAAGCCGCAUGCUCUCUCUCCCUCUCUGCUCGUUCUGUCCCCCUCCCCUCUCUCUCCCUGAGUAAAACCUGAGAUGCAAUGGCUGAAAAUUGCGUCUUAAGCCUGAGUGGCAUUUUUGUAAAUAAAGCGAAAGUUGGCUAAAAGCGUCCAAGUAGCAGUCUUGUAAAUAAACUGAAAUGUGGUUCAAAACACUGUUCAUUGGUAAAGGGCAAUUGAAAAGCCUUCUUUAGACUAAAGUAAUCGUCAGUAUAAAAAUAAUAUUUAAAUUUUUUAACAUUUUAUGGUAGGUGAGAUUAUAAUGUGGGUAGAAAAAUAAGACAAUGAUGUGGAUCUAACAUCUCUCUACAAAAUUAUCAAUUUGUACCAUAUCUAAUAGGAAUGUGCUAUCCACACAUCUCUUUUUACUUUUCAUACACCCCUUGUUAAUUUCUGUCUGUUGAUAUUCUUCAAUUCAUCAGAUCCGAUGGUCAAAAACAAAAAAUAUGUGAGAGAAGUAAAAAGGGGUAUGGAUAUCACAUCCCUAUCCAAUAACUUAUCCAAAUAUUUUAGAAAAUAAAAAUAAAUAUUUUAUCCAGUAACAUGGAAGCGGAAAAUAGAAACUGCAGGUUAUUCUGGAUUCCAUGAAUUCUGCAUGAUGAUUUUCCAAAUAUAAUCCUCCCCGGGACCCAUGCUGAGUAGGAUUCUGGGCCCAUCCACGUCAGUUCCACGUUAGGUGACCAAUCAGAAGUCGUUUGCCUCCUAUUUGCUUAUUUAAUUUUUUUGUUGAAAAACAUUUUCCAGAAUUUUCUAGAAUGUGUAGGGCACAUGAUCUUAUCCAAAUUGGUGGUUGCAUAGUACAAAUCACACUCUGUAAUUUAAUUUAUGUUCAUCGUCUGAAUCCAAAAGAGUACUAAUUUUAAUAUUUUCUUCUUUCUUUUGUGCUAGAUUCUUGUGUUUCCACAAAAAUGUCAUAUUUCAUGUGGUCAUGUAGUUUUGUUUGUUAAAAUGUGAUAUAAUUCUUUGUGGGGAUCGUUUCAAGUUGGCGGAACUAUUCAUGACUUAACUCAUUACCAAAUUCUCGCUCGUUAUUGUGACUAACCUUGAGGAUUUGUAAUAGAGAUUUUUUGAACUAAUUGCAAUCAAAUUAGAGCAUCUCCAAUAAAAUUAUGGAAAUUUAAGAGGUAAUAAUCACAAUUACAUCUCACUUUACAUUUCCGAGAUAUGUAAAUAUGAAAUCUAUUUUAAAACUCAUCGACUAUUGAGUUUCAUCUACUUUGACAGUGUUCAUAUAAGAAAAGACUUAAUUUAUUUGGUUCAUAUGAGAUAUUUUGAUGUCAUGGACGCCAUAGUAGAGUUGUUUUAAAGUCUGUCACGUUUUAGUUUCAUCGCUUGAUUGACUUAAAACACCAAGAUCAUAAUAUUCUGAGUGCAUAUAAGUUGUUUUCGGUUUCUAUUUAGUAUGACCUAACUUAUUCUACACCCCACGUUUGCCUCACCACAUGCCACCAAAUAAAUAGGCCAUUAAAAAAGGUGCUUGAUGUUUUCAUGUGAAACGGUUAUUAAGCUCAGACAAUUUUUAGGGAGUUGGAUGUUGAAAACAAUACAAACUUUGGCUCUCCAACAACCACAUUGAUUCAACCACUACGAGCUGGCUCAAUGGUUGGAGACGAAUUAUAGGUUCGUAUUUUACACAGUAUGUUCUGGGUUUAAUUCCUGAUGAUAGUGAAUUACACGAUGAUUGCUAUAAAAAGACUAAAAUACCUUUGUAAGUCUUCUCAGCUCCAGAAAUGAUGGAUUGCUGGCGACGCCACCAAUUGAUUUCCUUUUCUUAAAAUUAAAAAUAAAAAUAAAAGCUACCACAUGGAUUCCAAAAGGACAGAUAAUAAGCCAAAUCCAUGAUGCAAAGCCAACAAAAUUUAGCUAGUUGCCUACACCAUAACUUCACUUUCUUUGUCAAUAUUCAAGGGGCCACAAAUAAAAAAAAAAUCCACAUAAUGUUAUACCAACUGCCUAAUUGAUGCCCCAUAAAAUUUCUUUUUCAUUUUUUGAAUGAGUCAUGGCCUACUUAAUUGAAAGGAAAAAAAAAUGAUAACACCCUCGAACUUGUGACUUUCUUCCGAGUUCAAUUUACCCUCUUAAUGUUCAAUUUGGUUAUGAGUCUCCAUCAAUCUUAAAAUACAUAGCAAUUGGCCUCCAACCGUCGAGUUUUUAACAUUUGUAUAAGUUUUGCAACGGGUGCUAAAAAAAUACAGGGAAUUGUUAAAAAUACCCUUGGCUGGAGCAUGUGGUCAAAUCUCCUAGUGGAUAAGAUGUUGUGUUUCUACUGCGUUCUGAGUCUGAACAUCCCUUUCCUCUUAAUUAUUGUCAUAAUUUCGAACCCUCUAUCUUUCCUUAAUAAUAAUUUAGAAAAGAAAAAAAAAAACCCUAGCCGGAAUUAUUGACCAUGUAGGUUUGGGGCCUGCAAGAAGAUCAUUUGCCUCCUAUUUGCUUAUUUAAUUUUUUUGGUUAAAACAUUUUCCAGAAUUUUCCAGAACGUGUAGGGCACAUGAUCUUAUCCAAAUUGGUGGUUGCAUAGUAUAAAUCACACUCCGUAAUUUAAUUUAUGUUCAUCAUCUGAAUCCAAAAGAGUACUAAUUUUAAUAUCGUCUUCUUUCUUUUGUGCUAGAUUCUUGUGUUUCCACAAAAAUGUCAUAUUUCAUGUGGCCAUGUAGUUUUGUAACAUUUUUUUUUUAAAUGUGAUAUAAUUUCUUGUGGGGUUCAUUUCAAGUUGGCGGAAUUGUUCAUGACUUAACUCAUUACCAAAUCCUCGCUCGUUACUGUGACUAACUUUGAGGAUUUGUAACAGACAUUUUUCGAACUAAUGCAAUCAAAUUAGAGCAUCUCCAAUAAAAAUAUGAAAUUUUGAAAGGUAAUAAUCAUGGUUACAUCUCACUUUGCAAUUCCGAGAUAUGUAAAUAUGAAAUCUAUUUUAAAACUCAUCGACUAUUGAGUUUCAUCUAUUUUGACAGUGUUCAUAUAAAGAACAUACUUAAUUUAUUUGGUUCGCAUGAGAUAUUUUGAUGUCAUGGAUGCCAUAGUAAAGUUGUUUUAAAGUCUGUCAUUUUUUAGUUUCAUCGCUUGAUUGACUUAAAACACCAAAAUCAUAGUGUUCUGAGUGCAUAUAAGUUGUUCUCGGUUUCUAUUUAGUAUGACCUAACUUAUUCUACACCCCAAGUUUGCCUCACCACAUGCCACCAAAUAAAUAGACUAUUAAAAAAGGUGCUUGAUGUUUUCAUGUGAAACGUUUAUUAAACUCAAGACUACUUUUAGGGAGUUGGAUGUUGAAAACAAUACAAACUUUGGCUCUCUUACAACCAUAUUGAUUCAACUACAAGAUGGUUCAAUGGUUGGAGACAAAUUUUAGAUUCAUAUUUCACACAUUACGUUUUUGGGUUCGAUUCAUGACGAUAAUGAAUCACACGAUGGUUGCCAAAAAGAAGCUGAAAUACCUCUGUGAGUCUUUUCAACCUCAGAAAAGAUGGAUUGCUGACGACGCCACCAAUUAGUUUCAUUUUCUUAAAAUAACAAAAAAAUAAAAAAAAAUGAAAACUACCACAUUGAUUCCAAAACGACAGAUCAUAAUCCAAAUCCAAGAUGCAAAGCCAACAAAAUUUAGCUAGUUGCCAACACCACAACUUUUCUUUGUCAAUAUUCAAGGGGUCACAAAUUUAAAAAAAAAUAAAAUCCACAUAAUGUUACACCAACUGCCAAAUUGAUGCCCCAUGAAAUUUCUUUUUCAUUUUUUGAAUGAGUCAUGGCCUACUUAGUUGAAAUAGACAUGUAAACGGGUCGGGUUUAUUAGGUUUGGGUCGGGUUCAACUCGAUUCGUUAAGUUAACGGGUCAUCCGAACUCGACUCGUUAACCUAACGGGUCACCCAUUUCACCCGUUAACAAUUAUUAUUAUUAUUUUUUUUUGCAUAAAGUUUAUUUUUUUGUUAUUAAGACUUUACUAAAAUUACUAAAAUAUUCUCAACUAACGGGUGCUAACGGGUCCUAACAGGUCUAACGGGUUGACCCAAAGUGACCCGUUAUUUAACGGGUUGUUAACGGGUUCACCCGUUAAGCAUCCACCCAAAUACAAAUAUUAACGGGUUGGGUCGGGUCGGAUUAACGGGUUUGGUCCAAAAUGCCAGGCCUAAGUUGAAAGGAAAAAAAAUUGAUAACACCCUCGAACUUGUGACUCUCUUCUGAGUUAGAUAUACCCUCUUAACGUUCAAUUUGGUUAUGAGUCUCUGUCAAUCUUAAAAUACAUAGAAAAUUGGCCUGCAACCGUCGAGUUUUUCACAUUUAUAUAAGUUUUGCAACUGGAGCUAAAAAAGUAGAGGGGAUUUUUAAAAAUACCCCUAGCUAGAGCAUGUGGUCCAAUCUCUUAGUGGAUAGGGUGUUAUGUUUCUACUGCGUUCUGGGCCGAACCUCCCUCUCCUCUUAAUUAUUGUCAUAUUUUCGAAAACCACUCUCUUCCCUCAAUAAUAAUUUAGAAAAGAAACAAAAAAAAGACCUAGCCGGAAUUACCGACCAUGUAAGUUUGGGGCCGCAAGAAGAUCAUUGCAAGGACACAGUCAAGAUUGGCAUACAAAUUCGAAAGAAAUCAACAAGGAAGUUUGACAAAAAGCACUUUCAAGAAAAGCAUGCCCUGGUUAAUGCUAGGGUUUGAAUAGAUGACAAAUAGUUCUAGGUACCAAAAUCCAUAACAUCAUAUUCUAAUAGAAGUGGCAAGUUUGGAGCCAAACAAGCUUUUGAUCUGAUUAAAAAUAAUUAAUCAGAUUACAAUAUCCAAUCUAAAUAACAGAUUAACCAAACUAGGCAGGGCUCGAUGUAAAAAAGCCAGAGCCCCCUGCUUAUGGGAAAACCCAAAGUUAAAAGAUAUAUGUACAACAACACCAUGUAGGAAACUGCCCUAGAGAAGCUGCUUUUAAACUUUCACCAUGGAACUUUCUUCCUCAAGUUCUAUGAUGUGGCUUGCAUUGCCCCAAACACCGGAAAAAUCUCCGCUUUUCGUGACCAGAUCCUCCAAUCUUUCUUCCUUCAUGGAAGGCGAUGAUGUUGUUGUUAAUAUUUCACCUAUUGAAGCUAACUUUAGUAUCUCAGAUUCAUCUAACCCUUUCGCCGGCCCACGAUUACAACGAUCACCCCCGUGUUUUGCCAAUGCAUCUUUGAAUUUCUUAAUCUGUUAAACAAGGAAUUCUGACUCAGUUUCUUGAUCCACAAACAAUUUCGCUAAUUCAUUGCAAUUAAAACUCGAGAAAGAAGAUUGUGAUUGCAGGGAAUACUCACAGUUGCAUUGGUGCAGCUAAAGCUACACACACGACCAUCUGCACCUCUAUAGAAUCUAAAGAAGGGCAGCACAUGAAUGUUGAGAGCAUGGCACAUAGUCUUGUGCUCUUCAUAGUUAACUUUGAGGAAAAUCGCAUUCGGGUUCGAUUCAGCCAGCUGACAGAUCUGGUAAAAUGGACAACUCUUGGUCAACAAAUUUCACCAUAAUGUUUCAGAUUAAGGCCCUAACAAUUAAACCAGAAUGCCAUAAUUCCGAGGCGGAAUUAGUGGGCCGCUGGUCCGUCUCUCUGAAAUGCAUAAAUUGGUUGCUAAAACAUGAACGAAAAAUCAAAUAUAUAUACCUUGGGAUGGAGAGCUCUGCAGCCUCCACAACCAGGUGAGUAAAAGUCAACCACGACCAAUCUGUCUCCAGCAUUCUUCAAAGAAUCAACAAGUUCUUGAGCAGAAUGGAUCUCCACCAUGUUGGGGUGAAGGGUCUUCUCCCACCAUCUCAUUGCUCUGCUUACACACAGAGAUGCUUGUGCCUGAAAAACCAUAAAUUCCCAAUUUAAAAAAAAAAUCACAAAAAAAUAGAAAAAUGCGAUGGGGAACACAAAAAUCCAACAAAAGGUAGAAGGCAAAAGCUAAAAGCUAAAAGCAAAAAAGAGAGAAAGGAGAAAGCUUUACAUACAUGCACAGAGAAAUUGCUAGGUUUUGUGACCCUCCAAUUCUCGAAACCCUUAUGAUCUGAGAGAAUCAAGGGUUUUCCCAAGAAAUCAACACUCAAUGCAGGAAAAGCUCUUGAAUUUGCAUCCUUAAAUUGGGAGGUAGGAGAAACCCUAAAAUCCCCUUUGGGGGAUUUGGAGCCAACUGCAAUUUCAUCCAACCCAGAAGAAAUGCAGAAACCACUCUGUGAUGCAAAUGCAUUGGCCAUAUCAAAUCAAACGCCCUUUUCCGAGAUUUCACAGCGAAAACAAGAAAACCCACUCGAUCCUCUGCCUGAAACACCACUUUUUCGAAUCGAAACGGCCAAAAAAUGGAUUAAAAUUAAUCCCUUGCAACCAAAAUCUUCAAAAAAACUUGUUCUUUGAACAAAAAGAUGCCUCCUUUUUACUAAAAAUCUAAUUGACAGAGAGUUGUGCGUUUUUUGAAUAAUUGACAGAGAGUUGUGCGUUUUUUGAAAACUUGAGAGAGAGAGAGGAGGGAGAAGGAAGAAGAGGAGGAAAGGAAGUGGGGGUAUUUAGAAAAAAAAAAUUGAAACCGGGUGGGUGGGGUCUUUCUGAUAUGGAUUUUUCCUCUUAUCCAAAAGCUUUUUAAUUUUUAUUUUUAAAUAUUAUUAUUUUUUGGAUAAAUGACACAGAUUUAUAGCUGUUGUUUAUGUGUAAUUUACCGUCAUUAACGAGGAAUAUGCUAUGUUUUUCGGUUAAUUUUUUAGAUUUGAGUUGGCAAUUAUGUAAAAAUUGCUAUAUUUCGGGAAAAUGUUUGGUAGUCAAAUGCUCUGGUUUUGUGUGAAAAUAUUAAUUGGGAUAUUUCUCCACAAAAUUACGAAAGUGGAUAAAUUUGAGCAGCUGACUCUGUCUGCUUCAUCAAAUUUUGGAUAAUCUGAUUUAUCUUUUUAGCUUUCGUUUUACUUGCUGGAAUAGAUUUUAUUUUAUUUUAUUUUUUGACUUUUUUCUUUUUGAGAAUGCUAUCUUGGCUAGUAAAAUCUAUUUCUCUGUGAAAUUCUUACUAUUUAUUUUUAUUAAAAAGUUCUGUUUUUGAUUAAAAGAUGCAUAUCAAAAUUUUCUUUUUGGGGCUCUUCAAAUUUAAGGCCUUAUGAGAUUACACAUUUCGCUUUCCCUCAACGCCCCUCUGCAUCUACGCUAGCAAAAGAAAACAUGAGAGCAUUUGAUCGUAUGUGUAGGGUAGAUUAACUUCAUACAUAAUUAUUCGAUCAUAUGAAAACAUGGGAUCCUCACGAAUGCUUUCUGUCUUUUUAUAAUUACCCAAUAAUGUUCCUUAAUAAACAAAAGAAUAUGAUGAUGCUUUGUGGUCAGUCUCCUGCUUAGGGCUUAAUCAAUGAUGAUAAAUCUUGAUCAAAUCGCAGCAUUUAACAACUCCAUGAUCAUAAAAUACGUGUUAAACAUUAAAUUAAUACAAAAUAUAUACUGCAAACACACGAUGGACGCACUAGGGUUUGAGAUGCAGAUGAUAUUUUUCCCAUUAAAAAUCAUGGGUGCUGAGUCAUGGUACAAAGGCCUAAUCCGAUCCCUAAUCAAGGGAAAAAAGAAAGAAAACCAAGUUCUAAUUAAAUUACUUUACUGAGUUUCCUAGGAGUUCCAAGCUCUGCACUUUACUCAACUGAAGUCUCUUGGAACGCAAGUCAGUUUUUGUUCUUUGUUUUUUUGGUCAAAUAAGUCAUCAGUUGUUGGAUUAAGAGAUUAUUGAUUUUAUAUUUAGUUGAAAGAGAACAAAGAUAAAUUAAGUAAAUGAAUAAUUUCAAUAAAACAAAAUAGAGACCAUGUGUAUAGACAUUCCGAAAUUCAACUUUGAUGAACUUAUUUUUUGACACGAUCAUUUAGACUUUAGAAUUUAAGUAUCAAAAUUUGGACUUAAACCGCAAAUUGGAAGCUCGAUUAUGUACUGUAAAUGAUCAAUCAUGUCAAGUAAGAACAAACUGAAAAUAUUGUAUAUAGAGAAACAUUAAGGAGACUCCCUUAAAAGUGGGACUCUCUAAGUAUUCUUUGUCACCUUGUAGUUUAAGAUCAAUUUCAGUGUCAACAUUAUAAAACAUUUUGCUAAAAACAUGAAGUGUCAGAAAGUCUAUAGAAAAUCAUGUUUUUGAGAAAAUCUCCUUAUCAUUUCUUUGGUAUAUAUUCAUUUCACUUUAUCCAAGUUUACAAAUUAAUUGAGGAUCCCCAUCCCCAAAACAAUUCCAUUUAAAUGGCAAAUCGGAGUUGCAGGCAGUAGGAGAAAUUUUUCAGUGUGUUGGAAACACGAUAUAGUACACCAAGUGUCAUAAUAUAAGUGGUUGAAGUUUUUUUUGGGGUGUGAUAUCCACACACCCCCUUUUACUUCUCAUAGACCCUUUUAAUUUUCGACCGUUGGAUCGGAUGAAGUGAAGAAGAUCAAUGGACAAAAAUAAAAAAGGGGUGUGUGAGAAGUAAAAAGGGGUGUGUGGAUAGCACACUUUUUUUUUCUUUUCAAGUAUCCAACUACUUGUAUUGUGAUAAUGUACAAGACCGUGUUUAUGGCACACUGAAAAAUCUCUCCAAAGACAGAGUAGGACCAAAAACCCACAUAGAUUAUGGGAGUGUCAUGCAAGAAAGUUGGCUUGGAUAUUUUUCGUCUGGAUGAUAUUUGCGUGACAAUGAGAGCACCUGGAAUUCUAGAUGAUGGAUUAAGUCCACCACAUCUGCAUGUGCUUGCGAUCUGUUUAUUUCAGUUCAUGAACCUCCUUGGAUAAUUGGAUUGCUUGAUAAAUAGGCUAGAAUUUUAUGAUAAUAUUUUUAAUUAUUUGCCCACAGAUUUUGGACCAUUUUUUGUGUGCUGAAAGGUAGGGUAGCCCAUAGGUUGUGAUUUUGGAACACUGGUUUGCAAGAAAACCAAGGGAAAAGGCUAUCUUCUAGAACAAGUCCAUGAGUUUUGGAACUGUUUUUUGAGUCCACACUAAGCAAAGAAACAAGAGGCAAAUCAGUGUGCAGUAUUGUUCUCCAUAACCCUAAUAAUCCAAUAAUCCAUCAAUCCACCGGGUUCGAUUUUACAACUUACUAAAUUUUUACUGAUUUUUUAUAUUUUUUCUUAGUUCUCGAUGAUGAUAUGGACUUGCAUGCAACUGAGACAUAGAGGUGACAGUAUCUUAAAUGGAUUAUGUAAUGCCAUGUGGAUAAGUUAAAACACAUGACAAUGCAUGAUAAGUUUGAGAUAUUGUUAUUUUCCCGUCUCAAUUGCAUGUAAGUUUCCCCCUAACGAAAUCACCAGGACUGUGAGGUUUUAGUGUUAAUUAGCUAAUGAAUUGCUCUGUACCAAAUACAGCCAUUGUUCGUGUGUCGUUAAAAUUGUUGAUCGUAUCCUUCCAACAUCGAAGGAUGAAGGUUUAGCUUAGAGCUUAAAGAUUUUGAGCAUUUUCCCUUAUUCUCAAUUAGUUUUGGAUUGAAUGCUCACAUUCUAACAAAAAUCGUCAUCGGAUUCAACGCAAAGGCAUAACAUUUGACAAAGGUCUUGGCACGCAGCCUGACUGCUGAAUUCAUGACAGUUAAAUUGCAACAACUUCAUCAUAAUCUCCAAAAGUUGGUGUUUCUUUUCAUGAGAAUUUAUCUAUAUUCAAACAUGGUAUAUAUACAAUAACGUCCGGAUGUUUGAAGGCCUGGAAGUGGAACUGUGGAAGAAUAUUAAACAAUGCAUGAUGAUUCACUUGACAAGCUCCUCCUUCUUGCCAGCCUCUUCCAACUCUCUUAGACUUCCAACCUUCUGCUCUAUCUCCUCAAUCAGCUCCUCCCUCCACAACUCUGCUCUUGCUGAUUCUUCUAUGUCUUCUUGCUGCAAUAAACAGUUCCCAAAGUUGGUCACUAAACAAUGAGGAACAAAGAAAAACACUCUAUCUGGUUGAAAGGCCCGACAAGGUUUUAAUCAGACAACUCUUUACACAUGAUCCUCUAUAUGCUUCAUUCAUCAAAUAAAUAUCAUUAUUCACUAAAAAAAAACCCUUAGCAACUACUAAUGUCGAGUGCAAUAACAGUCGGGUUUAGGCGGGGCUUUUCUUCAAAAUGGUCAUUUAAGUGUUUUUUUUUUCUUAAUAAGAAAUGGAGUUUUGAGGAGCUUAUUUGUGAGAGCCCUUAAAACUACAGCUAGCUUGUGUUAUCCUCAUUUUCUUCACCUCUCUGGCGCUUAUCUCAAAUGAAUUAUGUAAUGUCAUGUGAGUAAGUUAAAACACAUAACAACAUGUGAUAAGUUUGAGGUAUUGUUAUUUUUCUGUCUCAAUUGCAUGUAAGUUUUCCCCUAAUGAAAUCACCAGGAUUGUGAGGUUUUAGUGUUAAUUAGCUAAUGAAUUGCUCUGUACCAAAUACAACCAUUGUUCGUGUGUCGUUGAAAUUGUUGAUCGUAUCCUUCCUACAUCGAAGGAUGAAGGUUUAGCUUAGAGCUUAAAGAUUUUGAACUUUUUCCCUUAUUCUCAAUUAAUUUUGGAUUGAAUGCUUAGGCAAUCUCCAACCGAAAGAGGGCCAAAGGGCUUCCUUCCUUUAGCCCUAUAGCUCUGUAAGAAAUUAUAUUUGAAUGAAUAGUGCUAUGCCAUAUUAAAGAAGGCCAAAGGGCUUCCUUUAUUUGGCUCUAUAACCCUGCAAGAAAUUAUAUUUUAAUAAACAAUGCUAUGCCAUAUUUUAUACCAUCUUCAACCAAGGGAGCCAAAGAGCUAUAGGCCAAACAUAACAUUUUGACAAAAAAUCAUCUCUAACCGAGGGGGCCAAAGAGACAUAGGCCAAACAUAAUUUAUUAUUUUAAUUAAAUUAAUAUGGUUAAUCUCAAUAAUUUUUUUUAUAGUAUUUCGAAUUGCACGUGUCUCUAACGUGAGUAACUCUCCAGAUUUCUUAUCUUUAUGUAAUCUCAAUAAUUUUUUGGAUAGAAUUUUGAGUGACACGUGUCGCUAAAGUAAGUAACUCUUCAGAUUUCUUAUCUUUAUGUAAUCUUAAUAAUUUUUCGGAUAAGAUUUAGUGUCACGUGUUGAGAUGUAAUUGAUGUGCAAAUUUUAAAUAGAAUUCUUAUCUACAUGACACUUCUUAUCUUUAGUUUUCAAUGUUGUAGGUAUUUAUAGGAAAAAAAAAAUUAGAUUUUUUUAUUUUAAUUUCUUCCAAAAAAAAAAUUCAAAUUCCAACGGUAACUUGACGGCAUGACGUUAGCUAGUUGGCGUCAUGUUGACGCCAGGUAGCCGUUGGCAUUCAAAUGGGCUGAGCUGGAGGGCUGGCAAAAUGUCAAGCUUGACAUUCUGGCGCUGGAGGGCUGGCUGGAAAUGGCCAGCCCGUUGGCCUGAUUUUGGGGUUCAGGCCUAGUGGGGCCCACAAGCUCUUUGGCAUAGCCUUUGGUUGGAGACGGUUUUCGUAUCAUUCCGAGCUAUUUUUAGCCUUAUAGCUCUUUGGUUGGGUUGGUUGGAGAUGACUUUACAUUCUAACAAAAAUCGUCAUCGGAUUCAACGCAAAUGCAUAACAUUUGACAAAGGUCAUGGCACGCAGACGGACCGCUGAAUUCAUGACAAUUAAAAUUGCAACAACUUCAUCAUAAUCUCCAAAAGUUGGUGUUUAUUUUCAUGAGAAUUUAACUAUCUACAAACAUGGUAUAUAUAAAUACAAUAACGUCUGGAUGUUUGAAGAGCUGGAAGUGGAACUGUGGAAGAAUAUUAAACAAUGCAUGAUGAUUCACUUGACAAGCUCCUCCUUCUUGCCAGCCUCUUCUAAUUCUCUUAGACUUCCAACCUUCUGCUCUAUCUCCUCAAUCAGCUCCUCCCUCCACAACUCUGCUCUUGCUGAUUCUUCUAUGUCUUCUUGCUGCAAUAAACAGUUCCCAAAGUUGGUCACUAAACAAUGGGGAACAAAAAAAAAAAACCCCUAUCUAGUUGAAAGGCCCGACAAAAUUUUAAUCAGACCACUCUUUACAUCUGGUCCUCUAUAUGUUUCGUUCAUAAAAAAAAUAUCAUUAUUCAAUAAAAAAAAAGACCCUUAGCAAUUGCUAAUUUCAAGUGCAAUAACAGUCGGGUUUAGGCGGGGCUUUUCUUCAAAAUGGUCAUUUAAGUGUUUUUUUCUUUCUUAAUAAGAAAUGGAGUUUUGAGGAGCUUUUUUGUGAGAGCCUUUAAAACUAUAGCUAGCUCGUAUUAUCCUCAUUUUCUAUGCUUUUGAAUAAUCUAUGACCUGAAUAUCUAAUCUAAGCUAACUCAAAAGUGUGGAAAUAAUGUUUGAUACACAUAAUUUAAGUAAUAAUUAAGGGUUAAAUACCUUCUCAUAAAUCCAGAAUCCAGUGCCAUCCCCUCCAUCUCCUCUAUACGUCUCUGAAUCAUAGUAUGGAUCCUGAAAACAUUCCCCAACCUUUCAGAAUAAUCUCUAAACUAAUGAAAUUAUAUAAUCUAAUUAAAUUUUGAAUAUAAAAAACAAAUUGAAGUGAGAGUAGCUAAUUAAUUACCUUCAUGGAACCAAAGAACAAGCAUCCCCAACAAGUGAACAUGAUGUAAAAAGUAUCUACAAAACAAAAAAAAUUGUCACAAUUUUCAAGCAUUCCCAAUUAAAAUCCACCACAAAUUACACAAAAACUAAUAAAAAAUUAAUUAGGAAAUACAAUACUUACAGACAUUCUUUAUGUUUUCAUCACUGAGAUGCACGAUAGAUUUGUGGGUUAUGAGGUCUCUCUGGCCUUCUAUGUGUUCCACAAGAACUGCCAUUAGAGGCCAGUCUGGGAAAGCAUUUGUUCUGCAGAAAGAGGCUCUUUUGCUUUUUUUCCCUACGAUCUAUAAAACCAAAAUAUAUUAAUGCAGUAAAUUUUUUUAUAAAUUCAUGAAAAGUUCAUUUUUUGGGGACAAAAAAUUUACAAAGCUGGUUAAUUACCUGCUUGCACCCACUGAAAAGUUCAGAGCUUGAAGACUGCCUAAGCUGCAAAAUAAAAGUACUCAAAAGCAUUUCCGUGGAUAUGCACCAUUUUUAUUUUACAAGACAACACACUAAACUACUCUAAUCUACAUGGGGGAGGGCGCGGAAACUGUUUGUGUUAACUGACUUAACUCACGUUUGUCCAUAUAGCAUUUCAAACAUAACAAGACAAUUUGCAGUACAAGUGAUUAACAUAAGAGAAAAGUUGAAUUUUUACAAAUCUGGUUGAUGAGCAACUCAUGUCCAAUUUUGUUGUUUGGAGAGAAGAGCUGUGAAUAUGUGGAGUGGUAAUGGUGAAUCCCAUGAUAGCUUUUGCCAUUGUCUUCCAAUGAGUUUGAGUUCAGAAGAUGCACUUCCAAAUUGGUUUGUAAGAGUUUGGGUUGCAAAUUUUGUUUUCAUUGGUUUGGAAGGAAAGUGGAUAAGAGAACCAUUUGCAACCACCCUUCUGAUGCGGUUGUAGCCAUAUGAAAAUUUUAGAUUUGCAAUAAAUAAUAUAGUUUAACAGAAAUUAUCAACUGGCCUAUUAGCUCAGCUGGUUAGAGCGUCGUGCUAAUAACGCGAAGGUCGCAGGUUCGAGACCUGCAUGGGCCAUAUUUUUUUCCUGUUUUAGUUUCUUUUUUUUUGUAAUUUCGUUGCAUUUUCAUUCACCUUCCCAAUCUGUUUUCUAGGAAAAUCCGUCCAUUUUCCCGGAAAAUUUCAUGGGGAGGACCGGAUUGUUCGAUCUGGAACGGCACUUCGCCUUCUACGGCGCUUAUCACAGCAACCCAGUUAACAUUUUGAUCCACACACUGUUUGUGUGGCCGAUUUUCUUCACCUCUCUGGUUCUCUUCCACUUCACACCUUCUCUCUACAGUUUCCCAAAUGGGUUCUGUUUGAAUUUUGGGUUUGCUCUCACUGCGAUGUAUGCUACUAUGCUGGGUUUUAUGUGUGCUUGGAUAAGAAAGCUGGGUCUGUUGCUGCUCUGCUCUGUGUUCUCUGCUGGGUUCAAUCCACCCGCUUGCUAGCCGUCUUGGGUUUUCUUUGUCAUGGAAGGUAAAGCUGAAAGCUCUCUCCUUUUUGCGAUUUCCGGGUGAUGAUUUUAUGGUUCUAAGGAUUUGGAUUUUGAGUUCGAUGGAAUGGUUUUCUAACAUUUUAAUCUGAUUAAUUUCCUCUCUUUUUUAUGACAUUAAGUUAGGGUUGCUAGGAGGAAUUCUGUUAGUUUUGUUGAUCAAUUUGGACAGGAUUCUCUCCGAAUUCCUUCAUUUUAAUACAUCAAGUUCGGGGAGAUGGACUGUUAAAAUUUGAUCUAACGGUUAAAGUUAUUAUAACUUUUAAAGUGGAUUUCUAUUUGUAACCGUUAGAUCAAAUUUCAAUGGACUGGAUCCCUGGACUAUAACUUUUAAAGUGGAUAUCUGUUUGUAGCCGUUGGAUUAAAUUUCAAUAAUCCGGAUCUUGAACUUGAUGGAUUAGGAGGAAAGAAAGAAGACCCUGUCCUAUUAAAAUUUGACUUGAUAGGACUAGUUGUCCCACAUCGGAAAAAUAACAAAUCUCGGAGUGGUUUAAGAUCUCUUGGGCACCCCUUUGCCGGUUUUUAGGGGCAAGUUCUACCCACGGUGUCUUCACAGAAUUUCGAAUGCAGUCCUAGUUGGGUGAAUGAUUGAAAAUUCUUGUCCACGAAGUUUAUGUUUUACAGGAUGUGAAUGUGUUGUGUGGGGUUUAGGGUUUUGGAGGAGGCAAUGACUUUGAAUGGAAGGGCCACUUGGAUGAACUAUGCCUUUCUGUCCAUCAAGAGAUGUACGUCUCUGGUUCGUGUGUUGGCUUCGGAUGGGCUUCUUGUCCUCCUCUAUAGGUCUCUCCGGUGAUGGUCAUGUUUGUCUAGCUCUGGUUCGGACUUUAGCUUCUCCGGUUUUCCCUGUUCUGGCGCCUUUGCCUAGCUUUGUUGUUUUUCAAUUUCCUAAUUCUAUGAGGAAUCACUUGUUCAGGUUGUGUUGGCUGCUCAGUUGUUCUGUUGGACUGGACAGUUCAUAGGCCACGGGGUUUUUGAGGUAACUGAGAUUUUGUAAUACGCAUUGUGCCUGUGUUCCUGACGUAGUAUACAUCUCACGAUAAUCAUUUUCGUGGUUGAAAGCAACAAAAUGUGUAUACAUACCUGACGAUAACAUAUCUUUUCAGAAACAAGCACCAGCUCUUUUGGACAACCUUGUUCAAGCGUUUCUAAUCGGUCCUUUCUUUGUGCUGCUUGAGGUAACGAAUCUAAAUCCUUUCUGAAUCGGAGAUGGUUUCUCUUGUUGAUGAUGGGUCAGUCAUGUUACAGUUGCAUUGUGCAGUGUCUUCAAUUGGUAUUCGGCUACGAACCUUAUCGAGGUUUUCAUGCAAGCGUGGAAGAAAAGAUAGAAGCUCAGAUCAAAGAGUGGCAGGACAAGAAACAAAAGAAAAUCACUUAGCUUAGAUAGGUUAUAUCAGACUGUAACCCUCUGUAAAGAAUGAGAUUAUGUAUAAAUCUGUAUCCGUAUUUGCCGAGUAUUGUACACCUUACCAAGCUCUGGUUUUGGCACUCCCUUUUCCUUCAUUGGUUCUCUCUUAUAAGAGCAUCCCCAAUGAGGGCUUUAUCCUCCAUCAGGCUACUACAUUUGAAACGCUAGUGAUAAAUCUCAGCAAAAACAAAACAUCUUUUUAGAUGGAAUGCUAUAAAACUUUCGAGACUUUAUACAGAACGCCGAAGUGAAAGUGGUCAUUUCGAAACGAUCUCUGACCUUUAAACCAGGCUAUUACCAGGCUCUGGUUUUUGAACUCCCCUGUCAAUCAUUGAUUUUCUCACUCGUAUAACUUCGUUCCAUUCGCCUGAACUUGCGUACAUGUUCGAUAGAAGAACGUAGUCGCUGCUGUGAUCUGGUUCCAGCUCCAAAAGAUGACCCCUCACCUUUUCUCCGAGCACAAUAUCACCGUGCAGCCGACACGCUCCCAACAAUGUCCUCCAUGUAACGGCAUUACACUCCAUCGGCAUGUUUUUUAUCAACCUGUAAGCCUCCUCCACGUACCCGGCUCGCCCCAACAUAUCCACCAUGCAUCCGUAGUGCUUCAUGGUUGGUUGGAUACGAUACUCCUUGCUCAUAACAUCAAAAUACCUUCUUCCUUCAUCAACCAUCCCUCCAUGGCUACAAGCACACAAAACUCCCAAGAAAGUUACUUCAUCCGGCAUCCCAAGCUUUUCCUUCAACAUCUUCGAGAACAAUUCCAAUGCAUCGUCUGCAUGCCCAUGCGUUGCAAGCCCCAGAAUCAUCGUGUUCCACGACACUAUGUUCUUCCCCUUCAUCUUACAAAACGUCUCAUAUGCUUCUUCAAAAGCUCCGCACUUUGCAUACAUGCCGAUAAGCGAAUUAGUCACCGUCACACUGCUGCUAAGAUUCAAACGAUUAAUAAAAGAAUGAACUCUCCUCCCAAAAUCUAAUGCACCCAAUGUAGAGCACGCCGAGAGGGUCAAAACCACCGUGGCGUCAUCAGGUUCUGUGCCACUGUUUACCAUCUGUAAAAACAAGUCAAGUGCUUCCUUACACUUUCCGCAAUUGACAUAACUAUCAAUGAUAGUAUUCCAAGCCACUAAAUCUGGUUGAGGCAUUUCAUCAAACAGAUUGAACGCAGUUUGGUCAUCCUUCAACAUCCCAUACAUAUGAAUGAGAGUGUUCCUUACAAAGACAUGAGACUCCAACCCAUGCUUCAGAGCAGCACAAUGCAUCUGUUUCCCCAAAACGUAAGAACCCAAUUGCCCACAAACCUUGAGCAAGAAGGAAAGUGUGAAAUUAUCAGCCACCUUUCCAUUCUCCUGCAUUCUCUUAUAAAACUCAAAUGCCCUUUCAGGCUUCCUGGUCUUCCCAAACCCUCUGAUCAUUGUGUUCCACAAAAACCCAUCCGGGCUUUCAACGCUUCUGAAAACAGAGACGGCAUAGUCCAUGUCUCCGCGGUCCGAAACCGCGCAGAAAGAGACGAUCUUGCCAAGAACGUUUUGAUCAAGCCCUUUGUGGAUUAUGUGCCCAUGGAUUUGCUUUACAUGUUUCGUGGUGGUGCAUUGCUUGAAAAGGGACAUAACCCUGUGCACCUUUUGAAAUAUGGCAUCGUGCAUUGAGGUCUUUUACAAAUUACAAGUUUUGGGAAGCGGUAGGGAAGAUUGACUGUCUUUCUUUGGCUUUGGCUACGGAGUUUUUGAAUUUAGGCGCCAAAGGUGGUUAACGGUCAUAAAGUAAACGGACUGCAAAUUUUUCUUGGAGAUUUCAUAUUUUAAUGGUGCGAGAACAAAGUUACAAAUCCAGCCAACCAUUGCAUCAAAUAGCAGAUUUGCAGAAAUCUCUGAAACGGUAACAAAGGUUUGGUUGAGGCCAUUGCGUUCUUGGACCUUCAACUUUUGAUGGACCCUGUUCUCUUUUCUCUUUUGGGCUUCUGAAAACUGGUUUUGGACCAAAAACGAAUAAAAAAGAAUACAUAACAUCACGUGUCAAAUGAUGAGAUAGAGAGAGAGAUGUUAAAGAAAUUACAUAUAAGCUACUAGCCUACAUUGGAGCGAUAUUCAUUUUCACUGGUAAAUAUGAGAUCUCCUUUUUGACUCUUGUCAUGUGGAUGGUGAGUUUGAUAACUAUGACAGACCCAUUUUGUGACUUAUCUCAAAUCUUCCCCCUCUAGCAGAAUAUUGGGUCUAAAAAUAGAAGAGAUUAUAUCGAAGAAUUUCUCUAGAAAGAGAUUACAGUUUCUUAAGCAAUACUAACACCACCUCGUUUCAUGUGAAGACAUAGAUAUUAAUAGUGGAUAUCCUUAGUUGCACGCAAGUAUCACACUGUAAAGGGAUUAUAGUUCACUAAUGCACAACAGCUCUUAUUGUUGUUAAUUUUAUCGAUGCACAGUAAAAAUUACACCAAGCAUCACACUGUAAAGAGAUUAUCUUAAACCCUAAAUUGACAGUCCACAAUAAGCAUCACCAGUUAUGUGUGUGUGGUUACAGUUUUACCUUUUCCUUUUUCAGACGAGUACUUUGGAUUUACUUUUUCCUUGUUUGGAUGGAUGCUUUUCUGUUGGACUUGAAAGAAAGUUUAAUUUUGCAUGUCAAACUCCAAGCUGCUGUUAGAUGAAAAGAAUGAGUGGGUGGUUUCUGAACUAUCUUCCUUGUCCUGAAUUGAUAUUGCUCACAUGGGACUGCUUUAAAAGAUAAAUGCAUUCAUCUCAAUUAGGGUUUGCAGUUGUGGUGUCUGUGAAAAAAAUAGACUAUAUAUAUAGGGACUGUGAGAGCCAUUCAGAAUGGCAAUGGAAAAACAAAUUGAUAGCUUCCCCUGAAUAUAAAUAUAUAUAUAUAUAUAUAUAUAUAUAUAUAUAUAUAUUGACUGAUACAAAGCAAGAAGAACACCUGGAAAAAGUGUACUCAAUGAAGCCACACAACUCAAAUGGCCAUUUCUACUGUGGCUUUUUUAACAUUUAUGAGCUCCAGUUGUGACAUUGCCCAAGAAAAACGCCUUCCUACCCACAUGCCCAAAAGAGCUUUUUAGCUCUGUUGGUGUGUGUAGAAGAAGCUCACAAGUGCUUUUGUAUUUACUCAUUCCUUGUUAGCUAGGCAGUGUUAGGUUGUUUCACACAUGGGAUUGUGCUUGAAAGCCAAAACAAACUGAUUGAAAUUAUCUGGCUUAAAGUUGAGUAUAAUUUCUUAGUGGCUAAGUGGACAAAAGAAGAGAAAAAGCAUAGUUAUUUUAUUUUAUUUUUAUUUAAGCGAUAUUCUAAUUUGACUUAAACUAAAUUAUGACAGAGAUUCAAACUUUAAUAUAAUUAAUUAAGGAGAAGUGCAUUACUCUAGCAAACUUGGCUCUUUCCCAAGUUUACAAAUUAGUAUUUUAGUAUAAACGUAUCAAUUAGAUCUAUGACUAAUUAACUGUAUCAAUUAGACCUACGGCUGUACUUUCUUGCAUGCAUGCCAUAAUGGGGUAGGAACCGGCCUCCUUUUAUGGCAAUCUGUGUAAGACAAUUCAAGUUCAUGGAAGCUGAUCUUCUUCUAUAAUUGACUUUGGCUUUGAUGAAUUAUUGAUCACUUUAUGUCUUCAUCAAUCAUAAUUAGAGACCAAUUGCUAUAGCUUUUACUUCAAGCAUGAAAUGCAUAUGAAGCCAAUCUACAUUUAGACACACUUGGAAUCAUUUAGAUUAGUUUAAUUCGAUGUGGUUCAUCCUGCCUAAUCUUGGGAUUAAAAAGCUAGGUUUAGUCGGCCGACAAAGUCUAUAUUAUAAUAAUUCAGGGCUCGUUUGAUAACGUGUUAAAAAUUAAAACUAAAAAGGUGAAUGAAAAAAAUAAAUAAAAACCAAUUAAUUAGCGUCUCUCUACUUUGUUCAAAAACAUCAAAAGUUUGAAUUUUCUGUUCUCAAAUCAAACUGAAAAUUAUAUAUAUGUACUGUUCCAUUGUGGGGGUACAUUUGAAGGGUUAUACAUUUUCUUAGUCUCUAAUACCUGUCUCGUGGAAUAAUAUGGACUUGAAACCCUAGGCAUAUAAACUUUUCAUCACAUCAAGGUUGGCUAAUUAUUGAUUAUUCUGUGAUUGUUGGCUUCAUAUGCUUUGUUUCAUUACUUUAUAUGUCGCGAAUCACAAUCUCUUUGGUCACCUUGUCCAACCACACCUCUAUAUACACUUGAAAUAUAUAUGGUACCCCACACAUUGCAAUUAUUAGAGAUUGUUGCCAAUCUCUUGAAUGUAAUUGCGGCCAUUAUAUAUUAUGGUAUUUACAUUUUAAAAUGUUUUGAUUAGAUGAUUACAAAGUUAUAAUAUAUUCACGACAGUGGCGGCUUUGGGGAGUGCCAAAGGAGCAGUUGCAUAGCCCCCAUCUCCAAGGUCCACCAACUUUUAGUUAUAUAUAUGCCACUUAGUAUUACGGUCUAGUGGUAUUUCUCUUCACUUGUAAGUGAGAGAUUUUAAGUUCGAUUCUCGCCAAAGGCGAAUUUGAACCAUAUUAUUGCUAACUCAUUGUGAGGCUAAGUCCACCCCUUCCCCUUUAGUGUAGAUAAUAUUAUUUGUUCAAUAUAUAUAUAUUUCAGUUCUAAUGUCUCUAUUAAAAAAAAAAUCUAUAUAUGCAUAACUUAAUUAAGUACAAAUUUGAAAAAUAUCCGAAGUUAUUUUCUGUUUUGGAGAAUACUAUAUCUUAUAAUAUAUUGUUUAGUAUUGUGUUACAAAGUUGACUUUCAUACUAAGUUUCGUACUCAUAAAUAUACUGUAGAAGAAAAAAAAAUGUUUUAAACACCCAAAAAAAAAAGUUUCGUAUGUGAAAGUGCCCUAUUUUAAUUUUCGCACAAAACCCUUGAAAUCUCAGAGCCGCCCCUAAUUCACGAUUAGUAUGAAUUAUAAUAUAUGUGCAUGUGUAUUGAUACACUACUACAAAAAAUACUUUGCACGACGAAAUAAGAUUUGUUGCGCAAAGUAUGAUUUCUUUGCUCAAAACCUUACGAGACAAAAAUUUUGUUAUGCAUGAUUAGUCGCACAAAGCUUGUUACGAUAGGGUUUGCAUGACGAAAAUAAAUAUUCAUCGCGCAAAGUUUUUGGUUUUUUAUUUUUUUUAUUUAAUUUAAUUAAUUUAAUAUUUUGUGCGACGAAAUUAAUUGUUUGCGAGACGAAAUAUUUUGUUGAGCAAGUUUUUUUUUAUUUCUCUUAUUUUAAUUUAAUUAUAGUAAUUGUUUACGCGACGAAAUAUUUGGUAGCACAAAAUUUUUCGAAUUUUUACUUUUUUAAUUUAAUUUAAUUGUAUCUUUAUUUUUUCAUUACUUUAAUUUAAAUUGACAUAUUCAAAAUAAAAUUACAUAUGAAAAAUAGUAAUCAAAUUAUCCAUAAUAUAUAUUAUAUUAAAAAUGUACACAUAAAUUACCAAAGUACAAUAAUAAAAUCCUAAUACAAGUCUAAUGUGGUGGUAGUGGCAGGGGAUAUGGACCGAUAGUGUCCUAAUCAUCAACUUUCGCCAUCAAAGUCUUGACGAUUCCCUACGAAACAAAACAAACAUGGUCAAAUAACAAAAAAAAACAUAAAAUAAUCCCAAAAAAUCGGCAUAAUCUCUCCUAAAAUUGGCAUACCCCAAAUCCAACCAAACUCCACCCCACACCAAACUCAAUUAUUUAACUCCAAAAACAUAUAUUACAAACAACAACAACAACAACAACAACAAAGCCUUUUCCCACUAAGUGGGGUCGGCUAUAUGAAUCCUAGAACGCUAUUGCGCUCGGUUUUGUGUCAUGUCCUCCGUUAGAUCCAAGUACUCAAGUCUCUUCUUAGGGUCUCUUCCAAAGUUUUCCUAGGUCUUCCUCUACCCCUUCGGCCCUGAACUUCUGUCCCGUAGUCACAUUUUCGAACCGGAGCGUCAGUAGGCCUUCUUUGCACAUGUCCAAACCACCGAAACCGAUUUUCUCUCAUAUUUCCUUCAAUUUUGGCUACUCCUACUUUACCUCGGAUAUCCUCAUUCCCAAUCUUAUCCUUUCUCGUGUGCCCAUACACAUCCACGAAGCAUCCUCAUCUCCGCUACACCCAUUUUGUGUACGUGUUGAUGCUUCACCGCCCAACAUUCUGUGCCAUACAACAUCGCUGGCCUUAUUGCCGUCCUAUAAAAUUUUCCCUUGAGCUUCAGUGGCCUACGACGGUCACACAACACGCCGGAUGCACUCUUACACUUCAUCCACCCAGCUUGUAUUCUAUGGUUGAGAUCUCCAUCUAAUUCUCCGUUCUCUUGCAAGAUAGAUCCUAGGUAGCGAAAACGGUCACUUUUUGUGAUCUUCGCUAGAUUGAUCUGGUCAUUAGUGUGGAUAAGUAUAUAAAUGGAUAGAGAUAGGAAAGCAAACACAAGAUGUACGUGGUUCACCCAGAUUGGCUACGUCCACGGAAUAGAGGAGUUCUCAUUAAUUGUGAAGGGUUUACACAAGUACAUAGGUUCAAGCUCUCCUUUAGUGAGUACAAGUGAAUGAUUUAGUACAAAUGACAUUAGGAAAUAUUGUGGGAGAAUGAUCUCGUAACCACGAAACUUCUAAGUACCGGAGUGUGGUAUCGUCUUAACUUGCCUUAUCUGUCUCAUAGGUAGAUGUGGCAUCUUCUCUGGAAGUACUCUUCCUCCAUCCAGGGGUGGUAUCUGUAACUGGUGGAGAUGCAUAAGGUAAUGUAUCAAUUUCACUUGAAGCUUACUUGUAGUUUCAGGCUUGGUCAAGCGCGAUACAAACCAUGUAGUAGGAGUCCCCCAAGUUGCCGGGCUAGGGGAUCUGCUAAAAGAGGUGACAGACAAGGUAAGCAAUCAGAGCUCCGGCUGAUUGUUCACAUUCUCCCUAUCUUGCAGGCAGCAUGAAGGAUAAAGAGAAGAAAAAUGAGAAGAGAUGAUAUGUGAUACUUUUGCUUUUGAAGAAGUAACUUUCCACAGGCUUAUUCUUGAACCGGGCUGGAGGGUUUUCUGGUUUCCUCCAGAGUAUAAGGCCGACUGAAGAAUUUGAGGGUCAAAACAAGUCCAUCAAAUCUAGAGUACGUUCGACCCUGCUGAUAUGGGAUACUUUUGCUUUUGACAGAGUAGUGGAUGUAUCGGCACGUGUGCUGUUACGCUUGUCUCCACAUGCUUCCUUGUAUCCUUCUCACUUGCCCUAUCUGUUCCUCAGGCAGAUGCGGUAUCUUCCCUAGAAGCAUAAGAUGUUGAAGAUAAGUACUCGAGAGCAAUGCCAGGUAAGUAAUCAGGUAAGGGGUUCCAGGCAGUCAAUUCCUGGCUGGAAGCUUGAUUCCAAGUGCUGACUGAUUGCUCUCUUACUCCUUGUCUUGCAGGUAAGAACAAGGCCAAAGGAAAAGACAGGGAAAAAGCAUGAUAUGGGAUACUCUUGCUUUUAACCCUGAUGAUAUGAGAUAUUCUUGCUCUAGUAUAGCUUGUUUACAGAGGUAUUAUCGGGGGGAAAGAAAGCUGAAUAUUUUGAAAGGCUUCGUUGGGAGUGCCCUCUCAAAUAAGAGAAAGGGUUGAGCAUUUUUGCAGGUCUGCCUGUCCGUUAGGGAUGGAGGUCGACAUAUAUAGGAGUCUCCCUAACAUCAAGUAAUAAUGCUAUUCCUUUACCCUGCUUGGUCAUAGCACGGUAGUGGGAGCUGCCAGCUUCACAUGUUUUAACUCUGUCAGAGCACUUUGAAAAAGUGGUCUGUGGUAUCUGGAAAGCUGAUGUUGCGUGUGAAGAUUACAGACAAGCUUUAUCCAAGGAGAUCCAGCUCUUGAAGUUGGGAAAGUGGUGCCUCUUCGGUUUUCGAACAAGCAAUCCUGUCGGGGAUCUGGCUCUCGAGAUUCGGAGAACGAUGCCUCUUCGAUUUUUGAGAAAGCAAUCCUGCUGGGGGUCUGGCUCUCGAGAUUCGGAGAGCGGUGUCUCUUCGAUUUUUGAGAAAGUAAUCAUGUUGGGAGUCUGGCUCUCGAGAUUCGGAGGGAGGGCGGUGCCUCUUCGAUUUUGGAGCAAGCAAUCUUGUUGGGAGUGUUUUCUCGAAUGUGAGUAAAGGUUGGGCAUGUUUGCUAGUCUACCUUGCCACGAAGCACAGAGGUUGACACACAGGGACUUUCCAAUUAUCCAGCAGUGGUACUGUUCCUUUACCCUCUCUUCGAUUUUUAAGAAAGUAAUCAUGUUGGGAGUCUGGCUCUCAAGAUUCGGAGGGCGGUGCCUCUUCGAUUUUGGAGCAAGCAAUCCUGUUGGGAGUGUUUUCUCGAAUGUGAGUAAAGGUUGGGCAUGUUUGCUAGUCUACCUUGCCACGAAGCACAGAGGUUGACACACCGGGACUUUCCAAUUAUCCAGCAGUGGUACUGUUCCUUUACCCUUGUGGGUAAUAAUAUGAUAGCUAGACCUUCAAAAUUUAUGUGUCUAAACUUUGUUAGUGUUGUUUCUUUGCAAUUCUUUUACCCUUCUUGGUCAGAGCGAUGUAGCGGGAGCUGCAAGCUUCACGUGUCUCAACUUUGUCAGAGAACUUUGGCAAAGUUAUCUGUGGUACCCAUGAGUUAUUGUUGCGUGUGGGAAGUGGGUGAUUAAACAAUACGAUUCAUGUGGUUUCUACUUCGCCAGAAAUCUUCGACAGAAUGCCCAUAAUUUCCGCAAAGCUGAGUGUGCGUUUGACAGGUGAUGACAAGGCUGGAAAAGUAGGUGCCUCUUCGAUUUCUGAGAUCGGCCCUCGUGGUCUCUGAGCAGCCCAGCUUUUGAGAAAGCAAGCCUCUUCGAUUUCUGAGAUCGGCCUUCGUGGUAUUUGAGCAGCCCAGCUUUUGAGAAAGCAGACGCCUCUUCGAUUUUUGAGAUCGACCCUCGUGGUCUCUGAGCAGCCCAGCUUUUGAGAAAGCAAACGCCUCUUCGAUUUCUGAGCAGGCGCCUCUUCGAUUUCUGAGCAGGCGCCUCUUCGAUUUCUGAAGCUUCGUCGAGUGCAGAUUUUUAUAGGGGCUGACAUUAAGUUCCAAAGCACACUUGAAUAUCCACCAGUAGAAGCUCCAUUCUUGCACUUCUAAGAUCUUGAUUUGUCCGACCUCUUCUCUCUUCAACACCUUUGAAAAUGUCUGGCCCCUCCGACCGUCGUUUUGACUUGAACCUUGUUAAAGAGGCAGCCCCGCCUUCUCCAGACAAUCCCUUACUGGUCCUCUUACCGUUGCGGAUUCCGUGAUGAAGAAUGAUAUGACCGCUGCGGUAGUGGCCAGGAACCUUCUCACUCCCAAAGAUAACAGACUACUUUCCAAACGGUCUGAUGAGUUGGCUGUUAAGGAUUCUCUGGCUCUCAGUGUUCAGUGUGCAGGUUCUGUGUCUAAUAUGGCACAACGCCUAUUUGCUCGAACCCGCCAAGUUGAAUCAUUGGCGGCUGAAGUGAUGAGUCUCAAACAGGAGAUUAGAGGGCUCAAGCAUGAGAAUAAACAGUUGCACCGGCUCGCACAUGACUAUGCUACAAACAUGAAGAGGAAGCUUGACCAGAUGAAGGAAUCUGAUGGUCAGGUUUUACUUGAUCAUCAGAGAUUUGUGGGUUUGUUCCAAAGGCAUUUAUUGCCUUCGUCUUCUGGGGCUGUACCGCAUAAUGAAGCUCCAAAUGAUCAACCUCUAAUGCCUCCUCCUUCUAGGGUUUUGUCCAGUACUGAGGCUCCGAAUGAUCCCCCUCCGGUGCCUUCUCUUUCUGGGGCUCUACCGACUGCUGAGACUUCUCCUAAGCAACCUUUGUGAAGGCUCCCUCUUGUUUGUUUAUUUUGACUCAAGUAUAUGUACAUAUUUGUAACUUAUCGGGGAUAUCAAUAAAUAAGCUUUCCUUCAUUUCAACGUAUUGUGUUAAAUACACCAAAGCCUUCUUCGCUAAGUUCUUUGAAUUUUCUUUUGUUGAAGCUUGUAUGUUGAAGCUUUGUGAGUGGAGCAUGUAGGUUGAGGUAGUGUUCCCUUAAUUUCCCGAGUGAGGAAAACUUCUCGGUUGGAGACUUGGAAAAUCCAAGUCACUGAGUGGGAUCGGCUAUAUGAAUCUUAGAACGCCAUUGUGUUCUGUCCUGUGUCAUGUCCUCCGUUAGAUCCAAGUACUCUAAGUCUUUUCUUAGGGUCUCUUCCAACGUUUUCCUAGGUCUUCCUCUACCCCUUCGGCCCUGAACCUCUGUCCCAUAGUCGCAUCUUCUAAUCGGAGCGUCAGUAGGACUUCUUUGCACAUGUCCAAACCACCGUAACCGAUUUUCUCUCAUCUUUCCUUCAAUUUCGGCUACUCCUACUUUACCCCGGAUAUCCUCAUUCCUAAUCUUAUCCUUUCUCGUGUGCCCACACAUCCAACGAAGCAUCCUCAUCUCCGCUACACCCAUUUUGUGUACGUGUUGAUGCUUCACCGCCCAACAUUCUGUGCCAUACAGCAUCGCCGGCCUUAUUGCCGUCCUAUAAAAUUUUCCCUUGAGCUUCAGUGGCAUACGGCGGUCACACACAACACGCCGGAUGCACUCUUCCACUUCAUCCAUCCAGCUUGUAUUCUAUGGUUGAGAUCUCCAUCUAAUUCUCCGUUCUUUUGCAAGAUAGAUCCUAGGUAACGAAAACGGUCGCUCUUUGGUAUUUCUUGAUCUCCGAUCCUCACCCCUAACUCGUUUUGGCCUCCAUUUGCACUGAACUUGCACUCCAUAUAUUCUGUCUUUGAUCGGCUUAGGCGAAGACCUUUAGAUUCCAACACUUCUCUCCAAAGGUUAAGCUUUGCAUUUACCCCUUCCUGAGUUUCAUCUAUCAACACUAUAUCGUCUGCGAAAAGCAUACACCAAGGAAUAUCAUCUUGAAUAUGUCCUGUUAACUCAUCCAUUACCAACGCAAAAAGGUAAGGACUUAAGGAUGAGCCUUGAUGUAAUCCUACAGUUUUGGCAAGAUUAAGAGUGAGUGAGAAUGAGAGAGAGGAGUGAGUGUGAGAGAGUUAGAGGAGAUAGUGAGAAAGAGAUGAAAGAGUGAGUAAGAGUGAGAGAUAAAGAAGAGAGUGAGUGAGAGUGAGAGAUAGAGAAGAGAGAGAAGAUAGAUUAAGUGAGAGGAGUGAGUGUGAGAGAAAGGGUCGGAUUUGGGGAGAGGAAAAGAGAUUAGAGGUAAGAAAAUAGAGAAAGACAUUGAGAAAAUUGUGGAUGAGUUAUUUUAGUAUUAAAAACUGUAUCACUUUGCGCGACGAAAUAUUGGUAUCACAAAGUCUUAAAAAAAAAAAAAAUAACAUUUCCCACGUCCCAUUUUUGGCGCUGCCCAAAUUUUUAGGGUUUUGCACUACGAAGUGUUAGUCACGCAAAGUCUUAAAAAAAUUCCCGUGUCCCAUUUUUGGCGCCUGCCCAAAUUUAAGGAUUUUGUGCAACAAAAUAUAUGUUCGUCGCGCAAAAUUUUUUUAAAAAAAAUUAUAAAUAAUAAAAAAGAAAAUAAUUUUAUUUUACAAUUUCAAAUAUAAAUAAAUUAAAAUAAAUAGGGUUUGGGAGACCAAAUGUUGAUUCGUCAUGCAAAGAAAAUAAUUUAGUUCAACAAUAUAUAAAUGAAAAACAAGUAAAUAGGGUUUAGGCGACGAAAUAUUGAUAUUCGUCAUGCAAAGUUUUAAAAAAAUAAAAUAACUAUAUUUUAAAAUUUAUAAUAUAAAAUUAAAAAUAAAAGAAAGAAAAUAAAUUGGUUUAGGCUUCGUCGCGCAAAGGUUUUUAAAAAAUAAUUUUUUAUUUUUGUAAAGACUUUGCGAGAUGAAGUUUAAACUCGUCAUCCACCUAUACUGUAAAACAUGAUGAAUUGGCUAUACCAAGUUACGAUAUUCUAGUGCAAAUAACAAUUAGUUAAAACCCUAACUAGUGAAAUGGAAAUAUGCAUUGGUCUCUGUAUACAUACCUUUAACUUCAUCGUCAUAUAUAUGAUCGAUUAGUUGAAUCAAAUGGUCAGUCAAAGUAUUAAGUUUGAAUUAUUAAUGAAUCGUUUAAUUAGUUGAUGAAAUCCUAUUAAACCUAGUUGCUAACUGAUAUUUUUCAAUGAGCUGUACAUUUUGUUGAUGCACAAAACCGGAGGUCUUGGAACAACGUAAAUCCGACCGUGAAUCUAUAAGUAAGUAAAUAACACAAGAUGUAUCGUGGUUCACCCCAAGGUUUGGGCUACGUCCACACUGAUUAUUGUAUUUCUGAGAGGUGAGGGAGAGAACCUCUUAAUAUGAGAGGGGUGAGAAGGCUUCAGAAAUGGUCUCCUCUAAUUGUAAGGGUGAUGAGUCCUUUUAUAAAAUAAGGGCUCCUCACUUAUUACAUAUUUGCCCCUUCCUUUAUUACACAAUUACAUUUAAGUCCCCCGAGUAUUUAUACGAGAUCUAAAUACGGAAGCCCUAAGUAUGGUAUAAACAGUAGUCCCCCAAGUCUUCAGUCAAGAGAGUCUUUUGGCAGGAGACUUGAAAUUCAGUCUAUGUGUGGGCUGAAGUAACUAGAUGUCGUCUUGAACUGAUGCUUGGUAUGCGGCGGUGCCCAUAUGAAAUGAUGCUCAAUUAGAAGUAGCACAUGUUGCGAGGCUGCUUGGUUUGUGGCUUAUGUUGCCUUGGUUGGCUCGGCUUGUGGCGUUGAAGGUGAGGGAGUCCAUUUUAUAGAAUAAGGGCUCACUCCUCAAUACAAAAAUUAUGGGCUAGAGUCGAUGCUCGCAGCGAGGCAGUUGCUCACCAGGCGGUGAUGUUCUCUAAUGAAGGUGAGGGAGUCCCUUUUAUAAAAUAAGGGCUCGCUCCUCAGUACAUGAAUAAUGGGUUAGGAGUGAUGCUCGCGGCGAGGCGGUUGCUCAGCGGGCGGCGAUGCUCUCUAAUGAAGGUGAGGAAGUCCCUUUUAUAAAAUAAGGGCUCGCUCCUCUGUACAUGAAUAAUGGGUUAGGAGUGAUGCUCGUAGCGAGGCGGUUGCUUAGCUGGCGACGAUGCUCUCUAACGAAGGUGAGGGAGUCCCUUUAUAAAAUAAGGGCUCGCUCUUCAAUACAUAAGUGAUGGGCUAAGUCCCCCAAGUAUUUUUCAUGAGUGCUCUCUAAUGAAAGUGAGGGAGUCCCUUUUAUAUAAUAAGGGCUCGCUCCUCAGUACAUAGAUAAUGGGCUAAGUCCCCCAAGUAUUUUCUAUGAGGCCUAGUUAAGGCCCAAUAUAUGGUAUAUAGUGUAGUCCCCAAAGUCUUUGGUCAAUAGAGUCUGUUGGUUGGAGACUUCAAAUUGAAUCUAUGUAUGGGCCGAAGUGGCAGUUGUUCGGAGGCGGUAUUUGUAUACCCUACAUUGAAGCUUUGUAGGUGAAGCUUUGCAAGUGAAGUUUUGAAGCUGGAGCUCUGUAAAUGAAGCUUUUGAAGCUAAAGCUUUUUGUAAAUGAAGCUUUUGAAGCUAGAGCUCUGUAAAUGAAGAUUUUGAAGCUAGAUCUUUUGUAAAUGAAGCUUUUGAAGCUAGAGCUCUGUAAAUGAAGUUUUUGAAGCUAGAGCUUUUGUAAAUGAAGCUUUUGAAGCUGAUUGACAUGAGUGAUGCUCAUGAAUAUUUAUGUUGAUUGAUAUGAGUGAUGCUCAUGGAUGUUGACAUGAGUGAUGCUUAAGAAUGUUGACAUGAGUGAUGCUCAUGAAUGUUUAUGUAUGAUUAAUAUGAGUAAUGGUCAUGUAUAAUUUGGGAGUACUGGACGUACUUUUGAUCGCCUGGUUGGAGCUAUUUUGGGCUUAUGGGCCUUCGCCCUCCACAUAACAUUCCAGCCUGUUUAUUUUGGGCUUUGUUUUUUUUUAUUACCCUCUGAUGGGGUUUAUACAGAUGUCUCCGAAAAAUAAAUCACAUCAUACAAAAACAAGAAAAGUAAAUCACAUCAUUUUGGUGGGGUGUUUAUUUCUUGCUUUUGCUUUUCUCUUUUCCACCACACCUUUCUUUUGCUUUUGUUUUUUUUUCUACUUUUAUUAUUCUGUUGCUGAGGUCUAGGUGCAUUAGCCUUUGCUUUACCUUGCAGAUGGCAGACAAAAGUAAAGUAAAGUUCUCUUUACUUUGCUUUAUUUUGCAGAUUGCAGAUGGCGGGGGCAUGGACUUGUCCUUCUUCUCUUUUCCUCUUUACACACAGUCACCGUCAACACCUUAUUCUUCAUCGCUGCCUUCACCUGAUCAAUCUUCGCGUUCUCCGGCAGGUUGAACCUCCUUAUGAACUUUUUAAGCUAGACUCUGGCUAUUGAUGAAUUUCUUGAUUACUUGGGUCGACAUGCUGUCUCGAUUGGCCCAGCUUGCUUUGCCAUCUGAAAAUAAGCCUCAAGCUUCUUUUUCAGUGUUGCAUGUUCUUGCUUCAGUCGCCUUCUACGUUUCCUGCAUUACAAUAUUCCCUAAAAUGUUGGCAGUUAACUUUCACCGUUUUGGCUCCGAUGCUUGAGCUACUUCCUUUGAACUGCUACAUAUAGUUGUCCAACUUAUGAAAAUCACGAGGGUUCCUCUGUAGUGCCUGUUCUAGGUGAUCAUCAUCAUUAACCGUUGCUUUUUGGUGGCGAAAAUGCAUACCAUAUGACUGAGCCGGCUGAGUCGACGCUGACGACAACGUCGUUGUAGAGGCGGAAGCUGAUAUGGUGGAUGGGUCCGCUGUGAUCAGAUCCAUCAGCUUCCUCCCUGACGAGUCUACCAUAGCUAAAGUUGAGAUGAGGUUCUAUCAAAGGAGAAUCCGAGUUGAAGCCAUAUUUGCCAUUGCCGGAGAUUGCCGAAAAAUGGUGGAGGAAGGGAACUUCUCAGUGUCAUUCCACAGACAAUGGAGGUCCGUGAGGAAGAUCCGUGAGGCUCUGUGAGGAAGAUCCGAGCUUGAGUUUGGGUUUUUGGAUAUUCGAGACGCUCCAGCUGGUGGCUUGGAUCCAAGAUAUCAGAUCAUAUCGCCGGAAAACCAGCCGUGAAUGGCCGACAACACGUUCACGAUUCGCCCUUGAACGCCGCUGGCCGCAACCGUUUCAAUCAUUGUGUUGAGCAACAACUUCGUCAACAGAAAAUGACUGAGAUAAUUAGUAGCAAAGGUCAUUUUGAUUCCGUCGUGAACUUUCCGGCAUUAUUUAUGAGAAAAUUGAGAGGCAGUUGGAGGGACUCGAACUUAGAGGCGAAGCUCCUGACGGAAGCGGGGGAGCUGAGAUCGAGAGCCAUGACGAUGAUCUCAGAGCCGGGAAACUAGGAGGGAAUUCGAGCCUUGGCGUUCUUGGCAGCUUUGAGGCUUCGAGCCGGGAGGACCAGCUUGUCCCCGUGCUUGGCUAAACUCGAGCCGUCUCAGCUCCGAUAUCUGACGUAGCGCCUAUGAUGAUGGCGAUGAUGUGGCGGAGAUCGGGGGAGGCGUCGGUGACUUACUCGGCUGUACUCUUUGAGCCGUAGCCGCUUUGUAUUAAAUACAUACACAGACUUUGAGAUGCAGAUAGAGGGUUGGGAAAGAGAGAGAUCUGCGAAGGUUUUUUUUUUUUUUUUUUUUGAAAUAGCCCAAUGAGGGAGGUUAUGGGUUUUUGGUUUGUGCUGAUUCACGGUGGACAGUGAUGAAAUUUGAUGAAAAAAUGAAAGAGAACCGACAUAGUUUUUUUGGGUUGUGCAGAUUCCUACAGACGGCGCCAAAUAUUGAUGCACAAAACCGGAGGUCUUGGAACAACAUAAAUCCGACCAUGAAUUUGCAAGUAAGUAAAUAAUACAAGAUGUAUCGUGGUUAACCCCCAAGGUUUGGGUUACGUCCACACUGAUUAUUGUAUUUCUGAGAGGUGAGGGAGAGAACCUCUGAAUAUGAGAGGGGAUGUGAGAGGGGUGAGAAGGCUUCAGAAAUGGUCUCCUCUAAUUGUGAGGGUGAUGAAUCCUUUUAUAGAAUAAGGGCUCCUCACUUAUUACAUAUUUGCCCCUUCCUUUAUUACAUAAUUACAUUUAAGUCACCCGAGUAUUUAUAUGAGAUCUAAAUAAGGAGGCCCUAAGUAUGGUAUAAACACAUUUAAAAGUUUUUUUCAAUUAGCAUUUGUUAAUUGCAUGAGUUUUAUUUCUUUUUCUUUGUCUCUUGCCUCUUUUUCUCAACCACUUCCCUAGCCCCUACUUAAAUAUGAAUUUUUUUUUUGGAAGACUGGAAAUAAGAAUAACCAGGGCAAAAGCCAACAAUACAAGGAGAGUCCACAGAGGGACAAACAAAGCAAUACAGAAGAAGGGCAGUGUGCAAGACAACAGUCAAGAGACGCUGCCACAAAGGCCAAGCGUCGUCCCAACACACCACCAUAGCACCAACACUUAUGGAGGGAAAGGAAGGCCAUCCUUGUUGAGAAUGUGAAUCAAUGAAGAUAGGGGACAUCUGACCCAAGUUUGAUCGCACAUCUCCAUGUUCUUCCUCGACGCCAAAAGGUCCGCCGUCUGGUUGGCCGGUCUUGGAACCCAAGACCAGUGAUAACCCUGAAAAGAGGUCCCCACUCUUAAGAUAUUUUGAAAUAUAGGGAACACUUCCCAGCUGCCAUUAGAGAUAUCCCCAUUCAAAGAGGAGACUACCUCUAAAGAAUCCGAUUCCGCAACAACCCAACCAAAACCAAGGUCGGCUGCCAACUCGCACCCCCUAAGCAUCGCCAUUGCCUCCGCAAACACCACCGACUGAGCCACAAUUGCGAUAAUUAAAUAAGCUGACAGUACUACGACAUAAUAAUAUUUUAAGACUAUCUGUUUAACAACUUAAUUACAAUAUUUAAUAUGUGGCUUUCAAACAAAAUAUUUUAGUUUGUGGAAUGUUUAUUCUUCUUCUUUAUUUGCUUCAACUUUUGCAUACAGAUGCAGACACGUCUGCAAUAGCUUACUUCAUAUCAGAUUCUUGCGGGUCUUGCUUUCUGGUCAUCAAAAUAUGCUGAAUAUAAUGUGAAAACAACACGUUAUUUUACGUAAUGAUCUUCUCUUGAUUACUUUAUCAGCUUGCUUCUAUUUGACUGUCAGUCGGUCAGUAAGUUGAUUUAAGGAUGGCUUAAACUAAUUAGCUGCUGCUCAGUUAAUUUAAUUUCUUCAAGAUGAUUUGUGUGGAUGCAAAUUUUUUCCUCCUCGAUCUUGGACAAAAUUGCACCUACAAAACAAUGAACAUCUUAGGUCAAGGCCAAGAACCUCACGCGCCAACGAUGAAUGGGGGGGUUUUGGCCGAAGAACCUUCGAUGCCAAAAUUAGAAUUUUGAGAGAAAAGUGUUUGAGAGCUUUGGAGCAUUUUAGCAAGAGUCAGGACCUAGCUUUUUGGUGAGAAUGAGAGCCUAUUUAUAGGGAUAGGGUUCUUGAUUUAGGUUGAAUUUAGGAGUUAUGGGAAUAAUUGACUAAUUAAUUUAGCAAAUAAAAUUAUUGCCAAAUUAACUAGCUAAUUAAUGUGAUAAAAUAGGUGAAUAUGAUGAGAUCAACAAGGGUGGCCGGCCAUUUGGGAUUUUUGGGUAGUGGGUUAUGUAAUGGGGGAUUAAUUGGCAUAAUGGGUCAUUUAUUGGUGAUUUAAUGGAUUAAUUAGGAAAUAAAUCCAUUAAUUCACCAAUUAAUCUAAUUUAAAUGGAAUGUUUGGAAUGGUUACCUUGUGGAGUAUAUGGAUGAAAUAACUUUUAUUUGUUACCUUCUUUAGGCAUUUUCGACUUGGUUAACGGAUGAUUGCUCACUGCUCGUGCAUAGGAAUCCCGUAUGCCUCAAGGGUAUUUUUGUCCUCUUUUAUCCAAAAAUCCACGUGUCGCCUUGUGAAUAUUUUUGACUCCACAAUUUGUUCGUUACAACUAAUGAAUAGCGAAUCAAAUGAAAAUUGUCAAGCAUCAUAAUCUCUUCCUAAUACGAGGAAUUUGGAUCAGACCAAAUCAUCUUAGAAAUCGAUAUAACACUACAAUUUUUUAUCUUUCUAAUUACUAGGCAACUUUUUUUUUUUUCCUUUUUUUUUCUCAUUUUGUAAGGGAUGACAAUAGGAUUACGAGAGUAUACUUAUGAAUCGGACAAUGAAUAUAUAUACAGGGGAAAUGUUGUACUGCACUUGAUCAUUCUCACACACUCUUUCACGUGCAUUAAUGACAAAUAAAACACAUAGGGUGACGUGGAUAUGUACGCCCAUUGGUAUGUAGGCGAACACGCAUACUCUUAUACCAUAAAAGAAGUUGAGGUUGCACUUCAAAACAAAGGAAUUACCUUGUCUCCGCAAUGGAUAAGGAUGGGUUCCUCCUUAAGUCGCUACAGAUUCGAUUUGAUGGAACUUCAUGUUUACAGAUUAAAUUCCUUUCACAUUAUAAAACACUUUUGAAACAUCAUCUUUGUAAAAAAUUAAUAAAAUUUGAGAUCGUUUAGUCAUCAAACUGUAUAAAAACUGAUGGAUGGAUUCUAUUUGCUACAAUUGAUUGACUAAACAAUCUCAAUUUUAAUUGAUGUUUUGUGAAGAUGAUCUUUACAGAGAACUAAAUUUAUAAUAUUAACGGUUCCAAUUAUAAAUAUAAAAUUCUAUAAAUUCGUCACUAAACGAAUUGAGAGGAAACUCUUCAAUCUUGAAAAUCCCAUCAUUGCUAAAAAAACAAAUUGAAAAUAAAAGAAAUUAUAAACUCCUGCAAGAUUUUUAUCCAUCAACUCCGGCGCGCAUGAUCUCCACAUCCUCACAAGUAGUUGGGUGCAUUAUAUAUAAAACAAAAUUUCUAUCCAUCAAUCCACAACUCCUUUAAUUCUGUGCCUUAAUAUUAGCCAACACGGAUUGCUUAUUAAUUCUGAAUCCAUUACUUUUAAAAUUAGAUGAAUCCUCGAACCACAAUUUUUAUUUAUUUACAAGAAUACGUGUAUAUAUAUAUAUAUGUAUACAUAUAUCAUCACUGCAAUCACAUUCCAAGUUAGGUCAGCUUCAACAUAUAUAUAUAUAUAUAUAAUUACUGCAAUCACAUUCCAAGUUAGGCAGAUCGAGCCAUGAAAUAGUCAAUCAUCCACAGCUUCAAAAUAGAACCACUGAUAGUAUAAAUGGAGAUCUUCAUCUUCGUAUCUCUCAAAGCAAAAGUUUACUUGCAUAUAUAUUGGUCUUUAAUAUUUUCAAUCAAUUCAGCUGACCUUUGCCUAACUCAAUAUUUCUUAGGCUUUUUAGCCAAAAUGGUUCUUGAGAUUUGCAUAACACAUCACUUUGGUCCCUGAGAUUGAAAAUCAAUAUAAAUGGUCUCUGAGAUUGUCCACCAUCAAUUAUUUUGGCAAUUCUAUUAAAAACUCCGUUAAGUGUCCGGAGCUCUUAGUCGGAAAUUUGGACAAUUUUCAAAACUUCGUAUCUUAAUCGUUUCUUAACCAAAUUCAACCCAUAAUAUAUCAAAAUGAAGAUAGGAAAGUGUAGAGAAAUAUUAUACCUAUUUGGAAGCCCAAUGGUUACCGGAGAUGACUUGAAAAUAGCCUGAAAGGUGACUGGUCCGUGGAAAAACUCGCUGGGAACUGGGUAAACUUUAAACGUUCAUAACUUCUUCAAUACUUAACGAAAUUAAGUGAUUCAAAAACGAAAAUCAUACUUCUCGAUGAGACGAAGAGAAGGGAGCCAGUUUUGAGCCAUUUUUCGGAAAAACCAUGGCUAGUUAGCCUUCGAUAAAAGUAUUAUUCUCUCGUCGAGAAGUAUGAUUUUCGUUUUUGAAUCAUUCAAUUUCGUUGAGUAUUGAAGAAGUUAUGAACGUUUAAAAUUUACCCAAUUUCUGGCGAGUUUUCUCGUUUUUCUGCGGACCAGUCACUUUUCAAGCUAUUUUCCAGCCAUCUCCGUCAACCAUUGGGCUUCCAAAUAGAUAUAAUUUUGUUCUACACUUUCCUAUUUUCAUUUUGAUAUAUUAUGGGUCGAAUUUGGUUAAGAAACAAUUGAGUUAUGAAGUUUUGAAAAUUGCCCAAACUUCCGGCCAAGAGCUCCGAGACACUUAACGGAAGAACCAAAAUAAUGGAUGGUGGACAAUCUCAAUGACCAUUUCUAUUGAUUUUCAAUCUCAGUGACCAAAAUGAUGUGUUAUGAAAAUCUCAGAGACCAUUUUGUAUAUGAAAAAGCCUAUUUCUUAUAUAGUGAUAUAAUUCUCUCAUCCUGGCUUCUGGACCAACCCGUCCUUGCCACAUAUGUGUUUCUUUUCACUACCACAUGUUGCAACGAAGGAAACCGGACCUACGUAAACAGUCAAACCCUAGAGAUGAUUAAUUGAACGAAUCCAGUUUUAUUAUUCUUGUUCUAAAAUCAGGGCAAUAAUUUUCAAAAGAGAGAGAUACCUUAUUCGUGGUUGGUUUUGUGAUCAGGUGCGGCAGUGUCCAUUCUUUCAUUCUUGGCACAUACGUGGCAUGAUGUGUACACCCAUGAUUGGUCCAUUUUUGAGGUGAUCUGCAUGAUUGAAAUACCUCAGACAAGCUAAGGGCAUGCGUGUCCAGUCGUGGUUGGAAGUUUGGAAUUGUUUCCUGAAAAGGAACCAGUUUCGUUAAUUGUGCAAAAGUGGAGAGUGAACGUGGGCGUGCAUGCAUCAAUAUACAGAUUGAGAUUUUUAUUUUUUGAGAAGAGAAAAAUAAAUAAAUAGUCUGAGGAAACAAAUACUUCAGAGACUAAAAAAAAAAAAAAAAAAUCUAAUAAUUGGAAAUAUUUUAGCACCUCAAAAUAGUGCUCAAUCUCUCAUUUCUCACUUAUUUUGUUCGUUAGAAAAAACCGUAAGAUUACUAUUUAGAAGUGUUAACACAAGUUACAUUAUAAUUCUACAAUUUAAAUGAUUUUAGGUAUGUUGGAUUCGUCUACUUAGUCAACUGUAGAAAGUAAAACAAAGAUAUAUAGGCCUUUUAAGUUGAUUAAGAUUCAAAUUGGCAAAGAAUGCGAGUUAAUUAAGAGUCCCUCAACAUGAGUGAUCAAACAAUUACAUAAAUCCAGAUGGCCUCCAGAGUCAAACUCCAUUAACCAAUUGGUUUAGGUAGACAACAUGAAAUUAUCAUGAUAUUUUUGCUGAUUUGAUUUCAACCUUAGAAAGAACAUAAUAUUUGACCUAGUCUUAAAUUAAAUAUGGUGAUUAAUAGUUAAGAAACGAAUAAGUCAAUGUGACUUACUGAAUUGCCAUCAAAAUGGAGCUAUAUUUGGACUAAAUUGUAGACUCUUUGCAAGUAUUAUGUAGUGAUCCCUAUGAAAUAGGGAAAUGUUUUGGGGAGUGUGUCAGGAACACGAGGUGGUAUUCCACAUGUCAUUAUAGUAGAGGAAAACUUUAUUUUUCAAGUUUACCACCACUUGUGUAAUGACAUAUGAUAUACCACUCCGUGUUCUAGACACUUUAAAAUGUCUCUAUAAAAUAUCUGAUCAUAUUAAAUUAACAUACAUGUAUCACUUGUACAAAUUAAGCAUUAUUCAAGAUUUUUAUGAAAUAAAGUCAAAUCAGAAUUCAAAAGGCAGCUUUUCAUUUAACCAUAAAGGAAAAAUUACAAACGUUUAAAGGUUCAUGUAGUUGAAAUUGCACUAAUCUUCUUAUAAGAGAGGACAAAUUAGCUUAAUUAGAUACAUUAACAAAUUCAUUCAAAACUUUCUUUCACCUAAUCACUAACCACUUAAUGGCUUUAAUCACUUCAACUUUUACAUGCAUCACCCUUGCAACAAGUUGGAACUUUGAUUAAUUAAUAUUAUUGUUGCCAAGGAGGCAUCGUAUAGUAGUUUUUUUAACGAGAAAACUGUCAUAAUAUGAUCAAUCUAUCAUUAAUUAAGGGAGCAACUUGAUCAUAUUUUACACGAACUCACUUAAAUAUGAAUCUGAAAUCUCGUUCGAUGCUGUUACAUUAGUAUCUCUAGACAAUGAACUAGUUGGCAAAUAAAUUAGGAUUUCGAUUACAAAUAAUGCAAUUUGUAAUAUUUAACAGAUUAAAAAUCAUUCAAGUCUUGACUACAUGGCACAAAUUUUAAUUUUGAUAUUUGACUUAUCCUAAUUGUUAUCAUUUUUAGUGAUAAAUGCAUGAAAGUAUUUGCAGUGUCUGUUUGAACCGGAACAUAUCCCCUCUGGAUCCGAACCAUCCGGAUCCUCCGGACCUCAUAAUCUUGGCCGUUCACAUAAAAUCGUGCGGCUGAGGUCACUCUUCCUCUUCAACCUUUCGCCAUCUCUUUCUCUUCAACAUCGUUGCCUUCUUCUUCAACGGCGAUCAACGAAGCAAAAUUGUAGAGCGAAAGAAGAAGAAAAUGGGAAGGGGAGGGGGAGGGGGAGGGGGAGAGGGAAGUGAGUGAUUGUAGGGAGGUCCGCUUGAUCCGGAUGGUUCGGAUCCGAAGAACUAUUCCCGUUUCGACCUCAUCUUCAUCUGUUUUUUUUUUUUUUUUUUUUUUGAUAUAUGCUAUGGAAAAAAGGUCUUUUUUGCGUGAAUAAAGUGAGCUUUAUCUAAUUUUUGAGAGCUGGACACAGCAAAACUUCCGUAAUCUUCUAUGCAUUCACACAGCUGGUAUCACUAUAUUUGCAUAAAAUAUGUAUUUAUUUUUGUGAAUGCCCUAAUUUUAUUUUCAGCAAAAACAGAUUAUAUUCCAAUCUUCUUCUAAAUGCUUCACACUUUAUUUAUUUAUUUUUGUCACACUCUUUGUGACGUGUGCUGAUGAUUCAGGUAUGCAAAUACAAACAAACAUCCAGUAACAUCCGAGUCCUAUCCACUCCUCACAAUGAAUAUAAUUGGUUGAAUUAAAAUAUAGUACAAUUUAUUAAAAAACAUACAAUUAAAAUUUUAAUAACUUUUUAAUUUGUCAAGUAAAUUAAUAAUAAAAUCAAAAUAAAGUAUUCACAAAACUGAAACAUUGUAAAUUGGUGAAUCAAAACAGAGUUUUAAACCGUUAAGUUUUUGAACUUUUGAUCAAAUAAAAAAAAUAAAAAUCUUGACCUUUCAUUAUUCGAUGCAGACCAUACACCGUAUGUCUGGAGCAUAGUAAAAUUUUUGUAAACUACAAAACCAAAACAUAUUAAAUUGGUGGUAAUGAAAUCAAGACUACAUGCAUAGUAUUUGGAUGGGUUGUUUGUUUAAAUGGUCAAAUUUUUAAGAUGGGGGGAGAAUUAUUACAGAAAAAGUUAAAGAAAAGCUAAAACGGCCUACCUAAGUUGCCUUCCAUUCAACGUUUCUUGCUCUUCAAAAGCACCAGUGUUUAGGGGCUUCUGCUUCCCAUAGUGCUUUUCUUUCUCUUAACGUCUGAAUCCAUCUUUCAGCUUAUACAACAACUUGUUCCCAUGGCUUCUUUUCUUUUAUUCCUCUGUUUCCAAUCACCCGUUCCUUUUCCUUAAGCUUUAUUUCUCUUUUGCUCCUUAGAAAAGCACGUUUUGCAUGAGUCUUUUCUGGUUCUGCUUUCUAUAUAAGGUGUUUUAAGAUUUGGGAGUUGAAGCUGUUGGUUGGAAGAAGCCAUAGAAGUUUGAGAGUUUGUGAGGAGGCUACCGAAGGUGGAUUGCGAAUCAAGGGUUUUAGACAAGAAUCAUUGGGGUUUUAGGGUAUCAUAAAAGGAAGAAAUGGAAAACGUUCCAGCUGGGAUUGUUGAGGAGGAGGAUCAUAUCGAUUUGCCGCCAGGAUUCCGAUUCCAUCCAACCGAUGAAGAGCUUAUUUCUCACUACUUGCACAAGAAGGUGAUCGAUACCAGCUUCUCUUGUAAAGCAAUUGGGGAGGUGGACUUGAACAAGUCGGAGCCUUGGGAAUUGCCUUGUAAGCUUCCUAGAACAAAAACUUUAAUUUUGUUUUGUUUCUUUAACAUAAUCCUUUUUUAUCAAAUUUGUUUGGAUUUUGUUUGUUUCGAUUUGAUUUACUUUUUUUUGCCAUUUUUCAAAUGAAGGGAAAGCGAAAAUGGGAGAAAAGAAGUGGUACUUUUUUUGUGUGAGAGACAGAAAGUACCCAACUGGUCUGAGGACAAACAGGGCGACAGAAGCCGGAUACUGGAAAGCUACAGGGAAGGAUAAGGAGAUUUACAGAGGAAAAUUUCUGGUUGGGAUGAAGAAAACCUUGGUUUUCUACAAAGGAAGAGCUCCCAAAGGAGAAAAAAGUAACUGGGUGAUCCAUGAAUAUAGAUUGGAUGGUAAAUUCUCUGUCCACAACCUCCCCAAAACUGCAAAGGUAUAGUCAUUCCCCUAUUUUCUCCUGUUUUUUGGAGUUGGAUCUCCCUGCAACGGGGAUGUCACUGUGACGGUAUCUCAAUUCAAGCACGUGCUGCUCUAUGAGAAAAUUAAAACGCAUGGCAGUGUGUAAUUGACUUGGAAUACUGCCUUAGUAACAUCCCUGGUGUAGGUAAAUUUCUCUCCGGAUUUUGCUUUUUUAAUUUGUUCAUGUAUUUUGAUGGUAAUGGUAGUUGUGCCUUUUUUUGUGUUGCACUAUGCAGAAUGAAUGGGUGAUCUGCAGGGUUUUUGAAAAGAAUUCUGGUGGCAAGAAAAUCCAUAUUUCUGGAUUUGUGAGUGUGGGUUCUCUCGGAAAUGAAAUCGGUCCUUCUGGCUUACCGCCAUUGAUGGAUUCUUCGCCCUAUAGCGCCGCCAAGGCCAAACCUGCUUCCGAGUCCCAUUACGUGCCCUGCUUCUCCAACCCUGAUCCCACUGAUGUUCAAAGAAACCAAGGGAAUAUUUUUGAUUACAUGAACAACAAUACUCUCUUUGGUGUUUCUUCAAACACUUCCAACUCUUUCCCAAUAAUCCCAUUUCCCAAUUCAUUCUACUCUGCUCAUAAUGCUCCAAUUUCGCCGAAUUUUCAGUUCCCGUGUUCAAAUUUACUGCAAGAUCAGUCCAUCUUGCGGGCCUUGUUUGAAAACAAUGCAGCAAACAUGAGGCAGCAUAGCUUCAAAACAGAGAGAGAAAUGGUGAGUGUGUCCCAAGAAACCGGCCUCACAAGCGAUAUGAACACUGAAAUCUCUUCAGUCAUGUCAAAUCUUGACAUGUCAAGAAGGCCAUUUGGUGAUCAAGAUCCUCCAGCUGCAGCAGCAGGCCUGGAUAAUUUUUGGAAUUAUUAAUAAUUUCAAACCAGCAAAAUAAGGCUAAUAUAUAGUUUUAUUAUUAAAAAAAAGAAGGAAAAAAAAAAGCAGCUUCAGCUAGUAUUAUUGGUGUGAGUUGAUAGUGUACAGAUAUUCUGAAUUUAAAGUGAAUAUUGAAUGAAAGUGAAGCAUAUAAUUAUGUAAUGCAAGAAAUUAUAUGAUGUAUUUGUUUUUCUAUUUAAUUUUUGUGUAAAAACAAUAUUGGUGACAUAUGAGAAUGAGAUUCAGUUGGUGGUUAUGAUUUUAUUCGUGUAUUUUAGUCAUUAAAAGUUUGUAUCCUUUCUUAAAGUUUUCUGGAUUUUAACAAAUGCUUACAUCACGAUUUUAUAAUCUAAUUUUAUUUAAACUACGGAAGAAAGAUUUUAAUUUGAACACAAUAAAUGAGCAUACUACCCUAAUUAACUUCGCUGCAUCGAAUCAAGAUUUGAACUUAAAUAUAAAUAAAUAAGUAUAUUGCCCUAAUUAACUUCGCUACAUCGAAUCUCCCUAUUGAGUUUUAGUAUUCUAUUCCAUUAGUUUAUGGUGGGGACUCAGAUAAGUAUGCUAUUGAAAAUUUCAUUGUCUUUCUUUCAACCUCUCUCCUUCUCUCUAUCACACACACACACACACACACACAUGUGCAUGUCACACUCAAACACAACCGUGGUAUUUAUAAAAUUAAAAUGUUAGUUAUCCAGGUAAAAUCAUUGGACUAAGGCUUGACAUAAAGUAAUUCUGUCAUUUUAUAAACUAUAACUUUCGUUGAUUAAUUAACUUUGACUUGCAUGCUAUGAAAUUUGAAUUCAUAUAUUUUGUGAUGUUGAAAUGCCAAAAAUCCUAAUCCUCUAUUUUAUUGACCAUGUUUUCUAAACAACUUCAUUAGAAAAUAAAGCAUAAUCAGUUCAUAAACAAAAUUUGGGAUGUUUAUAUAUAGUGCUAUUACUACAUGUCUCAAUUUUUGAUCGUCGAAUCGAAUGAAAUAAAGAAGAUUAAUGGCAAAAAAUUAACAAGGGUGUGUGGAAGGUAAAAAUGUGUGUGUCAAUAGAAUAGCACUUCUCUAUAUAUAUUCACAUAAUCAUUUUUACCUCCCACAUACCUUUGUUAAGUUUUUGUUAUUGAUUUUCUUCAACUCAUUCGAUAGCUGAAAAUUGAGAAGAAUGUGUGAAAAGUAAAAAAGAGUGUAGAUAGCACUACCCAAUAUAUUAUUGUUGAACUGCUAAUUUGAAACACACAUUUUAAACAAAAAUUCCUCUAAUACGUAAUUUAGGUUGAUAAUGUGACAACAAAGGAUAAAGUACGAUUUUUAGUCAAAAUGAUCUAUGAGAUUGAGAUAACUUCUUACUUUUGUCCCUUAUAAAGAAAAUUGAUAAAUAGAGUGGUCCAUGAAUUUGUCUAACGUGAAUCAUUAUGGUUUUUCCUUGAAAAAUCUAUCAACAUCUUUGUUAAGUGAAGGGGUUGGUUUGACAAAAAUAUCCUUAAAAAGGUAGUCACGUGGUCGUUCACGUGACAAUUUAAUGAGAAUAUUUACAUAUUUUUCAUGAAAUGACCAUAAUGAUUUAUGGUUGACAAAGUAAAAAGUUAUCUCAAUCUCAUGAACUAUUUUAGCUAAGAAGGCAAUAACCAUGUCAAAUUGUUUGGUGAAAGAACAAUAGUCCUCUUAAUUAGUCGGUGAUUAAGAGAUGUUGAAUUAUUAAUUCCAUGACUAUUUGACUAAUCGAAUUUCUUACUUUCUUGCUCAAGAGAUAUUGAACCAAACCGCAGGAAAUAUGCAAUUAAAUGAAGUAUUGAACUGACAUAUAUUGCUAGAGAACAAACUUACUCACUACCCUUAAUUAUUAUGGAUUACCACCAAGUCAUAGUUGAAUGAGUGAGAUUUAAUUUACCCGCACCUGAACUUUGAAAUUUAAAUUCACCGAAUGCACAUAAUGUAAUGGUAGCUCACUCCCAAAUUAGAGACGAUGAACAAAUUUAUUCUACGUAUUAAAAUCAUGGAAGUCUAGUGGAAAAUGGACAUUUGAGAAACUAUUGUAGCUCGUUUACAAAUGCUUUUUAAAUGACUGAAAGCGUUUUUUGUGGAAAUGCUUUUGAAACUAAUUCUUAGUUAAAAUCCAAGUGGAUUCUUAAAAAACACUUUAAGUGCUUCCUAUAAGAAGCAUAUAUUUGAUGUUUCUUAAAAAAAUCAUUUAAAGUGAUUUUAAAUGUUUUGAAAUCCAACAUCAAUUUCACCAAACACACUUUUAAUUAUUUUAAAAAUACUUAUGAACCACCCCCUUAAUUAUGAGAGUUCUAACAAAAAGCCCGCGGUACUGUUCACUUUAACGAAAAACCAAAUUUUUACACUAAAAAGUCAAACAUGGUACUAUUCAUUUUACCUUUUAUUUUGUCCUCAUCAUUAAAACUCAAAGUUUUCAAGUCAUUUUCAUUAAUUUUCCUUUUAAUUAUAGGAAAAUAAAAAGGAAAACAGCUGUCCAGAUUCAUCAAGUUCUUAUCUCAGGAUAAGAAUUCUAAAAAAUCCAGAAAAAGUCUUGUCACAAAUAUAUUUUUUGGUAACAAAAUCUUAUUAUAAUAAUAUGAAGGAAAACUAGGUCUUAUGUAAAUAUUUAUUAUCUUUCAUUUUCGUGGAGUCUUUCAACCGCAGAAUUCGUUAAUAUUGGACUAUUCGCAUCUUCAAAUCUGUCUUUUCUAAUAUUUUAUGAAUUGUGAUGCAUGCAAUCCGUUUAUCAAGCUGUAAACCCUGACGUAUUAAGGUACGAGCAUUUACCAUUAUUAUUUAUUUAAUUAUUUAUUUAUUAUUAAGUAAUAUUUUUGUAACAUGUGAAGUUUUAUUUUUAUCACAUAUGCACGAGCAAAUCUCCAACAACGAAUGAAUUUGAGUCCUGCACGACAAGUUUCAUUCUCAUCAGUAAACUUGUAUUUUUAUCUAUAAAAAAUGGAGCUAUUCCCAAAAGUAAUCACCCAAUAGAAUCAAGUUCCCCCAUAUACCGAACAAUAUUUUCUCAGGCUACCCUUCAUCGACACAAUGUUAUUAUCUAUACUUUCAAAGUGUCACAUAAACUCAUUAUCCAAAUAUAUUAAUUAACACGGAGUGGUUCAAUAGUUGAUGACGAAUUUCAGACUCGUAUUCUAUACGGCACGUCCUGAGUCGAUUUUUGACUUUGGUAAAUCACAUAAUGGUAGUCAAGGGAGGCUGAAAUGCCUCUGUGAGUUUUUUCUGUCCCAAAAAAGUGGAUUGGUAUGGUGAAACCACCAUCUAGCCCCUUUUAGAAAAACAUAGGCCUAUUGAAUUGGAUUAUUAUCAUUCAUGUGGUUAAACAUUUUAUAUAUACACAUCAAGUAUUGAGCUCCUAUAAGAAAUAUAAUCUUUAGGGCCUAAAUUAAAAUGGAUUUGUCUAGCCCAUUGUUUGUUAUGUCAAAAUGUGAGAUGGAUGAGAUUGGAUAUAAUGAGUUAUGAAUAUAGAGUAGGUUAUCUAACCUAUGGAUAUGCAUAGGUUACAAGUCCUGCCUAACCAAUCCCAGCAAAUCCAAUCAUAUCCCUAAAGUCAAAUCUCAUCCAGCAUACUAAACAUGCCCUUAAAGAACAAGAAAUUUAAAUUACAAUUAAUUACAGUACUUGUGGGGCAAGAUAUCGCAACUAGAAUUGUAUGUGUGUAUUUUGUUUUCUAGAUCUAGACGUGGAUCUAGCCACAAAAAUUGAGGUGUAUUAAGCCUUCUUGGUGGUAAGGUUUGCGACGAGAUUAAACUAAGGAUUAAUAUAUUAUUGGAGAUAUUUUCAAAUAUAGAAUCACAUGUAGCAUAUUCCAGUUAAAAUUACCAUACUUAUACCAAUGAAAAAAAAAGGAACCUUGGCAUCUCUUCGUAUUCUUAAUGUGUAUUAAGGGAAAUAUUUCUAUAUUUUUAUGUUAGCUAACCUAGUUUUUUUAGAUCGAAUAUAUUUGAUUGUUAAUUUUUAAUUAGUUUGUCUACCAAACAUCUGAUAAUUGAACCUUGUGACAGUGAACCCAUAUUUCUAGGGCAUUUUGUUCCAUGCCACCUAGGCUCUAUUUUCUAAUUGUGUACAUCAUGUAUGGGGUGGUGGUUUUUUCUUCAUGAAAGUAUUUUGGGUGCGUUUGUUGCACUGAAUUAUCUUGAGCUGAACUUGCUUUAGGGACUAAGCUAGACUGAUUUAGAAUAGAAUAAGUUAGACUAACUUAAUGAAACGUUUGGUACAGUGUCAGAUUAAGAAACGAGACUAACUUCUAAUUCUAGAUCAAUUCUAGCCUUCCAAUUAAAUUAACAAUUUUCCUCUAUCUUUGCACAAAAUUUUCCACAAAUUUCUUGAAGAUUUCAAUAUUCAAACAAGAACAAAUUUGUGUAGAAGAUAAUAAUGAAGCAGGGAUAAAAAAACAUUGACAAACAUUUCUAUCAUUGCCGUUCGCUGGAAACCUCAAUCUUUAAAUUGAUGGAGAGAUUAGCCAAUCUUAAGUGGCAUCUCUUUUGCGCAGGACAAUCAGUUACCUAGAUUUUGUUCAGACAAGGAAAUGCCCGAGAUUAGGCACCGAAAUCAGCAACUUCACGAAGCUGCAGACAAAAAGAAGAACAAGAAUUGAAUUUAAUAUCCAUUAAGAUUUAGAAUCCAGUCAUACAAUUUCUGCUUCUUCAAAGUUAUAAACUUUUGAUUGAAUUUGUUUUGAAUCAGAAAAAGAAGAAGAGGAGGUGGAAGUGAUAACCUUGAGUCGAAGAUAGGCUGGACUGGAGAAAUAGAGCUUGUUCUUUGCCGUCGAUCGAGCAAGGCGAGGAGUCGAGCGGGACGACGCAAGAGAGAGGUAGUCUUAGCAGUCCGCUGGUAUUUUGGGGGCUUCGCUAAGACCAGCUAGCAAGCUCCUUAGUCCAUGCGAGUUUAAUCCCACUAAAGCUAGUCCUUUCCUUUAACAAACAUGGGACUACACUAAUUCUUAAUCUAGUCAAGUCCAGUGAGACCUAGUGAAGGCAAACAAAUAGGUUGAGUAAAAAACUUAUUUAAAUUUAAGGGCUUAAAUAAGAUUAGUUUUUUUAUUAUAACCUGUAUGGUUUUACAAAUCUGAUUUUACGUCCAAAAUUUAUAAUUCAUUACCGCAUCAUGUUCAAUACAUUUGCCCAUGUUUAUUACUUUUGAAUUUUUCCAUCUAGAAUUCAGUACUUAAUCAAAUCAAAUUCAGCAAUUUAAAUUGGAAGAUUUUAAAUGAACAUUAUUAAUGAGAAACUAUAUAUAGCAUACAGAUACAAUCAACUAUAAAAUAUUUAUAAGUACAUAAAUAUAUACAUAUAUAUAUAUAUAUGUUAAUGUGUAUAGUAGUUUAGGUAAACAAAGUAUAUACAUAGGUGCAAUAUAUCUGUACAUAAAUAUAUACAGGUUCAUAUGUAUAGGUACUCAACUAUAUGUGAAAAAAGAAGUGUAGAGAUAAAAAGAGGAUCUUAGAUUGGUUCCCAAAAAAAAAAAAAGAUCUUAUACAAAAAUAUUGCAAUGUAUAUCAUUACUAUGGUACCGGUAUACACGUUAAUGUAAUUAUUUAUCGAAUUUGAAUACAAAUUAAAGUAAAAAUCUUCUUUCAUUUCAUACUCAUUUUUUUUUUAACAAACAAUAUUAUUUACACUAAAGGAGAGAAGGGUGGGUGAAGCCUCACAAUAUGCUAACAAUAAUGCGGUUCAAAUUUGGCUUUGCGAGAAUCGAACAUAAGAUUUCUAACUUAUAAAUGAAGAUGAAUACUAUUAGACUGUAAUAAUACAUGACUUUUUAUACACAAAACUAAACAAACCAAAAGUCAAUAACACUAGUAGCUAGAUUUUAGGUGGUAUAUAGAAAAAGUUGAGUUGGAUAUAAAAGCAAAGGACCAAAAUCAAUAUUUAAUCUUAUCCAUAACUUUUGUGAAAAAAAAGAAGAUCUUAAUUAAGGAUUAUAAGCCUCUUGCCACACAAUUACCUAUGUGAUUUGAUAUUUUGAUAUCUUCUUUGGAGUUUCGGUCCCUUUACCUAGAUAUAAUAUAGAUAAACUCAUUUCAUGUAAUAAAAAACUGCCAUGGGAAACAACGUUGGCAGAAUAUCAUGGUAAAUUCUUGAAGAACACAGCAGGUAUUUGUGUCAAUCUAAAACUUGAAGCGCGUCACCAGGUAGCCCUCAAUACAACGGUUUCCGCCACUAUAAGUGCGUCACGUGGCAUUAGGUGUUGUGCGGCAGUCUAACAGUACUCUUCGGCCAUUUAGUACUGCAAUUUAGUUGUAUUUUUCUUUAUUUAUAAGAGGAAUGUUUUAUGUUUGAUUCUCAUCAAAGAUGAAUUUGAAUCACAUUAUUACUAGUUCAUUAUGAGGCUAAAUUCACCUCAUCCCCGUUAGUGUAGAUAAUAUCAUUUACUCUCCUGAAUUCAUCACAAUCCCCCAACCCCCAUCACACACUCAAAACAAAAUUGUAUAUAUAGUAUUUAGAUGUGUAAUGGUAUAAAUUAAUUAAUUUUCUUUGCUUUCCAUUUUUUAAAAUAAAAAGUUAGGUGUCCCAUACCUAAACUACGUAUUAAUAGAACUCUAAUUAUCGACUAAAAUCUCAAGAAAUUAUCAUUCUAACACUCUAAUUAAAACUGAACAGAAAUAAAAAUUAUAGGCAAUUUAGUAAUUACAACAACACAAUUUUUUUAUUUUAUUAAAGCAUCCGACACAUGUGAUAUAUUAAAAAAUAAAAAAUAAAAUAAAAGCAUCUCUCCCCUCUCUCCCAACUGGAAAUCUGCAAAUCUGCACUGGAAGAAAUCUGCAAAUGAAUACGAACUGGAACAAAUCUGCAAAUGAAAACGAAAAUUACAAUAUAAAAUCCCAAAUCCCAACAAAUCUGCAAAGAUUAUAACAUGCAAAAUCCCAACUAAUAAUUAAAAGAAAAACCCAUUUUAAUUCAGUAAAUCACAAUAUAAAAUCCCAACAAAUCUGCAAAUGAAUACGAAAAUUACAAUAUAAAUUCCCAACAAAUCUGCAAAGAUUAUAACAUGCAAAUCCCAACAAAUAAUGAAAAGAAAAACCCAUUUUAAUUCAGUAAAUCACAAUAUAAAAUUAUAAAUCAUAUUAGUUUUGAUUCGAAAAUUACCUGUGAGAGAUCGGAAAACCCGGAUUCGAAUCUUCCAAUUUAGAGGGGGUUCUGAUUCGAAAGGGGCGAGGGAAAAUCAUGGUUUGGAAGAAGAAAUCCGUGAGGACAUGAGAAGACUGGAGAGAGAGUGAUUUGGAGGAAGAGAGGAAGGAGAGAGAGAGAGAGAGAGAGAGAGAGAGAGAGAGGGGCUGAGGAAGCAAAAGGCAGAGAGAGGACGCAGCGGAGGAGUGUUUGAAAUCUGAAAUGGGAAGUGAGAUAAAGUGUGAGACGGCUAGGGUUUGUAAAGUUUAAGAAAUUUUAUAAAGCAUUAAAUACAAGAAGCCUAUAAAUAUUGUACUGGUACAAUAAUAACAACUCAAAGCCCACAGUCAAGUUGGCUUGCAGCAACUAAUCCUAAGCUAUAGGGAAGGGGUUCAAACCCCGGCGCCUACAUGUCUUUUUAGAAUUUAUAUAUGAUUUUUUUUUUCGGUUCGGUUCGGUCCGGUUCGGUUUCCGGACCUCAAAAACCGAAACCGAACCAACCAGAUUCGGUUCGGUUUGGCAGUUUCGGUUCGGUUUUUUUUCGGUUCGGUUUUUUUCGGCUUCGGUUCGGUUUGGUUUUCGGUUUUUUUCGGUUUUCGGUUUUUUGAACCCACCCCUAACUCCCAUGUUCUCACACACUCUCUCCCUCUCUUUCUCUCCUCAUUUAAAAAAAAAAAAUAUUUAGACACACAAUAGGCAUAUGCUAGUUAUUAUUUAUCAAGUCAUGAUGUUAAUUAUAUUCCUAAUAUUGAUCAAUUUUAUUAUGUCGUACACUUAAACGGUAAGAGUUGAAUUAGUUCAUAUAUGGUUACGUUGUCUACAAACUCUUGGUUAGUUGGACAAAAAUUGGUCACCACAUAGACUAUCAUAAAUAUGGUAAGGACUUCUGGAUGGAAAAAAAUUGUAAAAGUGAUUAGGGAUGAAUGGCAAAAAAAAAAUGCAGUAAUUUAUUUGGAUAGUAUUAUUCACGCACAUAUUUUUACCUCUCACACAGCCCUCUCAAUUUCUAGCCGUCCGAUCAAAUGAUUUAAAGAAGAAUAACAAAAAAUUAACAAAGGUGUAUAGAAUAUAAAAAUGACUACGUGAAUAACACUAUUUAUUUAUUUUUGGUACAUAAAAUGGGUGAUAUAUGCCCUAUUGGGUUCUCAAAAUAGUAACCAGUUUGUGAUGUGGUUAAUGGGGGAAUGAAUUUGGAGACGAUUUACGGUUGGUUCGGAUAGGGUAUGAUGUGGGUUGAUCUCAUCCUUAUUAACCUUUUAUGUAAAGUCCAGUGUUUUGCUCCAAGGCUAGAUAAAGAAUUAGAGAUAAGAUGGAGGCUUUCGUACUAUUUAUGCUUUGGUUUACUUUUUAAGAACGGGUUUGGAGUCAUUAUUCUUUUCUGUUUUGUUUCAAAUUUCACUGCCUUAAUAUUUGCUGUUUUUGUGAAAAUUGCGAUUGGCAAUUGUUCUAACGUUCACAAUAGAAGGCCUAAGUUGAAAUGCAAAAUUAUAGCCCACAUUUUGCUAAUUUAACUGCAUGAGCCAACCCAAAACCCUAGUAGGGAUAUGGAGCAUAUUUGUUGGGUUUGGCAUGUUUGACAGUGUUGCUUUCACUUGGUUAAAAAAGUCAACAUAUUUUUGGAUGGGUUUGGUUCAAUAUUUUUUAUUUUAUUGCAUAAUUUCACAAAAGAAGUAACCAUCGUCGUAGAAAAAAACAUAAACUAAAAAACAAAAAAUAAUUACAAUAAUAAUGCAACCCGAAACUUUGAUUAACCACCAUUGGAUGACCUAGUGGUUAGAGAUGAAUUCCAUGCCUGUAUUUUAUAUGGCACGUCAUGUGACGGAUUCCUAGUUCUGGUAAAUCAUACGAUGGUGGACAAGGGGUGGCUGAAAUGCCUUUGUGAGUCUUUCUGGUCCUCGGAAGGAUGGACAGUCAUGGUGAAGCCACCAACUAGUUCUUUUAUUUUUUUUUUUAAAUUUGAUUUUUAUUUUUCCAUAAUUCUUAUUCUUGUGAUCAUUUAAAUAAGCAUAGAUGGAAUCACUUAAACAAAUACUGAAAUGAAACCCUUUUUAAUAAUGUGGCUAACAAUUUAAUUGUGUAUGUGGAGUCUGCCUUUAACACUUGCAAGUAUUUAUUAUAAUUAUCAUGAUGUAUUUGUAUUAAAUUUAUAUACGUUUUGUAGUCAAAUCCGUUACAAAUUUUCAUGGUUAUAUUUUAGUGAUUACCAUCAACUGAAGUCCAUUUAAAGGAACUAACCCAUUUCAUUUUUUGUUUCAUUUUCUUUUAGAGGAUUAAGAUAACUCAACCAUUAAAGGAAUGUCUGGUACGUGCAUGUCACGGUCAAAGAAUGCAACAAACGACCUCAAAACAUUGCGUUAAUGAACUCUUCAACUGAGAAUGCAUGGGCAGGUAGCCACAUACAUAUUAUCAUACUUCAACAACAUGGAUCAAGCAUUAAUCAAUUAGUAGUUAAGCCUAUUCACUAAUCCCCUCAAGAACAAAGGGUUGAGUUUCUUUUCAAAAGAUUUCAUAAUUAACUUUAGAAACUUUGGUUUAGGUCAAUGAAUAAUUUCUUAUUUCAAUAUAUGUCAAUUGUCAUUUAUUUACUAGCAUAUAUAGGUCAAUAGAAACAAUUACUCCCAAAAAUAGCUUUGCAUUUCUCUUUAUUGGGUAAGUGCGAUUAUGUCUAUGUUUAUGAGAGAGAGAUGGUGCGAGAAUUACUUGACACACAAAUUAAACCCUCUUUUUGACAAUUGUAGUAUAGAUGUAAGUAGGGUAUCGUUCUAGGCCGGGGAUUAGGAGGGAUUGCUAAUCUAUUCUAAAUUAAUUUAAAAAUAUUAAAUAAGACUCAAGGACACAAAACUAGGCUAAAACUCUAAUAACUCGAAACACACUUAGGAUAACUCAAAAUAAUGAAAACAAUCAAAUUAGACACUAGGAACUGCAAUGGAUGGAAAUUAAAUUAAAAGACUAACAAUAAAGAAAACUAAAUAAAUAAUAUAAUUUAAUAAUGGAUGGGUGUUUGGUUUUGAUGAAAAGUAAAUUAAACUUAAUUAAAUUACAGAAUUGACAAAAACAUAAAAUUAAGGUAAAAUGAUAAAUGACGGACUAGCUAGAGGGUUCUUCUCCACACAUGUUAUACUUGCAUACAAAAUGAUUUCCAGUUGUUCAUUUAAUAAAUUUUGAAUCUCAAUACUCCAGAUUAACAUUGAAUAGCACUUUUUUAAUCUUCAAGUUUUCCUUAAGUUAUUGAAUUGGACGGAAAAACGCAUACAACAAUUCAAAACAUUCUUCAAAAGUCCCCUACGUGAAAAGCACAAUAGCGAUACAAUCAAAGAUCAUUAAACUUUGUGAAAACUAUAAGCAUUGACGAGGCAUUCGUAACUAUGAAAAGCAUGAUACUCUUGCCAAGAAUUUACUUAACGUGAUUGUGACUAGCAACCUUUACUACUUGUGAAAAUAAGUUCAUAACGAUUAGGUGAAAUUCACUUAUAUUCUAGCAUCAAAUUCAUGCAUGUAAAUUAAGCGUGCACUCUCAACCAACAUACACAAAUCAGUUUUUAUACGAACGGAUAAGUAAAUUGAAAUCACAACUUAUGAAAUCACAACUGAAGGUAAUCAAUUCAUAUUACAAAUAUAUUCAUGGUUUCGAAUUAACCUCUAGCCAAAAUAAAUUUAAUUACACAUUAUUAAAACAAAAAUAAAAUAGAAGUUUGGAAAGAGUUAACCGAGAAAAUAGAUUGAAGCCUUCUGCUCUCUGUGCUCUGAUGCUUCUUCUGCUGUGCUUCUCAUCUCCCUCCCGCUGCCUCUCACUCCUCUCUUCUCUGACUUUUCUUCUGCUGCCAAGGCAGCCUCUCCUCGCGGACUCCCCUUGCUUGCGUCUGUCUCCCUUUGCUAUUCUUUGCGCCACCUGGACUCCUUCCUUUCCGCCUUCUUUCCAGCUGCCAAAGGCAGCUUUGCUGCUUCUCUCUCUGACCUCCCCUUUCGUCCUCACAAACUCUCCUUUUGCCAGCUGCCAAGGGCAGCUGUUAUUAUUCCAUACCCCUGCUGUCUCCCCGUGUUCUGUCCCCCAUGUUCUCUACUAUUUUAUUCUUUUGAUCUCUGCACAUGCCCUUCACGUUCCUUUCCGCCUUUUCUAUUCUUUUAUUCUUUCUUUUCUGCUGUCCUCCUGCCUUUCUUCUUAUUUUAUAUUUUCUUUUCCUUGCUGGUUUCAUGCUUUGCAAACAUCAUAAUAAUGAGAGGGACAAACAUUGUUUAUAAAAUGUAAAUUAGUAUUAUCAUGUGACAAUAAAAGGUAAAUUUGCAUAACAGAUCCUAUAAACACAAAAAUAACGUAAAUAGCUCAAAAAUAUAAGGAACUAACUAAGAAAAGACGAGUGAAUUCGAAGUAAAAAUAUAUAUAAAUAUGAUCCGAUCAAAUACCCCCACACUUAACUUUUGUUAGUCCUCGAGCAAAACAAAGAAAACAAGAACAAGAAGUAACAAGAAAAACAUUAGCUUCCCUCUAUGUGACCCUCAUAGAAAUUUAUUUAAGAAAACAAAUCAUCAAGAACCGUAGCUAGCAUCAAGGAACUAAUCCAAGUUCAUCUUCCUUAUUCAAAUAUUAGCAGUAAUCUUUGAAUCAUCCUUGAAGUGUAGUGUGUGAGAUAGCCAUGCUAAUGCAAUUUCAAGUUUUUAUUCUUAAAAUCAUCAUAUGCAAACUAGUGACAUUCUCACUGAAUAUUCACUCAAUCACACAUGUGUUUAGUUUUAAUGUGUUUCGCUCAAAGAAACAAAUGUGAAAUUUCUACCAUAAGCUUGCAUAAAGAUCACUUCUCCACAGUCAUAAUUGCAAAACUUAAAUCAAGAGGACUUUUAUUGGAUGUAAUGAGGCUUAGGGAUAGGGUUAUUGAAACGAAAGAAUAGGAAAACACAAGUUCCAAGCUACAUUUCAAGCAAUUCUUUUCUUUAGAUUUAUAAGAACUCAAGCUCUCCAGCAAUUCUUCUAGCACCUCCAACCAUACUCUUAAACUGAACUUUAAAAACUUUUUAUUUUCUUUUUAUACAAUCUUUCUUCUUUUUUUUUUUUUUUUUUUUUUUUUUUUUAAUCACAAAACAUGAAAUACCCCCACACUUAUUCUUUUGCCAAACAUCUUCACAGUACUUCACAAACGUUUCUCAUAAGACAAUUUCGCAUUGCUCACUUGGAAAGGGUAAGGAAAAAUGUUUCAGGUAUAAGGGUAGACAUAUCUGGUGAUAAGAAAUAAAAGCUCAACAUACACGGCUCAAAUUGGCAAUCUAAUGAUAUCAUUUUUCUUUGGGAAACAUGGUUAUUUGGGCCAUGGUGGUAAACCUAAUGCCUCUAUCAUUUUCAAGUUCAUGCAAUCAAUGACAAACAAUUCGAAAGAUCGUUACGCAAGUUCUAGAGAUGUAUCUCACAUAAGUUCAUCACACAUAAAAAAAAAUAGGAGUGUAUGAAAAAUGCACACACUUUCAAUAGGCUCAAAAACUCACAUAGGAUGUAUAUGGUCACUAAAUUCACAUAUGAAGCUUUAAGUCAUACUUUAGUUUCACAUUAACAAGGCUAUGUGCAUUUGGUUUUUCAAAGAUGGUCAAACAUGUACAAAACUAACAAGAGAAUUAGGAAUUUCACCAAACACAUGUUAACUAAGUUCUUGAUGAUCAUGGUUCAAAUUUUUGAUCCAAUUAUAUCAUUGGGUCGGGAAACUAACAAAAAUCUGAUUCAGAACAAUAAGGGAAACAAGACAAUAUUUUUGGAUUUUUAAAUUUUCCGAUUUUUUUUUUUAUUUUUUUUUAAUUUUAUUUUAUUUUUUUAAGAAAACAAAAACUAACAACACAGAAACAAAUGAAAUUCUAGAGAUUUCUACCCCCACACUUAAACUUGACAUUGUCCCCAAUGUCAGAAAACACUAUAACGCAAAAUAAAAAUAAAAUAAAAUAAAUAAAUAAUAAGAAACAAAAUAAAGCAAUUGGACUGAAAACUUCCCUAGUUUGCAGUAAAAUCAAGCGAUGACCCCCAAGCUAAAAUUCUGCAAUCAACUUCAAGGGUGGAAAUAACCAAAAGUUCCUGCAAAGAAAAGAAAUAAUUCAGUUAAGAGUAACGCAAGAAAAUUAAUUAAAAAAAAAUUGCAAACGAAAAAUUGAAAAUUACGAUAAAAGAUAAUGAAUAAAACUAAUAAGUAAUCAUUAGUCGUGCUUGUUGACUUUCCACAGCGUUCCUCUUGAACAGGGUGACACUUAGCUUUUUACUUGCAAGUGAUGAUUUGAUGAUAUUGUACGGCGAAGCUUUGCUCUUUGGUUAUGUUGCAGUUCCUUAUUUGUUCUCCAAGCAGAUGUGGCAGCUUCUCUAGUUCCUCAGUUCGGACUCCUUCCGCUGGAUGAUGAUUGUGCAAGCUGCAUUCUUCUCUGCUUGUUUCUUCUGCACAACGGGCAGGCACGAGGGAAAGGUGUUGGUCCUU